AGGCGGCACCAUUGCUAUCACACGAGUGGCGGUAAUAGCAGCCAUCGUAGCGACAGCAUUAGCGGCAGUAGUAGCCGUACACCAUGAACAGCAGUUGUAGUCGCAGAACCAGUAGCAGCAGUAACGGCAGUAGUAUGUAGAUACCAUGGAGAGAAGUCUAAAAUUAAGCAUUAGAAGGACAGGGGAAGCUAGUAGGAGGGGUACCAGGUCUAUCAACGUUUUCACGUUAGGGUGGCCGGCACAUAACCGCAGGGCUUGGGCGGAGGGGAGGGGCCGGACAGCGCCAUGACGGGGCCGUGUCCAUUGCAUAUCUUGCUCCAGCAACCCCACAACCUUCAAGACUCGGGAGACCAAACGAUCACCAAAGGCAGCGAUGACGUGAGGAAAACGAGGCAGAAAACGAAACUAAGCCGCAUAAGGCCCGCGUGCUGAACCGAAAGUCCUUCAGUAGUUAUCCGGCAAAAGGUGUCUUGGGAUGUUGACGAAUUGGCAACGUGGGUCUUACUAAUGCAAGACUGCAAAGUGUCACAUAAUAUGGGUCACACAGGGAUACCUACUGAUGGCCGAGCUGUGAGAUGGGUCAGGAUACAAAAAGGCUAUAAAAGUCGAACGGCACGUGGAACUGCUUAUCCGGCCAGGCCCUUCACUUCUAUUUCUUCUCCAAUCUGCAUAGUCUGGGAAUGAGUCGACGGGGGCUGCGGACGGCUCGAUGGGGGCUGGGAUAAGCACAUAGUCAAACCAUUUCCGCUCCAAGGGUUGCCGUAAGGCCGCCUUUACCGCUGUCUUGGUCCAUAAGUGACCGCGCUAGCAUACCUGCUAAUUUUACAAGGGUUUGAUCAGAGGAAUCUUAGAUGGCAUGGAUCCUAGUUUCAUGGUGAACGCGGACAAGCAUAAGAAUGGCAUGAGGGCAUGCAACCUUCGCCAUGCUCCUUCGCAAUACGCCGACAAAAGAUACCUCAAUUUGUAGGGCAUGGCCAUCCGCUAGAGACCAGUCCACGGACGCUUCCCCAUCGCGCAGGUCGUGAACCGAAUAGCCCUCGUUGCCGCAGUCGGAAAGCCACCUCCUGAAGUCGUUGAUAUUCUCAGCGCGACCACGAAUGCGCCAUCGAUAGGACAGCACGGCAGCACUCUGGAGGCAAUCAUUUGAUUCAGGCAAAUUGUGACUGCACUUGGAGAAGGAUUCCGCAUGGGGGGCAGCGGGCCUGACCGACACUGAAUCUUCAGAGACAAAUCUUUUCCCAAAGAAUACAAAGGCAGCAUCAAAGUCAGAUUUGCAAAUUGCAUGCGUGUGGACCUUUGUUGCUUGGGAGUGGGUUUUGCCCGAAACAGUAAGCCAGUUAUUUGACGCACCUCUUCGGGCUCAUCCGUAAUUUUGCACCAUCGUUGUUGCCAUUCGUUCUUCUGAUAGGGCGUGCUGUCUCCAGUUCCUUGCAGUUCAGACAGUAUCGCAGGGACGUCCGCUAUCCUUAGGUAACGAGGCAUCUUGUUUCACUUCUUUCUUUAUAAGACGGAAACAAAACUUUGAAACUGGAAAGAGGAAAGAGCAUGUAUGCAUCUGGAAGAAGUUGCACCUAGCUUGUUUCACACGCCUAAUUACGGCAUUUACGGAUGGGACGAGAUCGGAACGCGACGUGCUUUCAGGCAGGUCCAGCAUCUCAAUAAUCGUAAUCGCGGUUACAUCCUUCCAUGCACGGAAUCUUUUGAGAUUGUUCUGGCCACUGGCAGCACUGACUGAGCCCAGUCUGCUCCCAGUCAAUAUUUCACCCACAGGGAAGAUCCGCUCGCUCCCCUUUUUCACUCGGAUACGCAGUCUCUGCCACGACCUUUUCAGGAAUACUGUCACACAUAUCACGGAUCGUUCCCCAAUGCAGAGAUACCUCAAUCUUCCCCCAGCUGCAUUUCCAACCGCAACCAGCGCUGCUGCUAUCCUAACUUCUUUCCGUCGGGGUGAUCGCGCCCUGUAACACAUCUCCACAAUUUUGAAAAGGAGCUCGCUUAAGUUGUUGCCUCUUCAGAAAGUGCUGCGGCACACAACCCAUCAUGUUCUAUUCAGAUCAUGUGGCAACGCCUCGCGGGUCAAGCCCUCCCCGUGUUUCGGCAAGCCCUGGCCGCUAGGCUCUUUAGUGCUCUUUCCCUAACUUCUCCGUUCUCCCGCUGAAUUCUCGCACAGCAUAUUAUUCCCAUUCCUGCCCUUCCCUUUCUCCGCUGCCCAUACGACCUGGGCCAACACCCAAGGACCAGCACCCAAAGCCAUUUGGCCCCAUAGUUUCUCUAAUGGAGACGUCAUGCUGCCCCUCCUCCCCCGUAGAAAACCCUCCUCCGUUUUCUAUCCCCGCCUUGCAUCUCCCCCCGCCACACGUCUUUUCCUAGCCCUAAGCCCCCUUUGCGUUGCUCUCCCAUUCGUCUCUUAUUCUCCACCGGACGCAUCUUCUUUCACCUCGCUGGACCGCGUCGGAAGCUUCUUUCACCUCGCUGGAUCUGCCGCCUCCGGUUUUCCUUUCACGGCACCUCGGCAGGAGGCGCGCACACUCCGUCACCCCAAGCCCCAACCAGCCAGGAUGGCCGAACUACGACUUUGCCCAGGUUCGACCACUUACUCCCCCAAACACCCCUACGUCAUCCGCCUCUUCACUCACACCGAAACUCGGACGGUUGUGCUAACCGGCAAUUAGCUGGAACCGGCAAUUUUCUUAGACAACCUGACUCACAUGCCCUCCCUCGCUCAGUUUAUUUAAACGCGUACUGGAUGAGGUUGAGCUCUUCGAGGGGAGUGGAGGGGGAUCGGGAAGCGCCCGCGGUUCAGCUGUUUAUUGACCAGGGGGGAUUGGGGGCCACUUUUUUCUGCCUCCACACGCCCCUCUCUCAUAUCCGCACUAUUCAGUUUCCCCGCAGACCCCACCCACCCUGACAGCCCUGCCCUGAUCCCCCCGACCCAUAACCGCGUCUUGUGUCGAUCCAUCCAUCCAUACACAGCUCACCUGUUUCCUUUCAAGUCAUAGUAGGCGCAAGGGGUGUGGCCUUAUUCUGCUGCAGGCCCCUUCUGCAGCUGUCUGUUACCAACCAACCAAGCUACCUAAAAACCAACCACAACUUCCCAAUGACCGCCAUUUUUACUACUGCUGAUGUAGCCUCGACACAACCUUACUUCCUUUCCGAACACCAAGGAGUCUGCGGCGGCGGCUGCGUGCUGCAGAACGUACGUCGUGCAACGUGAUCUUCAUCUGCACGCAUGUGGUGGCUACAUACUAUCCCAAAUCGAAAAGCACAUUAUAAUAUUGACUCCUGUAUGCGUGUACGUUGUCUCUGUGUGUAUAAGUGUAUGUCUUCAGCGCCAGGCACCGCUCCUGCUCCGCGGCGGCGGCGGUGGUGGUGGCGGCAACUCCUCACCGCCCUCACCGGACGCCUCGCUCUCCCCUAACUCCUCCGGCCCAUCACCCCCUGCAUCGUCCUCGUCGUACAUUGAGUCUCUGUCGUCGUCCGCCUCCUCCCAGUCAUCCUCGAACUCGCCGACGUCCCCCAACAGAUCCUCGUCAUCCAGAUCCACAAAUUCGCCAUCCUCGUACUCGUCGUCGUCGUACUCGUCCUCGAAGGGCUCUGGCUCUGUCGGCAGGCGUCGGGCCAGAAGCAAGGGGCCCCAACCCCCAUUGCCGCCGUAACUGCUGCUGCUGCUGCAGAUGCUGCUGCCUGCGUCACCACUGCCGCCGACCCAGCCGCCAAAAACCAUAUGGGGCUGUAGCAUCGUUGUUGUUAAUGCGAAAGGUGUUGCAAAGGGUGUGCAGGGAGGCGUUGACGCGGGCAGGGCACAAUGUCGGUUUCGUUGCAUGACAUACAUCCAUCCAUACAUACAUCCAUCCAUACACACGCACAGACGGUAGGUUAUUGCACGGUUGUCGUUGGAGGGCAUCCAAGGGAAGAAGAGGAAGAGAAACGAUGGAGCGAGGUCGCCAUAAGGGCCCGCCAGGAUAGGAUGGCGACCGCAGUAAACCUGAAUGAGGCUGUAUCGUUGUCGGUAUCGCUCGCGAAGAUGCCGCCCGGCGCAAUGCCGUUUGUCUUUUCGGACAAAAAAUAGUCAGAUAGACAGACAGGCUCUCAGCCAGUCUAAUAUGAUAGUUAAUUGACAGACAGACAGACAGACAGGCAGGCAAGCGUGUCCUGCACAUUACCCCGGUCUGGACCGCUCUAACCACUCAACGGCGUUUGGAACGGUCAGACGCCCCGACGCGGACAUUGUACGGCAGCCAUCAUACAGCCGUACGGGCCGCACGCUUGGGGGAUCCUGUCACCUACCGAAAGUGCAACCAUGGACCACCAGGUUGUCUGAAGGGCCCUAUAGAGGCGUGCGAAGGCCCUGUGAGCCCCGAGAGGGACUCCAGGGGGGGUUGGCAGCUCCUCAGGUUGGGAGAAAGGACUCAAACGGCCGCAUGAUGCGCGCGUUGCGGCCGCGUGGGCCCGGAAAGAUUUGGAUCCAAAUAAAACCUCGCGCGAUAGGUGCCCUGCCGUCCGCAGGCUGCUGUUGCAGCCGCCGCUGUGCUGACUGUAACCGCUGUUGUGAUUGCCACUGCGUCAUGUUUUGGGUUUGGCGGUUCGGGCUUAGGUCGUUCAUGAGGGGGGGAAAAGGGAACCGAAGGCAGGCAAUGGGCAACAUGUGCAUUGGCGAGGCGGCCGUGCAUGGUAGGAAGUACGAUGGUCAUAUUAUUGGUUUGGUGUAUUUGCGGGAGGGUGGGCGCGCGGGAAAUUGGCCUUGCUCACUCCUGUAUGACUGGGCUGCGCGGCGGGGCAUGUCCCUCGAUUGUCGCGUGUCGCAAGGAAAGGCAACCCCCCGCGAGCAAGGUGACCUGGAAUUGGACUGUCAAUCUUACCUCGUCGAGCAGAUGUUUGUACCUUGCACCUCGUCAAGCGGCACCACAAACAAACGGCGCACAACGUCAAAAGUUGCUGCUGCAGGGCUCUGGAGGAGGCAUAUAGGUAAAUCGGCAAGAUCAUCAACACAUAUACUACUGCGUAAGCGGGUUACCUGGCAAGUUCCGAACGCAAGCGAGCCUAGGCGAGCCCGACACAAGUUUGACAGCAUUGCGAGAGCUUACUUUGUCAACUCUAUAUUAGGCCCCUAAUAUAGCCAUCAAGUAUUGUAGAUGCAGUCAAAGUUCAGCACCUAAAAAAACAUUAGUACGACGCUGGAACAUCUCUUCGGCUUUACCAGGCGGUUUAAAUGUCCCAUGAUGCCAUUAUAAAAACGAAGCAUAUAUAGAAUAAAGUUCGCCUUUAACUCCGGUUGGAAAGUACUUACAUUCGUUAGGAUUCUGCGCUUCGAUUGUGUAGUACGCACGGUACCCUUCGCCGCGCGGACCUCAAUGGCCACUGCUUCUCACCUGUUAGCGUUUUAUGACACCUUAUGAGCAUUGUGGCAAGAGGAUCGGCACUUCGACUUACCUUAUUAAGUGUUGUCACGUCCAAAAUGAGAGCUGUAGUGCCCUUGGUUAAAUGCAAGCCGAACCUCACGGCCAGCGCUCAAGGAUUAGUGUCCUCCCGUGAACCGCCAGGAUAGGGCCCGUAUUAGGAAGGGCCCCUAUUGCAAAAGGCCCGUUUGGAUAGGAAGCCGCAGCCCUCGUGGCUACCGGCUCAUUGCAUCAGCUUGUACCUGGAGCAAGACGUUCACGGGGGAUUUUAGGGCUCGGUGUUGUCUGUGGGGGGUUGGGGCCUGGAGCCGCCCUCAAACCACCAGUAUGUAACCGGUGGCCACCUGUAACCUGAUAAUGCGGUUAAUGAAGGGUUGCACCGGGUGCGGAGGGUUUCGUGGACCGUAUGGUGCAUGUUUAUGCAUUUCCUCCAUCCUAUCUGGGCGCCUCUCUGAGGGCGCUGGUCGGCAAGUCCAGUCCCCUCAGCCUUAUCGCUGGGCUCGUAUAGGGUGCUGCGUGGCACACACGGCUCUGUGUGGUCUCUGUGUGCGUACUGGCUAAAGGGGCUGCACGCAAACACCCAAACAAGAGCGCCAAAGAAGCUAAAAUCCGACUCGUCUCGGCAUAAAUUCAAUAAAUAGCGAAGUAAAUGGGCUCAGGACGGACUGGCCCCUACAGGUUGGGCUUCCGGUGCACCAUUCUACCUUGCUAUUAUCACUUGUUUUAGUCCCAGCCGCCCUGCUGCCGCAGCCCGCCGCGAUUCAGUUCAUGUGCCGCUAUAGAUAGUCGCGCGUUCAUAUUGAUGCCAACACCGCCGAUUCUAGAUUGCCCCCGCCCUGCGGCCUGGACAUCUGGGCCACACCGUUUGAGGUGCUGUGUGCCGUACAUUAGGCGUCCUGUAGCUCCCACCGCAGGCGGCCUGUUUUGGCUGUAGCUCCCUCCACGGUGUGUGAGCCGCCCCGAGGAGCCGCCGGCAGGUUAAGGACGGCAAUUGGGUGGCGGCCCGCACUGCUAGGAGGCUGCACAGCUGCUGCUCACGGAACGACUCACGAGCAUGUCCGCGAGGCGACGUGCGUGAGCCGACGGGGUGGCUCCAGCAUCGCUGCUGCUACGCACCUUUCCUUCCACUUUGGCCGCACCGCUGCUGUUGCCAGCGCGCCACUGCAAGCUGGUGUCAGCUGACACAGCAGGUGCUGCAUCACCGGGCACAUCAUGUAAUUUUGUAAUGUUACAGAGUGGGAGGCUUCUGGGCCGCUUUAUCACAUUGUCAGUUCUAGAUCAUUUAUCACCUUACAGCACCAUCCACCACUACCACACUGUACUUCGCCAUACGAACUGUAAGUCCAAGGCGGCGGAUCCAGCCUUCAGGGACCCCUCCUCAUCCAUUCACCCGAACACCCGAUGAGACGGAGGGUUCGGCAAUCGCCACCAAUCCAGCGUGCGAAUCUGGUCCAUCAACUGUGACCUCAACUCCACAUCUCAGCAGCUAGCCAUAAUCUCGCGCUCCCGACUAAUUCGGGGGUCUCCCCAGGAAUCGAACCCAGGACCUUAAACUGCUAAUUGCAGUAGUGUCAAUCCAGACCAGACCAUCAUGUGUGUGGGAGGAUAUGCUGUGUCGGCCCUGGACCGCCAAAUGGGAGUGCGGGAGCAAGGAGAGGGUCUACAGCACCGGGCGGUGGAGGGGUCCUCUGCCGGAAAAUGCUCACCUUCACAACGCCCACCGUGAACCAUGCAGAUGUGGCCAGUAGUACAGCGGCAGGGGACCCCAGCAGUGCACGCCACGUGCUCACCACUCCUGGAAUUGCCUGGUAGUCAAAACGGUGAUACAGCGCAGAUCGAGCCCCCCGUGCCCGGGCACGGCAUGACCAGGGCCAAGGUGUGGCUCGCUGAGGCGCCGCCGGGGGUAUAGGAAUGUGUGUGGGUCUGGCGUCGUGGCAUUGGCGGCUCUGAUGGUGAUGGAGUGUGCGUGGGUGGGGUUCAGGGCUGCGACACUGCCAGGGGCAGCGGCAAAUGCAGCCCUUGGAAUAUGUUGGUAGGACCUGAACCAAAGAGGAUUUUGAAAAAUCUGCUGAUGAAACUGUUUCGCGCGAAUGCUUUGUGUCACAGCUUUGCAUUCCGGCAUGGAGUGUCAACCCGAAGACCAGCCUGCACAACAGCAAGGUUUUCCACUUCUUCACCUGCACAUGAUCACUUCCACGGUAAUAAGGGGUCCAUGAGGAUCUGCGAGUGCGAUAAACGGAAAGGUGAGACAGGUUCGAUUUGGAACACACGCGGGAGGCAAGCCUGCAUGUAAUCACCGUUCAUCCAUCCUUGUUGGGUGCAAUAUGGAAUGAGAGCCGGUGGUCCUUACACACGACCGGACACCCCACCCCGGGGUUGAAGUUGCCAAAGCGCCCGCGAUCAUAGAGGCGGUCCAAUGGCAGCGGAUGAAGAGCUUUGCAGAGCUCGGAGCGCCGCGACGUGGGUGGGGCGGGGUGGGAGCCGACCACCCCAUCAUCGCCGUAGUGGGUGGCGGAAUGCGUUGCUAUGCGGCCACCUAGUAACAGUGUAACUGAUAGCUAGGGAUAGGCGGGGUAUGACGACCCAGGUGCUGGUUGCUCAGCUUGCUACUGCGGAGAAGGGAAAGCCCAGGAAUUGAAACCCGCACAGCAAUAAGGGCGGUGCUGCAGGAGUAGUGUGAGUGAGCAAGACGGAGUGGUGACCUGUGGUGAGGUGCUGCCACGGAGCGAGCUAUAGCCCCACCAGGCAAGCUCCCGCCUUGACACCUUGGACCCCCUGCCUGACGCGUAUAAGGGCCACCCCUCGGACUGAAACAGGUAGUUUCGUUGAGGAGGGGCGUAGUGUGGACAGUUUUGGUUGUAGGGUUCAGCUGUUGGGCUUAAGGCGCCGGUAGGGGGGGCCCUCAUCACGGGGAGGAGGGUCCAGGUGUCGUAAGGACCCACCCGGGGUGCGCAGCCGCGCCUGCUCAAGGCACAGGCUGCAUGGACGGAGCUGUGCCGCAGCGCGUACUGAGGAGAAAUGUAUGUUUUUGAGGGCCUUGGUAGCCACCGCUCUCUGUCCUCUUGACGAAAGGGGGAAACGCGGGGGUGCACACGCCCUCGGUCGAGCAGGAGGGGAUAGUAGCCCCUCACGCCCCUCUUCCCCCACAAGGAGGAGAGCGCUUCGGUGGUCGUUUCCGUUGGGUACGGUCGCUUCCGUUGGGGUACUGGCCAAUGCCAGGCCCGGUUUGACAUGUAACAUAGAAAUACACACAUACACACAUACACACAUACACAUGUGUACCAGUGGACAGCUGCUACUGUCCAAAAGUCGCCGCCACAAUAGAUUGACCGUACCGACCGCACCCCAACAUCGCAACCACCCGUUGUUGCUGAUGAUGCCCCACCCACGAGCAGUGAUGCAAGGAAACAGCUACGUCCGCGCUGCUGCUGCUGCUGCUGCUGCCAUAUGCAUGCUUUGUGACCUCGAAACCCACCCCUGCUGUUAGCGGCGGUGGGCGAAUUCCUCUGCUGCCGCCAGCCACCAGCAGUGCCGUCCUCCAAGCCACCGCCAAGCUAGAUCCCCGUGAGGCAUGCUGACGAUGUGCUUAGGGUCGGAAUGUGUUAUACAGCUCCAUUACGGAUCAGUGGUUCGUACCUCCGGAGGUACAAAUCAUCACUGCAACCUCUGUCAUCAUAUGUUAUACAGCUCCAUUACGGAUCAGUGGUUCGUACCUCCGGAGGUACAAAUCAUCACUGCAACCUCUGUCAUCAUACUCCGUUCCUUGCGGUAAUGGAAUUCCUCAGUCCUUAAAUUGCGGUUACCCCUUGACAGAUAUUCGUAUGUAUAGCCGUUGGGUGAAUACACUGCUCUCCCCGCACCCUUUACAUUAUCACACGCAGUUGGAACGUACAUAUGAUGUGUGGGACAGGGGGCCACAUCUUCACCCUGUGGCCGCUACCCAGCGAAACCCUGCCUUCCCCGGUAUUUCGGGGCACCCUCAUCCAGUCACCCUAGUCAACAUCUCAGUGGAUCGCUCAGGUUCCGCACCCACCACCGGCAUCCAACGGAAUCUGCCGACAUCAACGGCGUCCUAACUCCAUUCCCGGUCAGCUCGCAGGUCAACUUUAUCCCAGGUAACCACCGUCCAUCAACUAGGGGCAUUCUUACUAUACAUCAUCGAAAGGAUUUUAGACCCUGACAGGUCUCAAGAUAUGCUACACGUUGAAAAUCCCCCAUGUACACGUAUCCAUUACAUUCACUUCUGGCAGUGCUUGUAGUAGCUAAACAGUCUGUCACACACAUCAUCUACAAAUACGCGUGAUGCGCUCGACCAGCAUCGCGAGAGGCUUUUCCAGCGCCCAGCUACUACAGCGCUCUAUCCUGAUCUAUCGCUGUGCUCCUUACAAGGGCAGCCGCAGGCAGCAGGAUCCCCUCUGUGCCCGCUACCGCAGCCGCAGGUUCGCAGCCUCAUCACUUGAAUACACACGCACCAUGCAGGCAUACAUACACUCGCUAUGCAAGGUGGCUGACGCCAUACUAUACAUCGGUAUCGGUAUCUGCACCGCCACACCUCUUUACACCGCCACAUCGUAGACCGGUGCCGCAUCUCCCUCCGCACCAGGUUACUUAGGAGCCAUCCGUGAUGCUGCUGCCGCCGCCACCGCGUCUGCUAGCACCAGCAAACCGAGCAGUCAUCCAUGCUUCCAUGGUGCUAGCGACACAGGUAUGGAUGGCCUCCACCACCGCAUGCUGGCAGCACGUUCUGGCUUUUCUUGGCUGCUGCUGCUGCGGUAGGUAGGUCGGUAGGUCGGUAGGUCGGUAGGUCGGUAGGUCGGUAGGUCGGUAGGUCGGUAGGUCGGUAGGUCGGUAGUCGGUAGGUCGGUAGGUCGGUAGGUCGGUAGGUCGGUAGGUCGGUAGGUCGGUAGGUCGGUAGGUCGGUAGGUCGGUAGGUCGGUAGGUCGGUAGGUCGGUAGUCGGUAGGUCGGUAGGUCGGUAGGUCGGUAGGUCGGUAGGUCGGUAGGUCGGUAGGUCGGUAGGUCGGUAGGUCGGUAGGUCGGUAGGUCGGUAGGUCGGUAGGUCGGUAGGUCGGUAGGUCGGUAGGUCGGUAGGUCGGUAGGUCGGUAGGUCGGUAGGUCGGUAGGUCAGUAGGUCGGUAGGUCGGUAGGUCGGUACGUCGGUAGGUCGGAGGUAGGUAGGUCGGAGGUAGGUAGGUCGGUAGGUCGGUAGGUAGGUCGGUAGGUCGGUAGGUGGGUGCGUAGGUAGGUAGGUAGGUGGUGGGUAGGUAGGUAGGUGGUGGGUAGGUAGGUAGGUGGGUGGGUGGGUAGGUAGGUGGGUGGGUGGGUAGGUAGGUGGGUGGGUGCGUAGGUAGGUAGGUGGGUGGGUAGGUAGGUAGGUGGGUGGGUGGGUAGGUAGGUAGGUGAGUCGCUAGGUAGGUGGGUAGGUGGGUAGGUAGGUAGGUAGGUGGGUAGGNNNNNNNNNNNNNNNNNNNNNNNNNNNNNNNNNNNNNNNNNNNNNNNNNNNNNNNNNNNNNNNNNNNNNNNNNNNNNNNNNNNNNNNNNNNNNNNNNNNNNNNNNNNNNNNNNNNNNNNNNNNNNNNNNNNNNNNNNNNNNNNNNNNNNNNNNNNNNNNNNNNNNNNNNNNNNNNNNNNNNNNNNNNNNNNNNNNNNNNNNNNNNNNNNNNNNNNNNNNNNNNNNNNNNNNNNNNNNNNNNNNNNNNNNNNNNNNNNNNNNNNNNNNNNNNNNNNNNNNNNNNNNNNNNNNNNNNNNNNNNNNNNNNNNNNNNNNNNNNNNNNNNNNNNNNNNNNNNNNNNNNNNNNNNNNNNNNNNNNNNNNNNNNNNNNNNNNNNNNNNNNNNNNNNNNNNNNNNNNNNNNNNNNNNNNNNNNNNNNNNNNNNNNNNNNNNNNNNNNNNNNNNNNNNNNNNNNNNNNNNNNNNNNNNNNNNNNNNNNNNNNNNNNNNNNNNNNNNNNNNNNNNNNNNNNNNNNNNNNNNNNNNNNNNNNNNNNNNNNNNNNNNNNNNNNNNNNNNNNNNNNNNNNNNNNNNNNNNNNNNNNNNNNNNNNNNNNNNNNNNNNNNNNNNNNNNNNNNNNNNNNNNNNNNNNNNNNNNNNNNNNNNNNNNNNNNNNNNNNNNNNNNNNNNNNNNNNNNNNNNNNNNNNNNNNNNNNNNNNNNNNNNNNNNNNNNNNNNNNNNNNNNNNNNNNNNNNNNNNNNNNNNNNNNNNNNNNNNNNNNNNNNNNNNNNNNNNNNNNNNNNNNNNNNNNNNNNNNNNNNNNNNNNNNNNNNNNNNNNNNNNNNNNNNNNNNNNNNNNNNNNNNNNNNNNNNNNNNNNNNNNNNNNNNNNNNNNNNNNNNNNNNNNNNNNNNNNNNNNNNNNNNNNNNNNNNNNNNNNNNNNNNNNNNNNNNNNNNNNNNNNNNNNNNNNNNNNNNNNNNNNNNNNNNNNNNNNNNNNNNNNNNNNNNNNNNNNNNNNNNNNNNNNNNNNNNNNNNNNNNNNNNNNNNNNNNNNNNNNNNNNNNNNNNNNNNNNNNNNNNNNNNNNNNNNNNNNNNNNNNNNNNNNNNNNNNNNNNNNNNNNNNNNNNNNNNNNNNNNNNNNNNNNNNNNNNNNNNNNNNNNNNNNNNNNNNNNNNNNNNNNNNNNNNNNNNNNNNNNNNNNNNNNNNNNNNNNNNNNNNNNNNNNNNNNNNNNNNNNNNNNNNNNNNNNNNNNNNNNNNNNNNNNNNNNNNNNNNNNNNNNNNNNNNNNNNNNNNNNNNNNNNNNNNNNNNNNNNNNNNNNNNNNNNNNNNNNNNNNNNNNNNNNNNNNNNNNNNNNNNNNNNNNNNNNNNNNNNNNNNNNNNNNNNNNNNNNNNNNNNNNNNNNNNNNNNNNNNNNNNNNNNNNNNNNNNNNNNNNNNNNNNNNNNNNNNNNNNNNNNNNNNNNNNNNNNNNNNNNNNNNNNNNNNNNNNNNNNNNNNNNNNNNNNNNNNNNNNNNNNNNNNNNNNNNNNNNNNNNNNNNNNNNNNNNNNNNNNNNNNNNNNNNNNNNNNNNNNNNNNNNNNNNNNNNNNNNNNNNNNNNNNNNNNNNNNNNNNNNNNNNNNNNNNNNNNNNNNNNNNNNNNNNNNNNNNNNNNNNNNNNNNNNNNNNNNNNNNNNNNNNNNNNNNNNNNNNNNNNNNNNNNNNNNNNNNNNNNNNNNNNNNNNNNNNNNNNNNNNNNNNNNNNNNNNNNNNNNNNNNNNNNNNNNNNNNNNNNNNNNNNNNNNNNNNNNNNNNNNNNNNNNNNNNNNNNNNNNNNNNNNNNNNNNNNNNNNNNNNNNNNNNNNNNNNNNNNNNNNNNNNNNNNNNNNNNNNNNNNNNNNNNNNNNNNNNNNNNNNNNNNNNNNNNNNNNNNNNNNNNNNNNNNNNNNNNNNNNNNNNNNNNNNNNNNNNNNNNNNNNNNNNNNNNNNNNNNNNNNNNNNNNNNNNNNNNNNNNNNNNNNNNNNNNNNNNNNNNNNNNNNNNNNNNNNNNNNNNNNNNNNNNNNNNNNNNNNNNNNNNNNNNNNNNNNNNNNNNNNNNNNNNNNNNNNNNNNNNNNNNNNNNNNNNNNNNNNNNNNNNNNNNNNNNNNNNNNNNNNNNNNNNNNNNNNNNNNNNNNNNNNNNNNNNNNNNNNNNNNNNNNNNNNNNNNNNNNNNNNNNNNNNNNNNNNNNNNNNNNNNNNNNNNNNNNNNNNNNNNNNNNNNNNNNNNNNNNNNNNNNNNNNNNNNNNNNNNNNNNNNNUGCCACCACGACCGCCGCCACCACCACCACCACUGCCAUGACCGCCACCGCCGCAGGGGUUGCGGAAACGACCGCCAGCACCACCACUACAGUCAUCGAUGCCGCCACUGUCAUCACCGCCUCUCGCGCAUCCAGCGCAUUCUUGAGGUCUCUGCAGAUUGCAAGCCUGCAGCACCCGCAGCCGGGCCGCUCAUCUAGCGGUAGAAGCAGUCGCUCGGCGGCAGGGGACGUGGGGAGCUGUGGAACAGGUGAUGGCGGUGGCAGUCACGCGCACGAGUGAGGGAAGCCGCUAUGCACAAUUUUACGGGUGUUGGAGAAUCAGGGAAGAGGUUGAAGGAGGAACAGGGAGAGGCGCGAGCAAUAACCGACAGUCCCAGAGCGCAUUGACUGAGGUUGCACACCCCAGUCAGAUAACUGGGUCAGCCGGUAGGCCACAUUGUUAUUACAAAAUAAGCACAAAUCGCAGUAACUUCACAGUUUCUUGACAUAUUUCCGUUCCAUCGACUUUCAUGUUCUCGUUUCGGGUGCAUCGACAUUCAGUCCAUUACUUUACUUGCCAUGUUCACCCGUGCAUAUCCUCACCCAAUUUGCGAGUUCGUCUUUUCUCUUCUGCAUCCUAACAAGUCAGUGUUGUUGUUGUUGCAACAGAGUGGCACCAGGCUUUUGGGCCAAUUCAACACAGACCAGUGUAAUUUGGUCGUCUCGAUCGUACACACAGCGCAUAGUGUCGUACAUGCAUGUGCCGUACGCAUGACACACACAGAUUAGAGGCGUAUGUGAGGGAUCAGUAACCAACAGGCCCACAAGACCGUCCUCGCCAAUGUUGAAAAAAAUCCUGCUCAUCAUCACGUAAAAAACAUUAUACAGGUUGGAAUCAAGUUGCCGUGGAGAGAGGGGGUUGAUUGUAAGCAAGAAAGCAGGUUAGAUAUCGUGCGUCAUGGCCGCCCAACCAGUGCUACUCCUCGCAUCGACAUGCGGAAUUUCAAUAUGACAUCAAGACUUGAGAUAUUCACGGCCUGUCGCUCGCUGAAGGUCGGCUGCAGGUAACGGUCGGCCGUUACUAGCGACUCGUAUCUUUGUGUGUGUGUGUUACAUGGUUGGGGGUGCGUGACCCCAUACCUCUAAGACUACCCAUACGAGCCGAAGGGGUAUCUUUGCUUGUAAGCCCGGUAAGCCAGGGCGGUCGCCACCGGCCGCAUGAGAGACCGUCUUCGUCACACUUGGCAAAGUUGAUGAUUCUACAUGGUUGAUCUACAUGGGGGCCUAGGAGGAUAUAAAGGACCCGAGCUCAUAAGGCCCGAGAUGUUGGGAGGUUCAUGUGACGAAACGGACGUAACGCGGAAUCAUGCACACAGCCGACACGCAGAUGCUUACAACAAUGACGUUAUUUGCGAAUGAGGAGUGAGUGCCCGCCCGUAUGCAUUUAGGCAUCCUCCGUCCAUCAUUAUUAGUAUGGACGUGAAGUACUUGGUCGUACGUCUGUGAACAAAGAUUUACGUCCGGUUCUAUCUGUGUCUAGUCUGCGAGGGAGUCAAUAGCUUUAUUGCGGGUGCGGCUGCAAACCUGAAUGCAGUUUAGUUAAUAAAACUGCCACCAUGGCUAGUUGCCCCAGCGUGUCUGCUGGGGCGGCGAACGAACGGCCUCAGGUCUCAGCAAAACUACUUAGCAAAGCCCAAUUUUCAUUUAAUAAUGGAUCCAAUUAAGGGAAAGCGAACAAGGUCACACUCAUCCUCGCGGCCCCAGCUGCGGUUGGAGUAGGUGAACAGUCAUAGCUUAAACAGGCAGCAGACUACCGGCUGGCGCCCUUUUCAUUGGGCGGGGCCCCAGCGCGAAGCGCCCAGGGGGGCCCCGACCUGUAGGAUUGCCCAUGUCCGUGUGUGUGUGUGUGUGUGUGUGUGUGUAUGUGUGUGCGUGUGUGUGUGUGUGUGUGUGUGUGUGUGUGUGUGUGUGUGUUCGUGUGUGUGUAACGGACCAAACAUAAUAUCUCGCCCGGCUGAAACGCGUUACAGGUACUAUACAGCAUUCUUUAUUGCAAGGUAUCUCGCAUGUAGCCAACAAAAAUCGUAUGAGCACAAACAAGUUUGGCUGCCGCAAUUGACCGAGGCCAAAGUCACAUCAACGCCUCUCGCGCUAAAUUUCAUCUCAAAAAGGUGCCGUGUAUCUCAUCAUUGAUUUCCGAGAUGACAGCGUAUGAUAACUUGAACACCCAGCUUGUGUUACCAUUUGCCCGCACGGGCAUUCCGACUUGCGGUCUGCCGCACUGUCCAUGCGGCAUGCACCCGGGAUGGAUGCGAUUCGCGUGGAGCCCGCAGGCGGUGCUGACGAUUCCGCCGGUGCAAGCUUAGCUCUCACACCAUCAGCACUGCUGCAACAAAGCACAUCUCCCACCGCGUCGACACUACCCAUUAAUUGUCACACGUGCCGCGCUAGCUACCGGCCUGUACGGAUGCAGGGGGGGCCCGCCCUUUUUCACCCGACUUGUCGUUUUAGCGCAUUGUUGCCUGUUUAGCAUGUUUGACUUUCCAAGUGUCUGCAACUGCCGGUCAUCGGUCGAGAGCUUUCGUUUAGUUUAUCGCUUAUGUGUGUAUGUGUGUUACAUGGUUGGGGGUGCGUGACCCCACACCUGUAAAACUAUCCAUACGAGCCGAAGGCCCAAGGCAAUAUACCUAUACGCCUAAAAGCCACGGACAUUGUCGCGCCAUGCAGGUAGCCAGCAGGGCGAAGGGCCCAGGAGGGGAAGCGACGAAGAGCGAGGUGUAGAGGUAUGGCUGCGUCCCCAAGCCGUCGGGACCUCUGUCGUUGGGGAGGGCCAUUUGUACCGAGGCUCUCUCCCCCUGGGGAGCCUAAGAAUCUCCUCAAACGAUUUUCAAUGUAGCUGGGAGCAUUUCGCCCUGGCUGAAGCACCCCCACCCGACGCGCCCAACGAGGUAUACCGCACGGAAGAAACCGGGGACCGGUGUUACGGUACUACGUGAUACCGCCGGGAGCUGCUGCUUGAAGAACGGCGAACUAGUGUAUGCACAAGGCCGCCUGGCAUGCACCAUCACGCACGCGACACAUAUAUACAAUUAUCUCUUUCGCGCGCGCGAUUUAGCUCUAAAAUUCGAAGCGCGCUCCGGUGCAGGGCUGAUUAAGGAAAGGAAGUAUGUACGCAAUUAAGGGAAUUGAAAUGGAGAGGCAUCGACAUGCGAUGAUAAUGAAGCAAGCAAGGGCUACUGGAAUUGAUUACAGCGCUCCCAAAGCAACAGCUUGUAUAAGUUAAAUACUCUAUAACCCUCAAAAGGCAAACCGAAGAACGCAAUCUUAAACGAGUUGCGGAUCCUUCAGCAUCCCUUAUGAGAAUCGUAUCGCCCGCUGCUGAGUCCGUGCCAGGUACGACUGCCGUACCUGCUGCUGCGGCAGCUCCAUUUAUUAUUGAGCCUGGCCUACCUAUCUAACAACCAGUAGCAAAUCCCGACGCAAACUACCUCAAGAGAGCUCUCAGAGACAUCAAGGCGCCUGGCUAUGCGAUCAAGCUUUGAAACUAUCGUCUUGCACUACUACUUCCGCUGCGACAAGCAAGGUAAUAGGGCGGCAAGUGGUAAAUAAAGCAGGCUGAUGCGGUGUCUGGAGACCAACCUCGUGCGAUGAGGCGGCCGCAAUGUGGGCCACAUAGGCGAACAAGCAUCGAGCCGCUCGCCGCAACCACCACCACCACCACCACCACCACCACAGUCGCCACCUCCCUACGCAAGUACUUCAGCCCAUUUAUCACCCGUCGUCGCCAUAACAACCAAAUGUAACAACCAACUACCAACAUCCAGACGCCAACUACCGACUAUCGACAGUCGCAAUAACAACCAACUGCAACAACCAACUACCAACAUCCAGACGCCAACUACCGACUAUCGACACCAGCCACCUUAAGGUCAAUGUUGUCAACAGGCAAAGAGGAACGAUCGAUAAAUUGCCAGCUAACGUCGAUGACCUAAGCUGCUUUUAUAUUUGCACACGCACACCGCGAAUCGUGAACCCCUAACUGCUGCUGACAACUGCUGCUAACGACUUUUAACGACUGCUGCACUGAACUAGUAACGGUCGCUGUUAAGCGACAGCCCAUGCCAAGAUCAGAACCUGCUGCGACAACUAACACCCUAUCCUAAUAAAUCCGCCAACGACGGGACAACAACGGCAACCUCUAACAACAUAGGGACAACCAACAACCGCUAACCACCACAACAAUGGCAGUACCACAACUGCAGUAACGUGACAUUACUGCGAUGCCAAGUAGCUAUCUUUUGACUAUGACGACGACGAAAAUUAACCUUAUUCGCAUAAACCGCGUGUUCCUAAUCGCGGCAAUUGCGACGGAUUACAGAGCUUUAUAUGCUACACGCAAGCACGCACACGAGGCAACCGAACAUCCCCACACCACACAACCCGUUACCAAGAAACGACCGCACGUAGCUGAGUACGCAGUGGCGAAGACUGUAACGUUCAACGCAAAAGAUUAUACUGCUAUGGCCAUCAUCUGACUAUGAUUCACUUCCCAUAUCGGACAACGCACUUCAUGGUAAAACCGCCAACGACAACUGCCAAGGCGCGACUACUUGCUUACACCGCUUCCGCCAUGUGUCCACCUCCUCCUCUAAAUUGAUAUGUAUGGACCAUGUUGACCAGAUAAGCCUUCUGUAAGCUCUUUCACGAGGCCGCGCACGUAUACACACGUACAUACAUACACACACAUACAAGCAUACACAAGCAUACAAGCAUACACACACAUACAAGCAUACACACACAUACAAGCAUACACACACAUACAAGCAUACACACAUGUGCGCGAGUUCGACACCUCCCACCCUCCGGGGGAGGAGAGUGGAGCUAGCGGACCUGCAGCUCUCGGCUGCUUAGGAGGGGGCAGAGUCCCCUCGCGCCCCUCCCCCGUCCACGGGAGAGAGCUUAGGCGCUCCUUCCGUUGGGGCUGGGCAGCAGCCUCUGGCCCGUGUCAUGUCCGGUCAGAUAUUUGUAACAGACACACAGACACACAGACACACAGACACACAGACACACAGACACACAGACACACAGACACACAGACACACAGACACACAGACACACAGACACACAGACACACAGACACACAGACACACAGACACACAGACACACAGACACACAGACACACAGACACACAGACACACAGACACACAGACACACAGACACACAGACACACAGACACACAGACACACAGACACACAGACACACAGACACACAGACACACAGACACACAGACACACAGACACACAGACACACAGACACACAGACACACAGACACACAGACACACAGACACACAGACACACAGACACACAGACACACAGACACACAGACACACAGACACACAGACACACAGACACACAGACACACAGACACACAGACACACAGACACACAGACACACAUCCUGUACCAUGGUACCCUCUGCUCAGCGGUGCCCUCUGCACCUUGACGCUGCCGGUGGAUCACCUAUACUGGUCGAAAGGCCCAUUUCUGCCGCACGCAGACACAGGGGUAGGGCUAACUGUGAUUUUACGUGUUGUAGUAGCUGCUGCCCCCUCAGGCCGCAGUAUUGGGCACUCAAGAGCGCUUGAGCUCCAGGUCUCGCGCGGCGGCUUCCUCCCCGGCCGCAGCCGCCUGCUCCAUCUGGAUGUGGGGGAAGGCACUGAACCCGGACUUGACCCACUUCUCGUAGUCGGGGCCGGGCUUCAUGAGGGAGGCCAUCCGCUGGUCCUGGAGCAAGACGGCCUGCAUGCAUAUGUGUAUGUACGGCAGGGAUGGGUGUGCCGGCGGUACAAUAAUGCGGAUGCGGACAUGAGGAUGAUCCGCCAUGGCGCGGCAGUGUGUGGCGCGCGCAGUGGGGCGUGUGAAGAGGCGCCCCAUGGAUGGCGAUGUACUCCUGAACCUGACCUGGAGAUGAGCAAGAAAUAACAAAGAAACACUACUACCUGCUGAAGCCUGUGCCUGCGUGGAGCACAUGUGCGCCAACAGCAGCACGCAAAGUUGGAUGAACGAACUUCAGCAACGCAAAGAGCUGUCACAGUUGGCCUGUUGACGAAACCAUACUGCGCACCUGCUGGUAGCUGUGGUACUCCGCAAGCUCUCGGCGGUAAUCGGAGAGGGGGAAGUUCGUCGCAGCGGAAGAGCCACGCAGCCGCAGCAGCGACCUGUCGUACGAGGCCGCGGCGUCACGUUCGCUCUCGAACAGCCCCAGGUAGAUGUGCUUGCUUCCAGGGAUGCCGAUACGCGCCUCCCAGCGCCCCGACAGAUGCGCAGUGACCCCCCUGUACGUGGAACUACCGCGGCUGAAGCCCUGCAUCCACAUGGCAAUGUGGCCAAUAGAGUGCAUCAUUGUACGACACCGGUCAGUACGGCACAAGAUGAUGAAGUACAAGGAGCCAGCUGGCUUGGCUCCCUUGUUUCUCGGUGGUUUAACCAGGAAACACACUAUUGGCCAAUUACUAGCUACGCACGUAAUGAUUGAUGUCCACAACAGCAUAAUGAGCUCUUUCAACCUACCUGACUUUGGCGCCGAACGGCCAUGAUAAGGUCCUCCAGUUCGAUGUCCUUCAGGGACGGAAGCAGGCCCUGGUACUGGCUGAUCGGGAAGUUCGUGCGCACUCCCUGCCGGGGCGUACGGGCAGGACGGGUCAAGGGAAAAGGCGUCCGGAGAGGAGGUCAGUUUAAUUGGCGAAUGGGGAGAGAUGACGGGGUUGGACAGGGGGGACUGUUAACCUACUAUGUCGUAAUGUCAUUUUGUGCAGACUGAAGCUGACAAUCCGUGUUUGCGGUAUCUGGCUUUAAGGGUUUCUCAUAUCAGACGCAUCAACAAGAAUCCUCCACUACGGGCUACUAGAAAAUACUGUUCUCUGGAAGCAACAUCAGGUACAUCAGCGACUUUGCUGGGGUGGUGGCGGGGCCGCACUUUGGUUCCCUUGCACUUCAGCACCGCCACGUCGUACGCCUCCGCCGCGUGCACCUCCUCCUCGUAGCCGCCCAGGUAAACCUGACGGCCGAUCUCCUUCACCCAGAUGUGCGCCUCCCACCUGGCAAAGUCACGUACGUACGGCACAUGUGCAAUAGGUGCUGGGUGGUGCGGAUACGAUAGUGAGCAAGUACUGCAGUACUGCAGUACCUGAUGAACACCUGAUCCCUGCCAGUACUUGCAUACACAGAUGCGCCCGGUGCUGCUGCACUUUCUAUUGAUGUUGAAGUUUGACGGAGAUAACGAUGCAAGAAGCCAGGGAGUCGCCCUGGGAGCCAUUGUCUCCUCACCUGCCGCUGCGGCGGUGCUUCGUUACCCCUCGAAACCGGGAUGACCGCCGCUUGCCGUUCCCCUCCUCCCCGCCCCCUUCCUGUUGGCCGUCAGCAUCACCGCCACCGUGGCUGUCCUCCGCCGCCGCCGCCACCGAGCGGCUGUCGCCGCUGGACGAGCGACCCUGCCGCGAGCUGUGAAACUUUGCUAGGGCCGCCAUAGCGGCGCUGCGCUUCGGUGCGCGUGAGCUCGUCCCUGCCGCCCCCGCCUCCGCUGCCCCUUGCGGCCCGAGUAGUGUUGCGUGCAGCGGCGGCGCAUGUGGCGCUGCUGGCAACGGUGUUGCAACCACCUCCGCCACCGCCCCACCACGACGCGGUUUGCCUUGGCCCUUUAUGCUGAUCCUCUCUGCAGCCUCAAUCACAGGUCCAGCUCCGCCGAAGUCGUGGGUCGGCUGAACAUUGCCCCCGGCAGCUAGGGCAGCAGCUGCUUGGCCUUGCACCUCCUCCCCUACCCACGCUGCAGUGCGGCGAUUACCGUCGCCCAUGGCGAUGGCAAAGGUAAGAUUUGGUAAGGAGCUCACGGUGGCGGGUGCGGAGGCGCUCCGCAUGGGUGCUGAGUCCAUGCCGUCUGCAGCAGCGGCUGAAGGGUUGUCGGGGGCAGUCGGCGGGUACAACAGGCGGGCUUCACCAAAGGCGGCCGCAGCUGCGGCGCCGGUAGAUCCACCAUGGUGCAGGUACGUCAACAGGACAUCAUCGGUAUCCUCGUUGGGCUGUGCUGGCGUCAAGCCGUACACGUCCAUGCUGUUGCCGUACAUUACACCGCCCUGGUCGCCGCCCGGAAAGCCUCCGCCGCUGUCUUGGAGAGCCGCCGAUAAGGGUCCCCGCCAGUCGAGCGACGACAGCGCCCGGCGCUCCGCCCGCAGCCCUCCAGAACUGUGCCCUUCAAUUGGAUCCGCCAGGUCGGCAUACCGGGAGGCAGCGGCGGCAGAGGUGCUGGGCCGCUGUUGGCUCUCCACGGCGGGCUGAGGAAAGCCAAGUCCCUGUCCAUGCACGCUGUCGUACAUGCCAAAGCGACCGGCGGUGUCAGCACCGCUGCUUGGGAUGUCAGCGGAGGUCUGGAAGGCGGUAUUUUGCAGGUGGUGGUGGUAUUGGUGCGGGUGGUAGUGCGGCGGGUUAUGCUGCCGCUGUUGUCUUUGUUGUUCGUACAUUCGGAGUCUCUCGCUGGAUUGGGUUGCAGGGUACCGCCCAUGACUUUGAGCCGCAGUAGCAGUAGCAGUAGUGAGGUGCGACUCCCCCCCCGCCAUAGCACCCGGCAGCUGCGGUUGGAACUGCUGAUGCUGCUGCUGCUGCUGCUGCUGGAAUUGCUGCUGCUGGUGAAGAGGGCGACGGUGAUAGUCUUGACGCUGUAGGUUGGAGCGAGGUUGUUGUGUGGGGGGAUGAAGAUGGUUUUGGGGAUGGUGGGGGUGGUGAUUGGACCGCUGCUGCUGCUGCUGCAACAAUGGUGGUGGUGGGUGCUGGUAGGACUGAAUGGCUGCAGUAUCGCUGUACGGCAUAUGGCUAGCCUGUUCAGGCAUUUCCGCACUGCUGCAGCCCAAAUCCUUCCGCUCGCCACCCCCGGUAUUCGCGCCACCCCCCCCGGGGGUAUUCGCGUGCAGCACACCCAGUGACCCCCCGCAGUGCAACUGGUCCUCAGCAGCCGCCGCCGCCGCCAUCGGGCCCCGUGGCCCUUCUCCCGUGAGGAUGGAGAAAUCCUCAACGGGCUCUGCGGAGUACGCCGUGCCGUGCGUUGCUGUGUCGCGCAUAUACAUGUCGUACAAGUCGUAUAUUGUUGUUCCCUGCAGCGGUGACGGUGAAGAGUUUAGCUCCUGUGGGCCUUGCCCCGGUGGCUGCAUGUGUUGCGGUUGAGGUAGUUGCGGCGCUGUCACAUGCUGGCGGUUCAUCAGCUCCUGUGGCGGCAGUUGUGUGGACGUUCCGCCGGCUGCGGUGGCACCCGCGCCGUUGGCCGGCUGUCCGGGCUGGGCAGCCGCGGGGGGCCCGUACCCGGGGGGGCCCCACGGAGCAGUCCCGCGGUCGUUCCCGGGGGGGAGGAGGUGACUCUGAUGGAGAUGAUGGUACUGGACAGUGUACGGCUGCCGUAGGUGAGAGUCGAGUACGACACCAGUGCUGGGGCUAGAGGCCUGCAUGCUCCUGCCUCUUCGACCACCAUCAUUACCUCCACCGCCAUAACUACCACCACCACCACCACCACCAUCACUAAUGGGUCUCCUUCUCGCAGCUGCUUUGCCAGCUUCGGCACUGCCGGCCUCAAACGUUGCGGCAGAGCCCGCAGAUUCCAACCUUUCCACAGCUGCGUGCCCAGCCCGGAAAUCGCUGCUAGUUGCACCGUUGUUGUCGGUGACACCGUUUGUGGCAUACAUGGCCACAUCGUACGGGUGCAGCGGGGGAAGCACGCGAGCAUGAGCGCCCUGCACCGCUGGCAGGCACAGUUGCGGCUGUAAUAAUUGGUCGUAGCGGUUAUAUUGGUUGUGGUUGCUCUGGUGGUUGUAACCGAGGUCCAGUACUGAAUGUUGGUUAACCUGGGUGGUUGGACAGGUUCGCCCUCCAGGGAGCCCGCCACUGCCCCCGGGGCCCGAUGGCGGCGGCUGCGGCGGCUGCGGCGGUGGUGGCGGCGGCGGUGGUGGCGGCAGCGGUUCUUGGUUGCCGAAGUCCAGGGAAGUUCCCGGAGAAGUGAUGACGGGCGCCUGCCGCGACUGGUCGCCGUGGAUGGUGAUGGUGGCGGUGGCAGUGACGUCGGUAUCACACUUGUACGGCGCGAUAUGUACGGCACUGCAAUGAAGUUGUCGGGAGCGCCGCCGGAUCCGGUCCGUGAGGUUGCCGAUAUCCUCUCCUGCGACUUGGCUGGCAGGUGGUGGUGGUGGUAGUGGUGCUGGUGGCGGUGGCUGCUCCCCAGCAACUAGGGCGCGGGAUGACGUCCUGGCGACGGCAGCGGCAGCGGUCGGAACACCAUCUGCGGCGCUUUCAGGGUUGUCAGGGUUGUCAGUAUAAGCGGUGGCGACUUCAAGGGCGGUGGCUGCGUUGAAAUGUACGGCAUGAGGCAAGCCACUGUUGUCAUCAGCCGGAAUGGCGGCGGUUCCGCCAUUACCAAUCUCAGCCAAUGAUUGAACGCUGUUAUGCGCGGACAGCAUAGCCACGUUCGCGACGACUACAGGUGCGGCGCUAGUGCGGUUCGAAGCCAGUAUCACUGUCCCUGUGGUUCAGCGUUGUCAGUUCCGCCGUGUAGACUUGCUGCAGCCGUCCGCCGUAUCGUAUCACCUGGCACCAACGUUAUAAGGAAAUACAUAUUUAAGGCAAAUCAUACUUGAAUCUAUGAAUUUAAGCGCUCGACGUGAAGCGCGUUCAUCAAAAGAGUCGAUAAUGGGUCGAUCGCGAAAGGGUUAUCGUUUUCGCAAGACUUGCGUGCGUUAACGUUGCUUUCGCACUAGGUGGCGCUCAUACAACCUGGAAAUAUGACAGUAACACCAGCAUUUGCUUACUUCCGCUUUGUUUACAGCUUAAGAGGCAGCGUAACCUCAAACGCCAGGUUAGAGGAAAUUCGCCACAGAAACGGGGCCAGUUCGACGCGCGCGGCGACAGUCGUCGGCCUUGAGCUUAGCUAACAGCCUUCGUAUGCUUGUCAAGCGAGUUAAACAGAACCGUCAAGUAUGGCAAGUUUAUUUUCAUAUUCUCCAACGGAAAACACGAAAUAUGCUUUUGCCGAAUAUGCUAAGCACGGACAUUACGCGCGCGCGUAGCGAGUCGAAGCAGCGAGCGAGCGAUGCCUCCGGCGGCGAGCAAAAACAGACAAACGAAGGCCAAACGAAGUCGCUUGCCUCACCAGAUGACUGAUCUCAGAUAGCACGACCUGUGUGACUUGGACGCAAAGCUGUGCCGCGCUCGCUGCGAGCGCGAAUGCUGCCCACACGUUUCAAACGGAUCGCGGAGGAGCAGACGAUGUGGCGGGAAUAUGCCUUACGCAUUCGAACGCGAAGGGGAAAUACGCAUAAGAGAGCUAAGCUGCACACUACUAGAUCUUAACUGGCCAAAAGUACAAACCAUAUCCUUUUCACGAUUACAGUCGAUGUUUAAAUACGACGGAUUAAAUAAAGUUAGCGAUUGACUUUUCAUAUCUUGCCCGUAGCCCGGACGGACUAGCCGAGGCGCAAAAUCUCACAUACGAGCCAGCCGAGGCACAAAAGCGCGCUCGAACGCACGAGGCACGAGAUGCACGAGGCAAAAAAGAUCUACUCAUCCCCGCUAAUAAAACUGCAUUUUUUCUCAUACUUUGCUUUGAUUGCUUAUUUUUGUUACCGUUCGGCCCUAGUAGAGUGUCGUCAUUAUGGGCGUUUAGUAAGGUCAGAGCGUUUCGGAAAGGCGGCUCGUAGCCUAAGCAGGCAGUUGCGUAGAAGCUAAGUGGAUGCACUGUUCGUGUCCUCCGAGGACUCCGAGGACUUUGAGGACUCCGAGGACUCUAACAACUUACCUGCUGACCGCUCCGAGAACAGUUGCCCAGGAAGUUGCGCCCCCCUUUCCAGCUGCCCUGUAAAACGAGGCACUGCGUAGUGCCUCCCUGUAGUGCCACAAUACACAGUCCCAUAUACACAGUCCCAUAAAGGAGAAACGUUAGUAUCCAAUAUUGAAUAUAUAUGCAAUAAUCAAGCAACGUAAUUAAGCAGACCGGAAAUAGGGAGAAAGGUUAGACUCACUGCUCUGCAGCACCUAACAUAAACCACAUAUCCUCUGCUCCCCUGCCUUCCUAAGGCACGGACACUCGCGCGGCAGCUGAUAGUGUUCAUGAUGCGCGCGAACUCACUUUCCUCUUCUGCCACACCAUGCAUGCUAUGCCGCUCCGGCUAGUAGUAAUUCGUCCAUCGCGGCCUCUUAAUGGAUUCGGCUCCUUGCAUGGCAUGCGGCCUUCUUUCACUCCCUAGCUAACUCCCAAGAUGCAGUAGGCGAGGUCGUCGGUGCAAUUGGUGAUCCUUAAACACACAUUUCAUUUUUACCCCGCUGCAGAAUCACGCAUCCCUUUACCUCUUGUCGCCGGAAAGAUAAACGAAUGCUGUUACAUAUAUUCAUAGGCCUGCCAGGGUCGAGAAACCUUCCAAUGGUGAAAGGUAAAAGUGCCCCUAGUCGAUGGACGGUGGUGACCUCGGAUAAAGUUAAUCUGCGAGCUGACCAGGAAUGGAGUUGAGCAGCUGUCGACCCGGCAGAUUCCGUUGGAUGCCGGUGGUGGGUGCGGAACAUGAGCGAUCCACUGACAAGUUGGCUCGGGUGACUGGACGAGGGUGCCCCAAAACACCGGGGAAGGCAGGGUCUGCCGGGUAGCGGCUGCAGGAUGAAGAUAUUACCCCCCUGUCCCGCACGUCAUACAUGCAUACAUACAAGUUUUUGGCACCACUGGUAACGCGCGACCAUUGCCCCCGGGAGAUCCCGGGAUCGAUACCCGUUAGGGUCAGAAGACCUUCCGAUGGUGGAAGGCAUUGCGCCCCUAGUUGAUGGACGGUGGUGACCUGGGAUAAAGUUAACCUGCGAGCCGACCAGGAACGGAGUUGGGCCGCUGUCGACCCGGCAGAUUCCGGUGGAUGCUGGUGGUGGGUGCGGAACCUGAGCGAUCCACUGAGAAGUUGACUAGGGUGACUGGAUGAGGGUGCCCCGAAAUACCGGGGAAGGCAGGGUUUCGCAGGGUAGCUGCCACGGGCGAAGAUACACCCCCCUGUUUCACACAGCAUACAGUGAAUCCCGCCGGCAGAUCACUGCUGGCUCCGCAGCCAAAAGCACUGUGUAAGCCAUGGAAGACACUCAUAACAACAUUAUUAGGUACUACUAGACCUCAAGGUGAACCCCGUAACACAGCUUGGACAACAACACGCGACCAGGGACACUCCAAUAAUGCCCUGCACGAGGGUGCGGGUGUGCAAAGUAAAGGCCAUCAUAGAGAGAGAGAGAGUAUACAACAUAUUGCAAAACUGGAUGCCGUUUGUUCGAACAUGCAAGACUUGCCCUUACAACUAUGCUACAACUUGAUGAGGUAGUGGUUACCAGGAUUGGAACCACUGCCACUGACGUUGCUCGUCAAAUAAAGUAUGAAUGUACGGCAUAUGUAUGGCACUCACCCAUACCAUGGCUGGGUGGGACAGGGUCAGGUCAGGGGUGAGGUGAAGAGCCGUUAGGUGGGUUGGUGAAACGAACUGCAGGAUGGCAACCCAUGCUGGUGCCGUACUUCUGUGCUGAGGAGACCGCAUAGGUCGCUGGAAUCACAGUCUAACAGUUCCAAAGUUCAUGCUUGAUCCCCAGGCGGCGAUGUUUUCUCGACAGAACGGGUUUGUCGUACAAUGAUUACAUUUAAUGCACCGCCAAUUACACGUCACGUGCAUGGUGUGGGGGGAUUGGCGGCAGUACGGCAGUUUGCUGGUUGUAUAUGUGUGUGUGUGAUGAGUGUGAUGAUGUGUGUUUCAUUCAUUUUGUGGCUAAUGUUGUGUGCCUGUUACAACGGCUGUCGGGUGUCUGGGCCCUAUUGGGCCUAUUGUGUUCCCCAGGACCACAUGUUUAGUUACAUGCAUGCAUCCUUGCCACUAACCUGCUUACUCGAUCAUACGACCAGCCUUUGCCAAGCCCUAUCAUAGAGGGUCCCCCUCAUCGGUAGCCCUCUGUUCAAGAGGCAUGCAGGUGGAGGGCUCCCACGGUCCAUAAUCCGGAUAAACCGACUGAGUCGGGCGCCUGUACAUACACUGUGUGUAUGUAAUGUGUUACAGAGUGGGAGGCUUCUGGGCCGCUUUAUCACAUUGUCAGUUCUACGAUCAUUUAUCACCUUAUAGCACCAUCCACCACUACCACACUGUCUUCGCCAUACGAACUGUAAGUCCAAGGCGGCGGAUCCAGCCUUCAGGGACCCCUCCUCAUCCAUUCACCCGAACACCCGAAGAGACGGAGGGUUCGGCAAUCGCCACCAAUCCAGCGUGCGAAUCUGGUCCAUCAACUGUGACCUCAACUCCACAUCUCAGCAGCUAGCCAUAAUCUCGCGCUCCCGACUACUUCGGGGGUCUCCCCAGGAAUCGAACCCAGGACCUUAAACCGCUAAUUGCAGUAGUGUCAACCCAGAUGUCAACCCAGACCAGUGUGUAUGUGUGUGUUACAUGGUUGGGGGUGCGUGACCCCAUACCUGUAAAACUACCCAGACAAGCCGAAGGCCCAAGGGCAAUGCUUCAACGCCUAAAAGCCAUGGAGAACAGGAAACACCGCACAUCAGCCCAGACUAGCGACUAAAAAGGGUAACUGAGUUUCGGUGAGCCCACAUACGUUCCGGCUGGCGGCUGGCAGAAGUUAAGGCCUGACUUCUGCUCCCAGUCGAUCCAGUCGACCCGGGUUCAAAUCCGCCUGCCAGCUCCUCGGGUGUUUGAGGAGUGAUGAAAUGGGAGGUGGCCCCCCAUCAUAUGGACGGUGUAGGACGUGAUAAUAUCAACUUGCGAGCUGACCAGGAACUAAGUUGAUGCGCCGUCGAUCCGCUAGAUUUGGUUGGAUGCUGGUGGUGAGUUGCCGAACCCAACGAAUACAUUCUGAAGUCGGAUGGGGUGACGGAUUAGGGUGCCCCUCUAGCAGGGGAGAGCAGGGACUGCCCCGGGAAAGGGGGCCGCUGGCGAAGUUAACCACCCUGUAACAACAUACAUACGUUCCAACAUCCUCGCCAGACGUACUGGUUCCCAUUCCAUGGCCUCUAAACGCUCUGAUAAUCGAAUCCCUCUUCAGCACAAAUAUCAUUAUAGGCUGGGCAUUCCAAUAACACGUGUUUUUCAUCCUCGAUUCGGCUAUUAGUACCACAACAGCGGCAAAACCGCUGCCCCCUGGGAACAUGGUACUUGCCCCUUCGUGCUCUGUUUGCCUCCAGAGCCCAGCAACAUAAACGAAACUGCAGUAGCUUACGAUGUGCUAAACGAGGAAUGAAAACCUUAGCAUGUGUUGGCCACAUUACGGCUGCGGCUCCCGAAAAGGGCAGCCCCAUCCAGUGCUUACACUUCGCCAUUUGCACUCCCGGUUGCCUCCCAUCUGAUGGGUACUCCUCUGGCAAGGCAGUCAGACGCGUAUGGUCCCAGCCGCUCACCAAACGCUCUCUUUGUGCCGUUAUCAUCGCUCCUUCGGGGAGAGGCCUGCUCAACAACCAGUGUAUGUCGACUACCCCGGGAAUAGCAGCUGGCCUGCUGCCAGCAAAUGCCAGUGGUGGCCGUCACGGUCUUGCCUGUCUGCCGUACAUUUAUACAUACAGACAUUCAUACCAUAGGCGGCUGGCAGAGGAUUAGGCCUGACUCCUGCUCUCGGAGUGUCCGGGUUCAAAUCCGCUUGCCGACGUCUUAAAGUGUAAAGGGUGGUGAAUUGGAAGGCGGCCCCCCAUCUGGUGAAUGGAGAAGGACGCGAUUACAUCACCAUGCGAGCUAACCAGGAAAUAAAUUGACGCGCCGUUGAACUGCUAGAUUUAGUUGGAUGCUGGAGUAAGUUUCUGAACCUAAUGAAUACACUCUGAAAUCGGAUGGGGUGAGUGGAUUAGGAUGCCCCUCUCGCAGAGGAGAGCAGGGAACUGCCUCGGGAAAGGGGGCCGCUGGUGAAGCUAUACCACCCUGUAACGACAUACAUACAUACAUACAACACAGUGCUCCUCAGGGCUCCCUCAACACAUCCUGGAUAAAUAAUGCUUCUACACGGCCUAGUCAAGUCCUUAACUGUCAACAAGUCGCCGACUGCAGUACAUUGGCAUGGCUAGCCGUACAACCGCUGUAUCAAACAUGAAUCGCCAUUAAAAAGAAAGCUAAGCCUGGAAUGCCAUGGAAAGAAUACUCCGGGACAGAAAAGGAAAUAGAUAGUGAUGUGUGGAAUGUGCUGGCCGCUGAAAACGCCUCUCAAGAUAAUGGCAGAGCGCUUUUAUAGCCAUAUUUAUGUUACAGCAUGUGUGCUGCUGUACUCUGUAUGAUUGCGGCCCCAAAAUCCCAAAACCGUCAACUGACAUUGGUCACACCAUUCUGAGUGAAGGCGCACAUAUCGGGGCUGUUCAUUUAUUAAUCGUGAACAAGGCAACUAAUAACUAGCCAGAUGCGGAAUGGGAGCCCACUGAGUCCCUAAACCACUUCGCUCCGACCCAAUUGCCCGAUGUCCUUUUCCUGAUGUGUGUGGCGGCAGGUCCUCCAGUGCCGGCUCCUGCUGUUGCGGCGGCUGCUGUAGGUGAUGCUGGUAGUGGCGCUGCUGUGGUAGGAAGCUCUCAUGACUGUACGAUGUUCCACAAGCUUGUGCAGAGGUCAUCUUCCUGUUGUCGCAUGCAGCCUCUUGUCCGCCCUCCAGACGGGGCCCCAGCAGUUGAACUUGUGGCUCGCCCAUUGACCUGUUUUGCAACUGCUGGUCAUGGGCCGCUGCUGCUGGUGCCUCAUCAAGCCCGCCCUAUCCCUGGGGCAGCUCCACGAUACCCAGGGCGACGACUGUCCUCCCAUGCGGCUGCAGUUCGGGCCACUGCUGGCGGCCAGAGACUCCAGUGCCCGUGUCUCCAUGACUUCACCCACAGCGGAUCUGGUCUCGGUCCUAAAGUGCGACAUCUUGGGGGCUGCAGGUCUGUAUGCAACAUAAAGAGCAAGAUAUGAUUACACGCAGGGAAAGCCAGGCCAACAAACAUCAGGAGUUGCAUGCACAUUACUUCGGACCUACCCUAAGACAGUCACAGGAAUAAUGAGCAAAGGAGUAAGGAGGGGUUCAAACUGGUUCGCAGCCAUGCGGAUUAUACAGCAUCCGACGGGACGCUUAGGGGACUAUGCAUUCGCCAACAGUAAUGGUGAUCCGUCCGCUCAAGUUUGAUAAAAGGCAUGUCACGCGUUGCACAACUUUGAGGUCCUCUGGAUCCCUUUAAAAAUUUGAGGACUAAUCAAUUUUGUUUCAUCGUACUGCAAAACGUUGUGCAGCAGAGCAUGUCAGCACGCCGUGAGCCCAAAAGAGCCCAAACGAACUGGGAGACUUGAAUGAAACGGCGAGAAAUGCUUCUGGGUCAUAGCGGCAACUAAAAUUGAAUCACCAGAGAAAUUUCAUUCAAACUAAAAUCCAGAAAUGAGCGCGUUAACGAAGGCGUAUAUAGACUACUCCUGCUGCUGCGCUCUAGCUUCGAUGGAUGGCAGCCAGCAGCCAGGAUAACUUACAAGACAAAGGAGAUUGAUAAAGUGGAAUUGGAAAAGAUUUAGUGUCAGCAUACUCUGGUAGCCAGUUUGGCUUUUAUGUGGUUGCGGACUGCUGGGCCGGGGUGGCCAGGGGAGGUUGGUUGUUUGUAGUAUCCUGGGUAUAGCACGGAAUCUGCAUCCACUUUGGUUCUUCCUAAAAAUGUCGUGGUAUAAGAAAUGGUAUCGAGCAGGUAUCUCGGUUCUGAUCCUAGUUCCAUUUUCAGCUAAGACUUGGGGCAGGGGACCGGGGAGAGUACAAGUGCGGGGGGAAGUGGGGGCGGCAACCCCACGACCCCGCACGUACAUUCACUGAAACCCCCACCUGGCCACCGACAUGCGAUCAUGAUAUGGAUGAGCGGUAGCCCUGGCAAUUAAAAGCAUGAAUUUGGAACUCCCAUCGUAAUAGAGUCCGAAAGUACGUGAUUUAUGAUGUACAUGAUGCAUGGGGUGCAUAGGCUAUCGCCAUGGAAAGACACAGAAGCCAAGCUGCUGUAACUCCAUUUGGGCUAUCUUUGUCCUAUCUGUUGCACCAUGCCAUCCAGAGGUUCAGAAGCUUCUUGAAAGGAAUGAAACCAACUUGUCGUCACGUCCUAGACCGCUGCUGGGUGACAAGAGUCACUCCCAUGCAACAUGCUUCUAAAAGCAAUUCCGCAGGCAAGCACGAGCGUGGCGCUGCGAUGUCGACAUUGCUGAUAUACGUGACUUAAUGCUCAAUCAUUUGACGGCAUGCUGAAAGAAGAAACAUGCUUUGUAAUACCUGCUGUAGAGUCCAGGGCUUUCCUUGUCAACUGUAAUGCCUAGGCAUUAUAGGAGGCCUCCUAUUGCCUCGUACUCCUAAAUUCGUUCGAUCCUAUGUAGUAAAAAUCAACCUCCCCAGGCAACCCCGGCCCAGCAGUCCGCAACCACAUAAAAGCCAAACUGGCUGCCAGAUUAUGCUGACACUAAAUCUUUUCCAAUUCCACGUUAUCAAUCUCCUUUGUCUUGUAAGUUAUCCUGUCGCCUGACAGCCAUCAGUCCAUCGAAGCUAGGGCGCAGCAGCAGGGAUAGAGCGGGUCGUCUAUAUACGCCUUUGCUAACGCGCUCAUUUCUGGACUUCGUUUGACAUUAACAUUCCUCUGGUGAGUUCAUUUUUAUUGCCUCAAUGACUCAGAAGCAUUUUUCGCCGUUUCAUUCGAGUCUCCCAGUUCGUUUGGGCCCACGGCCGCAGCGAGUGUGACAAGUCCUGCUGCACAACGUUUGCAGUGCGAUGCAACAAAAGAGAGUGGUUCUCGAAUUAGCAAAAAUGGUCCCCAGGACCUCAAACUUGCGUGACAGCCUUUUAUUGAACUCGAGGCAUAUGGAUAGACCACCAUUAUUGCUGGCGGGUGCAUAUCACCCUAAGCGUCCCGUCGGAUGCUGUAUAAUCCGCAUGGCUGUGAACCAGUUUGAACCCCUCCUUACUCCUUUGCUCAUUAUUCCUGUGACUGUCUUAGGGUAGGUCCGAAGUAAUGUGCAUGCAACUCCUGAUGUUCAUUGGCCUGGCUUUCCCUGCGUGUAAUCAUAUCUUGCUUCUUUAUGUUGCAUACAGACCUGCAGCCCCCAAGAUGUCGCACUUCAGGACCGAGACCAGAUCCGCUGCGGAUGGAGACACGGGCACGGGAGCGUCUGGCCGCCAGCAGCGGCCCGAACAGGGAACUGCAGCCGCAUGGGAGAACGGUCGUCGCCCUAAUGAUCGUGGAGCUGCCCCAGGGAUACGUUAGCGGUGGGCUUGAGGCACCAGCAGCAGCGGCCCAUGACCAGCAGUUGCAAAACAGGUCAAUGGGCGCGCCACAACUUCAACUGCUGGGGCCCCGUCUGGAGGGCGGACAAGAGGCUGCAUGCGACAACAGGAAGAUGAUUUCUGCACAAGAUUGUGGAACAUCGUACAGUCAUGAGAGCUUCCUACCACAGCAGCGCCACUACCAGCACCACCUACAGCAGCAGCCACCGCAGCGGCUGCCGCCACCGCAGCAGCAGCCACAGCAGCAACAGCCACAGCAGUGGCAGCAGCAGCCACCACAGCAGCAGCCACCGCAGCCACCGCAGCAGCAGCAGCAGCAGCUGCCGCCGCCACUGAAGCCGCAGAAAGACCUACUGUCACACUAUGAGCUGCUGCCACCACCGACGCAGCAUCCGUAUCCGCAGCAACGGCCAAUGCUGCAUGAGCUUCCGCCACUGCAGCAUCUACAGCAUCAUCAUCUGCAGCAGCAGCAUCUGCAGCAGCAGGAGCUACUGCCGUCACUUCAUGAACAUCUGCAGCAGCUGCUGCAGCCGCAACAGCAGCUGCUGCAACCGCAACAGCAGCAGCUGCAGCCGCAACAGCAGCAGCUGCAGCCGCAACAGCAGCAGCUGCAGCCGCAACAGCAGCAGCUGCAGCCGCAACAGCAGCAGCUGCAGCCUCAACAGUAGCAGCUGCAGCCGCAGCCGCAGCAGCUGCAGUCGCAGCCGCAGCAGCUGCAGUCGCAGCCGCAGCAGCUGCAGUCGCAGCCGCAGCAGCUGCAGUCGCAGCCGCAGCCGCAGCCCCAGCAGCCGCCGCAGCAGCAGCUGCAGCCACAGCAGCAGCAGCAGCUGCAGGCGCAGCAACAGGCCAAGCGGCGAAGGCUUAGUGAGCUGCUGCUAGAAGAGCUACAGCGGAGAUCCUUACCGGGCCCCACCUAUGCCUCCGCCAUUGGUGACGCCAAUCACUGUACUGCAGCGCUCCCAGGGGAGGAUGUGCAAUGUGAAGCAGCUCCUGCCCCAGGCGUCAGGCAGAACUACCGGCAGUACAAUGCCAAUGCUACUAAAACGGUUAAAGCCAUUUUAGGUCCUCAAAACAUGGCAAUGGAUAAGGUUGCGACACCAUCACCCGCGCCAGGGAUGCGAGGACUGCAGGCGCCGGGGUUGCUGCUACUAGCGCAGGAGGCAGAGGCCGUACAGGUGAUAGAGGUUGCGGACACGGAGCAGGCGGCGAGGAUAGAGAAGGCGGCAGUAGCGGCGCAGCCGGCGGAGGGGGCGAAGGCGGCUGCAGGAGCACCCUACCGAGCUCUGAGCCGCAGUAAUAGUGCCACUGUUGCAUCGUUGGAUGACAGCUCGCAGCGGCAUCGCACGCCCAGCGUUAGCAACCGCUUGGCGGCGGAGGAGGAGAUGGACUGCCACGGUGGCCGUGAUGCUGUUGCCGACAGAGGCGAAGCGGCGGCUGAUGGCGAGCUGCAACUGUCCCAACUUCACAGUGUGACUAAGGAUGCGGCCUCCGGAAGGCAAGAGUGCGAAGUGUAAAGGCGCGAAGUGUAAAGGCGCGAAGUGUAAAGGCGCGAAGUGUAAAGGCGGGAGCGCGUCCAACCAUCAUCCACCGUUAAUAUGUAUAAUUUAUGUUUCAAUAAGAAAAAACUCUACCAUCUAGGGGAUCUUGAACGUCGGCUAAAACUCGGGGCUUGUGAUGGGUUAUAAGGUCUGGGAGUCACAGCUGUCAACCAUCCGUAGCUUGCAAAAGCAAACAUCCAUUUGUAAUCACUAUCAGUUCAUCUUCCGAAACCGUCCCCGGCCAGACAUGCAGUCAGGGGUCGUCAGGCACAUCCGCCUUUGAGAGCACAUUUCUUCUUGCGAACUGUUACUGCAUUUGUACCGGCAUAAACACAACAUGGCACUUUACCCAUCGCACAUGGCAAGUGGUCCCCUUCAUGCGGGAAGGGCUUUCCUUGCUGUCAGCAUUAUUUUAUACACACAUAAUUAUUUGCUCAUUAGUCCUUGAAUCAACCAUGUAUGUCGUACAUGCAUCACACAAUGCUGUACAUGCGCCGUUUUGUUCUUGGGCCAUGCAUGAUGCAGGUGGCUUGCCAACGUCUAUGUGGAGCAGUUAGGUGGCAUAGUUGACCUGGGCAGCUUUGACAACGCGGUGCACGCUGCGGAAGCGUACGACAUUAUGAUGCUGCGGUUCCAGGGGAUCGAGGUACGAGAAGCUGAUGCCGCUCUGCACCCGAGAAACCAUCGGUUGAUGUUUGCGUAUACCUCGCUUUCAGAGCGUGUGCCGCCAACUAGCUAGGCCAUAACUUUGGCAUGUGUCGCAUUAUUCGCUAUCUAUAGCACAAAAGAAUAUGCAAUCUUAAAUCUGUAUGAUGGACGACUGAUGAAGUGGCUUUGCUUCGCCGCAUUUAAUGCUUCAACUAUAGCUGGCUAGCAGGCAAUCUUGCCCGGCAGCCAGUUCGUUGUUCCAUUAGUAGUUAUGUUACCCGGGGUUUUAUGGUUUAAAACCCUAAAAAUCUUGCGUACCUUCCGACGCCUUCAUGUAUAUUUUCGCCAACGAUACAUUCCCCACCCUUUCUGACAUGCACGCACGCUGCCGGUCGAUACCCUCUUCUUUCCGAUUCGCCUGCUGCCGCCGUUUUAUUCUUCCGACACCAUCCCACGGCUGCGGCAGGGCGUCCAAACUAACUUUCCACUCAAGCGCUACGAGAGGCUGCUCCCCUACCUUGGAAAGGUGUGGCUGCAAGACCUCGCCGCCGCAUUGAAGAGCAGGUGCCGGCAGGUGCGUUUGAUACAGCUUUAUAUACCGUAGGUUAAUAUUUUUAUCCCAACGAAAAACUGAAACCGGAGGAAAUGCAAAUGGAAAAUUUAAUGACUCAAGGUAAAUCGUUAAACGAUCAUGAAUUUGCUGAUAGUUAAUUUAAAAAAAUGAAAUCGUUGUUUUCCGGUUUAAGGUUUACUGCUUGUUAAUGUAUUCUAUACAGGCCGCCUGUGUAUUGACAUGUAUGUGUGCAGCCAUAAAAAUGAUUCAUAGCCUUGUGUGCAGCGGUGUGAGGAAUACUGCUCCUUUAUAUGCGGCAUGAGGAGGGUGGACUGAGCAAGAAGCGCCCGCUAGGAGAAUGGAAGCCUAGUGGUUGUUUGUCUGUCGACAUUUCGGUCGUCUACAUCUCGCACCCCGGUAUAAUAGAAGGGAUGGUCCCUAUCUAAUGUACAUAUACCAGGACACGACCUGCAGAUGAUCAAAACGUUUAAGACGCUUGGUGUAGCUACACCAAGCGUCUUGAAUGUGAAAGAGGCUCAUCAGUCGUACCAUGAUGAUAAUGAUGAUGAUGAUGUAGAGCAUUGCAGCAUGCAAGCAAACAGUUUCCACUAUCCGUGCCAUAAAUUGCUAUACAUACAUACGUGUAGUGUACAACUUCGAGCUGCUGCUGUUCAUAAUAUGGCUUGCUGUGUCUAUCUAUUUCGGGUCGUGUGCAUACAGGAUGUACAACCUGGCAGAACCCCAGUCUAUGUGGGCGUCACUCAUUGCUCCGGAGCUUGGCAGGCACGCCUGCAACUUUCCGAGCGCUGCCGCCUUGACUUGGGAGUUUUUUUGAGUAAGCGUGUGGCAGUUGCUGCGUACGAUAAGGCGCUGGUGCGGGUACUUGGUCCUACCGCCGCUACGAACUUCCCCAUCGUUGAGUAUCUGCAAGAGCUUGCAGAAUACCGUACUUACCAGCAGGUAUGCGUGUACGUCUUGUCGUACUCGUCGCUCUUGCUCCAACUGUAUCGUUUCGUCCGGGACAACAUUGUACGAACGGACAGGUGCAAGUAAAACUAUCAGUUUUAGAGUGACGUAGUAUUAUAAUUCGUAAACAGAUGAGGUGGCGUGUUAACAACAUGCUGAUAUAAAUUAACCGAUAUCAAACAAUUAUAAUUUUUUUUAAAUAACUUUCAAAUUAGGUAAAUUAUGAAAAAGUCAGUUAUUUUUUUGUGUUUUAUUAUUUUGUAUGCAAGUCCUGCCUUUGCCGAUCAAUGGUUUAUUUACGACACCGCUGUUGAUUGUGUAAAGCACCGCCAUACCGCAAUCACGUUGUGCAACGGUGAAAUAGUUAGUUUUGGUGCUGUGUGAGCUCAUGUGGAAAUACUCACUGCUGGACAUUUCGUCAUUGUCGUCAGCACAUUAUUGACUGGCAAUGGAUGGCAAGGCGCGUCGCACCUCUGCUUCAUCGUAGUGUUGUGAUGAUAUACAUACAUACAUACAUACAUGCACCACUUGAAGACCUCCGUCUGGUUGUUUCCACAUGUAUGAUGUGUGAGACAGGGGGAUCAUGUCUUCUCCCUGCGGCCGCUACCCGGCAAACCCUAAGCCUUUCCCAGGUUUCCGGGCACCUUCGUCUAGUCACCCUAGUCACCCGAGUCGGCUUCUCUCUGGAUCGCAUAGAUUCUGCACGCACCACCGGCAUCCAACGGAAUGCCGGGUAGACCGCGGAAGGAAACUAUCGGCUAAGAGCACCUUACCCUCCACCGUCGUAAGGGGUUUUGCCCUUAACAGGUCUCGAUCCAGGGAUUUCCCGGGUCAUUGGAGCGUGCCCUACCUGACCUAUGCAUGUGUGUAUGUGUGUAUGUAUGUAUGUACGUAUACCCAUAGCACACAGGACGCCGCCGUGCAUCCCACCGCCAAACUGCCCAUGCAGGCCCUUUUACGUCAGGACCAGCGGCUGGCCUGCAUCUUAGAGUACGGGCGGGAAUACAGGUUGUGGUUCAGGUUCGGGUUCAGUGCGUUCCCUCACCUCCAGCCGGAGCAGGCGGCCGCGGCCAGGGAAGAUUAAGGGCUGUACCAGUGUCUAUGCUAAAGCGUUGGCCAUCAUCGCAGCCACAUAUAGCCGCACGCCGGUGCGUCACAGUGAAGGUGUUGAAAUGACGGAGACCUGAACAAGACAGGAAUGGCCACCACAUGCUCAUCAUCAUCAGAAAUGUGUGCAUAUGUACACUGCAUGUUUGCGCAUAGUCGUCUCUUAACCUGCCUUCGUUGCAGCAUGAACGUCUGCAACGUCUGUAUGUCCAGCUGUAUGUCCAGCUGUAUGUCCAGCUGUAUGUCGUUGCAGCCACACCAACCAACCUAGCCGAAGUGGCGGCCGCGGGAUGUAGAGGACGAUAUUAAAGGAGGCAGCAGCAUGGCAUGAGGAAUAGUAGUACGGACGUGCGUGCGUAUUUGUGGCCCUAGCUGUAUGAAGGGCUCGGCUCCCUUCUUUGCCUUAUGUUACAUUGGUGCGAAUUGCUAGGGUGUGAGAACUCCCCGGAUCGUGUCCGAUUUUGACCAUACGCACUUGAGGCAUGACGCAGCAUAUUUCUUGCGCAAGGGUAGAUGCCCGGGUGGCCGAUACAACUACCAGCUGAGGUAAACAUUAUGGACCUCCAUUUUGGACGGGGACCGACCGGCCGUAAUCCCACUGGAUAUCAAAUAACCAUGAUCCCUAUGCCCGGGGGCGCCCGAGGGCGUUCGCUCGGAGGGGGAGGAAUGUAAGAAGGAUUCGGCUCCCGUGGCAUUUCCCUUUGCCUGGUGUUACACCAGCGCUACCUGUUGUUGCUGCUGCUGGCUAUCUGGCUACCUGGCUAUCUUGGCCCUCGCCGAUUUGGCACCCAUACACACCCAUACGCCCGCAGCCGCUCGCUGCUCGUGCUUCAAAACUCACCCGCAAAGCCGUUCUCGCUCUCUCGCAAAGCCGUUCUCGACAUCUUUACUGGUUCAUCAUGAGAAUUAACUUCAUUAUAGUAAUAAGCUUGUCGGCCGCCAUAAAUCUCGAUAAAUAAAGUCCUGUUAACAAGCACAGCCGGCAGGACCAAUGAUCAGAAUGCACAUUUUAAAUCUUCUGGAUACUUUGCUUUGCAUGCAGGAAACAAAGUCAGCAAGCACGCCAGGCAGGCAGGCAGGCAUGGAGUUAGAGGAUGAACAAACGAAAACAAGGACAGCGUUUCGCUUAAGCGCCCCGCAAGGCAGUGAGGUUCGACAAAUCUAAAGCCAGAAACAGAAUAUCUACCAGCAUCUACCUUGAAAUAAGUCAGGAUAGAGUGCCUCGAUCUCAAAACAAGGAACGCAAGACCGAGCUCGGUGGGCCGGACUGCAGUAACGCCAAGCAGCAGUGAAGCCUUCGUCGCCGACCUGCUGGUUUUCAUGAGUUUUUUGGCUGCCACAUUGUGAAAGUCAUUGGCAGGUCGGCGUCCAGCUGCCCGCUGGGGGUCGGGUUGGCGAUAAGCAAGCAGGCAGUGCCAGCCUGCGAUCAUCCCCAUUUCAUUGUUGAUUCAUAAUCAUCGCAACUACGUUUCAAGUAUGCAACUCUUGCGGAUUGCAAAGCCACAUUGCGGUCAGCCGGCACCUACCAGCCGCACCUCGUCUCCCUCGUUGAUUGGUUUGCCAUGGCAACCGCUAGCUGAAGCCAUGUUUUAGCAAUACAAGCAGGAAAAAGAUUUUUGACAUAAGCACCCUUUGACCAUGAUAGCGUCGCGGGCAUGAGAGGUUGAAAGGGCCCAGCAAAGCUGAUAAGGCCCAAUAUUGCCCAAUCAAGCCAGCGGCAGCAGGAAGCACCUGAAGCUACACAGAAUGGAAACGAGCACAUGUUCACAAAAGCAUCAGCAGCAGCAAAUCAGUGAAUGGUGAUGAGUUCCGUCUCGUCUCCAAAAUGUCCUUUUGCUUAUGGUUGCCUUGCUCACCAAGCAGGAUGACAGCAGUAAUAGGAUGACAGCAUUUUAAUGAAAUUAGGAGCACACUAUGUAUAAAGCAUACUCGCGCACAUGUCAAGUGGUAAUCCCUUAUACUCAUCAAUCUGUACGACAUACAUGGGCUCCGUACGCCAGCAACCACGGCGUUCCCUGCAGCCUCAACAGUCUGGGGGAGUCCGUUCGUCCAAAGCGAGCUGCCUUUUCAUAGCGCAGGAAGUAUGCAGCUUGCAGUAUGAGAUCUGUCGUUUCGGGAUGAUGAUUUUGCACCGGGUAAAUGCACCGUCGCCCCUGGCUUGUGAUAUGUUGGCUUAAGCAUGCGUUGGUCGGCGGGCUGCUCAUACAACAGCUGGAAAGCUAAUAUAUGACACAGAGCAGCUGGCAACCAAUACAUUUGAGCUAUCCAACGACUUGCUAACGGCCAUGUGUGGUAGUUACCCGUCGUGGGCCCCGCCGGCAGUGUAUCCACCAGCAGACCGUAUCCAGCAGAUCCGAUCUAGCUGCUGCUGCUGCUGCUGCCCAGAGCGAGGAGGGAGCGGCGCAGUCAUCAGCAUGCGUGUGUGGGGGGGGGGCCUGUGCGCAUGUGCGUAUGUGCAAGCUGUGCAAGCUGUGCAUGCAGGCAACGUAUCUUUUAUAUAUUGCAUGCCUCAUACUAAUAUUUAAAGGUAGAUAUAUACGCCUGUAAAUCUGUUACGUACCUUUGGCGGGACGAUGCCGCAAGUACUUGAGCAACUUCUUCAUUGCUUGAUGUGGACAUACAUGCGUCGAUCCUACUUUGCUUGGCUUGCUGUAGGUAUCCGUAAAUUCAGUGUUUUGACGACAUAUCUGUAAUCAGCCUUGCAGCACUGUUGAUUUUUACUUCUGCCAGAAACGUUGAGUUCGCUGUUGCCUGUUUGUUCGCUGAAAAUCUGUCUGCUGCCUGUUCGACUUCCCAAGCCGCGUGUGCAACUGCCGAUAUGCAUCCCAAUAUUCCGGCUGUGACUUCGCGACAUGUUGUAUUACAUACGUAGGGCCAUGUAGAUACGUAGGUUGCUGUUACAAUGCCAGCCUCUAUCUGGCGCGGCCACAUAACACGCCCGCUGGCCUGCUGAUGAUGACGGCAAACAGGCUGUACGAGUCGAAAGUUUUGAAUUAAUUGAUUGCGCCGUUACCUAUCAACAACAGUAACAGUAACAGUAACAGUAACAGUAACAGUAACAGUAACAGUAACAGUAACAGUAACAGUAACAGUAACAGUAACUGGGAUGGAGCAAAGGCCAAACCCCAAAGCGGCUUACAUCACCGUCAUCAAGCCGAUCGAUCGAAACCAGCAGCCCAUAUGGCAGCUUGAUGGCGCCUACCCACCUAUGGUUUACACCGCCCAAGUAGUAGCUGCGCACUGAUGAAAAGGACUGCUGCUGGCAGCAGAUCACCUUAGCGCGUAUUGAUCAACGCCAUGUGUGUCGUACGUGUCUGGUGCCCCUAAUAAUAACCACCAGAACAUUUUCCUCACUACUUCAGAGAUACCAGCUGCUGGCUAACACAUACAGCUGCAAACACAAUUGGGAGAUAGACACAGGCACCUAUCGGCAAGGUACAUCACGAUGACCUAUGAUGUGUGGGACAGGGGGGGGCCAUACCUUCACCCGUUGCCGCGACCCGGCGAAACCCUGCCUUCCCCGGAAUUUCGGGGCAACCUCAUCCAGUCGCCCUAGCCGACUUCUCAGUGAAUCGCUCAGGUUCCGCACCCACCACCAGCAUCCAGGGGGCCUAUGUAUGUAUGUUGUUGUUGUUGUUACAUGGUCGUGGGUGCGUUCCCCGUACCUGCAAACCACCCUAGUACGAGCCGAGGGCUCAAGGGCUGCCAAAUCGCCUAUAAGCACCAUCCUACCUCGCACUUCCAACGAAACAAGUGAUGAAGGAUACUAACGACCAAAGGGAACGAUAGAGUUGCGGUGGGACCAUAUGCGUUCCAGCAUCCUUGCCAGGCGUUCAGGUUCCCACUUCAUAGCGUCCUUCAUAUGCUCGAAGCGUGGAAAGCCCAUAUCAGAUCUGAUUAUGUCGUACGCCGGACAGUCCAGCAAAAUGUGUUUCUCAUCCUCGAUAUGGCUAUCAGUGCCGCAGCAAGGGCAUACUCGCUCCUCCCUAGGUAAAUAACGCCGUCCCUUACGCGCUCUGUUAGCCGCCAGUGCCCAACAGCAAAGCCUAAACUGCAUAAGCUUGCGAUUCGCUGGACGCGGGAUAAACAUUGUGAUAUGCGGGAGCACCUCCUUCCUGCCCGCUUGCUCGGCCGCCAGACCCAUCCAAUGCUUAUACUUCGCCAUGUGGAUUCCUGGUUGCUUGCCGUCUGACGGAUACACGUCAGGCUGGACAUCUAAACGGGUAUGCUUCCAACCACUCACUAAUCGGUCCUUGAACUCCAAAAUCACACCUUCUGGCAUUGGCCUGUUCAUCAGCCACUCCACUCGUUCGUCUACCUCGUGUAGCCCUUGCGGGGCCUCUUUCCAUACGUCGUGCCCCCAAAAAAACAUAGAAAACGGAGUAGUGUCCCCCAUCCGGCCCCUUCGGGGUUGGAGAGGGACUCUGCGACCUCCUGUCGCAAAACUUGGUGUGCCACAGACCCACGCUGUAAACGGACAUGGUUCCAAAACCUCACAACCUGCUUGAGAACGUGGUAGUGUAGGGGUAGCUGCGAACAAACAGGAGGCGGUGUGUUGGUCUGGCAGCUCCUACCAUUUGCCGCAUGAAAGAUAUCUGAAGCUGCACUGCUCUGUCCUUUAGGCAUGCCUCGAAGGGCCCCUCUGCAAGGUUAUUCGCAUCACUCCGCUUCCUGAGCCUGUCCAAGACCUCAGCUAGCAUAAACGGCCCCCACGCUUGAAAACCAUACAACAGUAUUGCUCGUACCUGCGUAUCGAAACACCUCAUCCUCACAUCUGGGGCGAACAACUUUAGCUUAUCUAAUUUUGCAUUCAACGCGAACAUAGCUGCUUUAGCUGUGUCAUAGAACUGCUGACGGCAGGCCCAGAACUGCCGUUCUGGCCCAUACACUAACCCCAGAUAUCGUGCACUAUCCUUAGCCGGUAUGGCCUCUCCAGCCAGCCUGAGCUCAUCACACGAUGCUUGAACAGCACUUCUAGUAUCGCUGUCGCUUGCAAAAACGAGGCGUUCACAUUUCGACACAUUUGGGCGCAUCCCAAAAUCGUCACAGAACAUGUCCACAAUGUUGAGCAGCUCCCCCAUGCGUCCCGGUGUUGUUGCCAGAAGGCUAACGUCAUCGGCAUAGAGGAGGAUGGACACUCGCUCAUUUCCAACCUCCGGUGCAUCCUCUGGCCGUGCCCCGGUGUUAAUACCAUCGUGCAUAUCGAUGACGUCCGCGAGAGUUUCAUUGUAGAGCCCAAACAGCUCAGUUGAUAAUGGACAGCCUUGUUUCACACCCUGUUUUGACUCAAUUCACCUCCAGCCUUGCCAUUCGUCUUGAUGACCAUUGUAACCUUAUCAUACGCCCGCAUCAGCGACCGCAGCAUGGACCCUUCAAGCCCUCUCUCUUGCAAACGAAGCCACAUUAUCUCCCGCGGCACCUUGUCAAACGCCUUCUCAAAGUCAAUUUGCGCAAUGAUUAACGGCCGCUGUCCCGGUUGGCUGUGCCUAGCAGUAAGGUACUGUGUAGCAGCCGGUACACAGUACGGUGCUAUAAAUACGCGCAGAGCGCGACCGCCAGCAACUCGAGAGACCUUUUCAGCGGUCAGCUGCUACAUUUGGUAUCGAGACCUCGUGAAAAUUCACGAUCCUGAAGUCGUCGGUUCAACCCCCACCGAUCACGUUCGGGUGGUAUUCGGGUGUGGCGACUCAGUGAGCGAAUAUCGCACAAAGAUAUAAAAAAUAAGUAGCUGAACCGACUGGACUGUCUCUGUGCCUGAAAAACCUGAAGACGGCUAGGCGCAUGUGAGGGCGGCACAUGACGUGACGUGGGCUUGGACCACCCACUGCCCGAGGGUAGGCGACGGUAGGCACAGGCUGGCGGUAUACGAGGCUCUAAGGGCCCGGGACGGUUCCCUUCAAAGGGGGGGGAAUGUAGCAGCCGGUAUACAGUACGGUGCUAUAAAUACGCGCAGAGCGCGACCGCCAGCAACUCGAGAGACCUUUUCAGCGGUCAGCUGCUACAUACUGCUUGGCAAAGAGAUGAUGUGUAGUAUCGAAACCUCUUCUGAAACCCGCUUGGCCUCGGUGCCUAAGUGAGAGCGUCUCCCCUGUGCGAACGAGCCUAUCCAGGAGGACCAGCGCGUAACAUUUCGCCAAGGCGCCCCCUACUGCCAUGCCCCGGUAGUUACUCGGCAUGCUGGGGUCCCCCUUCUUGUAAAUAGGGGUGAGGACGGUACUUGUAAACUGCCGUGGGAAGUCCCCAGUCGCCCUGAUAUGUUCCAGAAGCACGUGUAGUACCGGAACAAGCUGAUUCACUUCCCCUCGUCGCCUGCCCCUACUAUUACCCGACGCGGAGCCUUCUUCCUCUCGGGGCAAACGCGCAUAGCGGUAACAUUCCGACGGCGCUACUUCCAAACCUGGUGCCUUACUGUUAGGCAGCCGGUCAACAGCACGUGCGACUUCCUCCAGCGUGAGGGGGGGUCUAGGAUUUCGCAGUCCUGCCCAAAACCGAGUGGGAUGAACGCCAUUCCUGCCCCUCUAGGAACUCCCCAAAGUUAAUGAAGUUCAAAAGCCGGUUCGCACCAUCAGGCCCUGUCUCCCCUACACCUGCGUUUAAGAGCCCAGCAAAGUGCUCCCUGAAGACCUCAAUAUCAUCUAUCGCACAUCGCUCCCUCAACUUCCCUCCUAAAAGCCCACCACAAAGCUCGUUGAUCAUGCCGACAUUUGGCCACAAAAUCUCUCAUCCUGUCCUCCCCAUAUGCCGCCUUUGUGUGUCUUUUUGCCCGGUUAUAAUCCGUCCGCGCAUGGCGGAAAGCCUCCCAUUCCGGACCCGAUUUAUUACUCACCCGGCCUGGACCCAGUUGGGCCCUACUCUCCAACAUGCGCUGCCGUGUUUGCUGACAUUCCCGGUUCCACCAAACCGUAUCCCCACCUGCCGUCAUGCCGGUAGGUCGGUGGGUAUCGAAGGCCCUCACCAGGACUUUGUACAGGGCACCUCCAAUGCGUUCGACAGCUUGUGUUGUGUAUGUAUGUAUUUAUGUAUGGAUGAUGUGUGAAACAGGGGGGUGUAUCUUCGCCCGUGGCAGCUACCCUGCGAAACAUUGCCUUCCCCGGUAUUUCGGAGCACCCUCAUCCAGUCACCCCAGUCAACUUCUCAGUGGAUCGCUCAGGUUCCGCACCCACCACCAGCAUCCAACGGAAUCUGCCGGGUCGACAGCGGCCCAACUCCGUAUGUAUGUAUUAAUAUAUGUAUGUAUUUAUGUAUGUAUGUAUGUAUGUAUCAUCGCAAGGAACGCACUGAACUAGCCAGCAAGGCGCACCCAAAGGAACGAAUAACACAUCGCUCUGGGGACUCGCCUCAUCAUCGGCUCCCUCAGCAGGUUCGCGCACGCAUACAUACAUACAUACAUACAUACAUACAUACAUACAUACAUACAUACAUACACCAAGUGAUGAACCCCGGUAUACACUGCAUGCGUGAGUGCCACUCUUGCGGGGAACCGGCCCGCCUCCGGCUUCCCGGGAAUCCCUUCGAAUUCAUUUGGCGUUCCUCAAUCAUUGGCUCCUCCGGGAUGAAGGGCCCUCCAGCUCACCACCGAAUGUGACAGUCGAGCUGCCGUACAUCACAAGUAUUGAUGUGAGCUGGUGGGUCAUAGCGUUGAGUCCUACGUAUACGCACAGGAAAGUGAUGUUUGUGGCCGUAGUCGUCAUCGUGGUGAGUGCGUGCGAGCACCCCACACGCCGAUGAAGAACUCCAGAGCAAAACGGCCGUCAUGAUUUCUAAUUAAGCUACCCUUACCUCGGAAUGAUGUUCAGCUUUAAACCCCAUCUUUAUUAAGAGCGCAUGCCGUACUGUACGACAGUCGUGACAUCGACAGCGGGAUCCGAGGGUUCCGCUGCUGCACUACUAGAAACAAAAGCUCCUACAUAAUAUGUACCGCCAUAAAUGCCGUACUAUACGUACACCUGGAGCAUUCAGUGUCUAAAAUCUUCUACUUCCCCCAGCACAUGCACGACGUAUGGAAAGAGGCCCGGCAAGGGCUACAUGAGGUAGACGAACGAGUGGAGUGGCUGAUGAACAGGCCAAUGCCAGAAGGUGUGAUUUUGGAGUUCAAGGACCGAUUAGUGAGUGGUUGGAAGCAUACGCGUUUAGAUGUCUAGCCUGACGUGUAUCCGUCAGACGGCAAGCAACCAGGAAUCCACAUGGCGAAGUAUAAGCAUUGGAUGGGUCUGGCGGCCGAGCAAGCGGGCAGGAAGGAGGUGCUCCCGCAUAUCACAAUGCUUAUCCCGCGUCCAGCGAAUCGCAAGUUUAUGCAGUUUAGGCUUUGCUGUUGGGCACUGGCGGCUAACAGAGCGCGUAAGGGACGGCGUUAUAUACCUAGGGAGGAGCGAGUAUGCCCUUGCUGCGGCCUAUGUGCCCCUUCGGCACUGAUAGCCAUAUCGAGGAUGAGAAACACAUUUUGCUGGACUGUCCGGCGUACGACAAAAUCAGAUCUGAUGUGGGCUUUCGACGCUUCGAGCAUAUGAAGGACGCUAUGAAGUGGGAACCUGAACGCCUGGCAAGGAUGCUGGAACGUAUAUGGUCCCACCGCAACUCUAUCGUUCCCUUUGGUCGUUAGUAUCCUUCAUCACUUGUUUCGUUGGAAGUGCGAGGUAGGAUGGUGCUUAUAGGCGAUUUGGCAGCCCUUGAGCCCUCGGCUCGUACUAGGGUGGUUUGCAGGUACGGGGAACGCACCCACGACCAUGUAACAACAACAACAACAACAACAACAACAACAACAACAACAACAACAACAACAACAACAACAACAUACACCGAUGCCCCCGGAGGGUCCGGGAUCGAGACCUGUCAGGGUCGAAAAUCCUUCCAAUGGUGGAAGGUAAGAGUGGCCCUAGUCGAUGGACGGUGGUGACCUGGGAUAAAGUUAACCUGCGAGCCGACCAGGAAUGGAGUUGGGCCGCUGUCGACCCGGCAGAUUCCAUUGGAUGCGGGUGGUGGGUGCGGAACCUGAGCGAUCCAAUGAGAAGUCGGCUAGGGUGACUGGAUGAGGGUGCCCCGAAGUACCGGGGAAGGCAGGGCUUCCCCGGGUAGCGGCCACGGGUGAAGAUAGGGGCCCCCUGUCCCACACAUCAUACACAUAUCUGCAUCACUCAUGCGCUGCCAGCCCUUCCUAUAGACAUGACGUGUGCCGUAUAAGUCUAUCCACAUUGCUUCAUCAAACCUAUGCAGGUGUCUGCCAAAAUGCGUCGGCUGGAAAUGAGUUGGUCGCCGCUCUGUCCGCGCUUGUGGGUGGCUGCAUGCGGCAGUAUUGCAUCAACAAAUACUAAAGGUCUCCCUGGACUGCUACACUAGGAGUAUAUACGAGCAGGCUAAUAAAACAUGUGCGUCUGUAUGUAAGAAAACACCUGGUGCGGCCAGAUAGAUGUUAUCAAAUAUGUAAGGCCUAAUUAAGGACAUCGCCGCUUGUGAAUAAUCUGCUGGGCACUCUCAAAUCAUCAUAUCCAGUACAGUUGCGCCGAUGCGUCAUCUUGGCUUUGCUAGCCAUGAAUUGGUACGACAUCGUAAUGCAUUCCCCCCACACCUACCCCACUGUUCGUUACGCGCCAUAGUGUCGGUUUCUGUUUAAUUGACGUUGCUUUCAACUUGGCUGCGCGCGCGAGCUCUGACUGCCACGUUGCAUGCCGGCAUUCCAAAACCCAAAUAAGCUCCCAGCCAUCCAGCAGUGCACCACGUGCUCAAUCUAUGGUUGAUGGCAAAGUGUAUACCUCUUCCUGCCGGUCCAAUAAUGUCGUUACAGGAGCUAUUAUAACCCUGGGAGCAUGGGUAUUAGGAAACCCUGUCAGUGGUCUUAUCUAUCCAGCAGAUAGGAAGCAACCUGGAAGCCAGCUGGAGUUGUGGAAGAGGCGAUAUGCCGGAAGCUGGAACGUGCGGAAGGCAUUAUUGGGCUGUCGCACGCUUACGCAUCCAUACCCAGGCCCUGCUGCCAGCUAGCGACAUAAAGUAGGGAGGCGGGGACUGUCCGUUGCUUCCAUGCAAUUGCAUGAGGGAGUGUUUGAUUCCAUUGUGCGAACCAUCCCACCCACAUUGCCACGCCUCUCAACUAAUCCGCACCCGAACCUCCCUAUUCGUUCCUGCUCUGGCAUAGGGCUGAGACGGGGCGGUCCCCAUCGUGCACGCCAGGCAUCGCCUGUCAAAGCGGGUAUGCCAUGCAGGAUUCAUGGUAUAAAGCCACCUUCCAAACUGUGUUAUUGGAAAGGUAUCAACUGACUAAUGAUACCAGCAGACAUGCCUUUUUUACUCCUGGACAAACUUUUGUGGAUCAUGCUUCCAAACGGACAGGUCAUAUCUACAUCAACUUGCUUGAGCUUUCCUGCCUUUAUAAAUACAGCGGCCACGCUUGGGAUAUGCUAAGCAUGGCAUACAUAUACACAUGACUUAUUCACUUGGUCCCUACAUUGCAUAAACGUGCGAGCUCGGGCUCCGACUGAUGGGGAGGACCAAGCUAGCCGUACUCGACGAAAAAUCAACUCCUUUGUCACAAGGCAACUUUCUGAGUCGUAGGAGGCAGUUAUCAUAAGCCAGAGUAUGUUAUGUUAGUCAGAAGCUGAAUUUAAUUUCGGCAACUUCAAAGUAAGCUCGCAAAUCGAGAACUAAUUGUAUGUUAAUCGAUUUUUCCUCGAUGCUUUUGGCAGCAAUAAUUAAAUAACACAGCGUCUCCAGUCUGACUGGGGUCUGGGGUGAUGGCGUUGCGGACUUACGGCACCGAUGGCAAGACGCCAGUGCAGCAGGUUGUCGCUCAAACAUGGCAUACCAAAAUCCCGGUGCAUCUGUCCCUGGCGCCGGACAAUAUAAGCAGCCCGGCAGGUGUCCGACCUAUUUAUGUAGGUCCGCGGUUCCUCGUGUCUCUAAAGAUUUCUUUACGGAUGCUCAUUCCUCGGGUAUCACGUGAACGGGUUUGCUGGUGCCGAUUGUCGGGCAUGUCACGGGUUGCCUGCUGGAAGGGUUUUCGGAGGGAGGACUCCUCCCCUACAGCAGCUUGCAUCUGCUGCUGCCUGUCAUCAUUUCCCAAUCAGAAUUGUCACCUUCCCCAAACCGUGUAAGCAUCAAGCAGACUUCGGCAGCUGAGGUUUUUCUUUUUCUUUAUUCAUUCACAAUUCAUUUUCAUUUGCAAGUAGUCCCCCACUUCCAUCCCCACCUACACAUCAAGGAAGAGGCAAUGGCCAGUUACGUAGUUGUUGCUGUUCAUUUCGGCAGUUGGUGCGCGGGACGACGGUGAAGUCCCCCCACCCAAGCAUCAAUACUUGGGGGUUUAGCGGUUUUAGAUGUUUCGAUUCCGGCAAACGAUUCCCCUCCGCCUCUCCCUCCCUCACCCCCCUUCCCCCCACCGUUCGUUCCCGCCAGCUGAUGGUUCCCCGCCAGGGCUACUUGCAUGUAGUGGCCUCACAAGCCUGGCCACAUCUGCAGGUAGGUAGGUAGGUAGGCAAGUAGGUAUGUGUGUGUAUGUAUGUAUGUGGGCCAAAUAAGGCGGUGUAGGGGUGGCCGCCUUUGCAGCGCACAUUUGUAAUACUCCAGUUGGAUGGCUGUUAUUGUAUGUCGUACAACUGACACCGCGUGCAAAUAAGCCCCCGUCCCACCUCACCAUGCUGCCCAAACCCCCCCCCGUGGGACCCCCUCCGCAUCGGCAGAGCUGAUUUUCAGGGUGGGGCUUGGAUGUGGGUGUAUGUAUGUAUGUAUGUAUGUAUGUAUGUAUGUAUGUAUGUAUGUAUGUAUGUAUGUAUGUAUGUAUGUAUGUAUGUAUGUAUGUAUGUAUGUAUGUAUGUAUGUAUGUAUGUGCAAUAAUUCAACCCCACCCCCGCCCACCCCACAUACACUUACGUCCCAUUCCCUCACCAUCAUUAUCCACUUUUACACUAACGCGCUAGGAGUUAAUGCGCAAAGCAGCACCUUAGCUUUCGGCCCAUACUUCGGACCUAAAGAUUUGUUAGGUAUCUUGUUUUUAGCGUUAGCGUUUAGCGUUCUAGUAUUUUUUUAUCCUGAUUGGUUAGGUCAUUCAGAUAAUUUAAUUAAACAUUUUAGCAUCUCUCACAGAACCAUCUCCACGUGACUGGGCGACUUAGAGUAACAACUUGCAGUAACUACGUAGGGUUCCGUACAGGUUCCGUACAACUGCGGGGCGGGGUGGGGUGGGGGGCUGUCCGUAAGAGCCCGAGGGGGACCGCCGGUGUCGCCUCCCUCGCCAUUGCCGUACGGUGGCUCCAGUACUUGAAAACCCCGCACGCGCUUGCACUCCGCCUCCCUUAUCUUUGCUUCGUCUGUGGCUCGUCGUACACCCCCUAUAACCCGNNNNNNNNNNNNNNNNNNNNNNNNNNNNNNNNNNNNNNNNNNNNNNNNNNNNNNNNNNNNNNNNNNNNNNNNNNNNNNNNNNNNNNNNNNNNNNNNNNNNNNNNNNNNNNNNNNNNNNNNNNNNNNNNNNNNNNNNNNNNNNNNNNNNNNNNNNNNNNNNNNNNNNNNNNNNNNNNNNNNNNNNNNNNNNNNNNNNNNNNNNNNNNNNNNNNNNNNNNNNNNNNNNNNNNNNNNNNNNNNNNNNNNNNNNNNNNNNNNNNNNNNNNNNNNNNNNNNNNNNNNNNNNNNNNNNUCGGUGCCCGGGAGGUGAGGGGAAGGGGGGGGGAGGGCCUCAGAGAUGACCAUGGGUGCUCGUCCACUAACUGAAUUGGUUGUUAUUAACGGUGGCUGCGGUAGCGGUGGCCUUGUUGACUGUUGUGCCUGUCGUACCAUGUCGUACCUCGGUAAUUGAUUUAUUGGUGUUUUAGGCAGGGGGCUGUCCGCCACCCCCCCCUGCCCGGCUGCCCGCGGCUUUGGGCGUCGGCAGUAGUGUGAGUCCUGGGAGUGUUUUGCGGUAUGUGAUUAUUUCCCCUGCGGAUUCAGGUACCUGCCGUGCGGAGUGCUGUACGACUUGUUGAGUACGGAUAUGGGACAGCUGCCGUGGAGGUUGACGGUGAGGCGGCUUUGUUGAAGAGGAGGGAGGGGAAAGCUGUGUUUUAAUGGAGGAGGGGAGGGGGGAAGGCAAGAUGAGGGGGCGACCCCCCAGGAGUGGGGAGGAGGGGGGAAAGGAGGAACCACUUGAGCGAGAGUGAAGCUGCUGCCAAGUGGGGAAAGAGUGCUGGGCGGCAGAUGUACAGGACGGUAGCAGAACUGACCAGUCGGCGGUUUUGAAGAAGCAGUCCUCGGGAUGAUGUAGUGAUGGCGACAGCGGAAAACUACCUACCUAGCCGCCAAGGCUAAAAUAAGAGCGGGAAAGGAGCAGUAGAGCCAAACCGUAAAAUAGUAAAGGUAGCUGUAGCGGCAGCGAAACAGUAAUAAAAACGGACGUGAUGGGGAAGGGGGAGGAGCGCGUCCGAUUCGGCCCAACCCGCGACUUACAGACAAAGACAGACAGACAGACAGACAGACAGACGGAUAGAUGGACAGACAGGUAAACGGGAUCUGGGCGGCUGUAAGCGCCGCAGCACCGGAGCUUUACUAAGUGCGGGAGUAGACCCGGAGAGUUGAUUCCCCGGUGUGUUUGCUGUGUACGUGUGUGUACAGACGCACAUUCAGCAUACUUACAGACACACAGACACACAUACGACUAGAUGCACGUCCGCCAGUUCUUACUCGUGGCUCAGUUCCUUCUGAAGACACACGUACACGUACAUGCAAAAGCGCACCGAAUCUCUCUCCCACACACCUUCCCCCCCCCUCAUACAUUUCCCCUCGCACACACACACACAGACACACACACAGACACACACACAGACACACAUUCUCCCCCCCUCCCCCUCAGAUUCACUACACUCACCCCCCAGAUACGCUGAUUGGCUCUUGGGACACGGGGACUUCAACCCUGGCCCAGUACAUGAACUCCAUAAAGGUGUGUGUAUGUAUGUAUGUAUGUAUGUAUGUAUGUAUGUAUGUGCGCUGGGUUGGAAGGCGGGGGAGGCGGGUGAUCACCUCCCCUCCUCCCAACUUUGUACUCCAGCAGCUAGCGCUCUUUUGACUGUACGGCAGUUCAUACACCCGUUGCUCGUUGCACGUGACUCACACCGAGCUAGGGCCUCUACCCCCCAACCCUUCUCUCCCCCCCCCAGCUUCACAUUAUUCCCACUAACUCAUGCGGCAUAACCCCCCACCCAAUCGACUGUUGACUGGCUUUGGGGAGCAUAAUUCCAACCCCCCCCUAAUUCACUCCCUCGUGGUUCGCUCGCUCUCCUCUCCCCCCCCCCCCCAAUCCGCGAUCCCAGGAGGCUGCGUACAUUUGUCGGGGAGCUGAGGGCAGUGGGGCGGUGAUGAGGAUGGGCAGUGCCGCGCAGGAGGAGUUGUGGAGUGCCGUACAGGCGGGUGACGUGGCGUCGUACAGGUCAACUCUGGAGGGCCUCAAGAUGGCGCCUACAUCGGUGAGCGUGUCUGUCUGUGUUGUGUGUAUGUAUGUAAUGUUUUUGUGUAAUGUUUUUAUGUAACGUAUGUAUGUUUGUAUGUAUGUAUGUGCCCCCACUGUCCUCCUUUGGCGCCCACCCCCGCUGAAAGCCCCCACUCACCCCCUCUUGCAUCAUGUGUUUCCCCCUCCUUUCCUCCCACCCCUCGCCCCCCCGCAGCGCCAAGGCCAGCCCCCCAACAUCCCCGUACGACUAUUGCUACGGCGGAGAGCUCCCACACCCGCUCCCAUACCUACACCCACUUCGGGCACCACCACCAUCACCACCAUCCCUGCCGCCGGCCCCUCCGCCCCCGCCCGCAAUCACAGCGGCGGCGGCGCUGGCCCCGCCCCGAGCCACAACUCCGCCCCAGGGGGAACACCUGCCCCAACUGCUACAACCACCACAACCACCUCCGAUACGGGCCCCAUAUCGGGGACAGUCACAUCGAGCUCCAUACCCGGGCCCGGGUCCGGGUCGGGCUCGAGGCAGCAAACCCCAACCUCAGCAGCCUCUUCCGCACUGCCGUACACACCAGUCGUACAUUCAUCCGGGGCCGCCACCGGACUUCCUUCUGCUCCUGGCAGCUCUGUUCAGACCCAGGGUUCUGGGUCGGGGGGGGGAGGGGGAGGGGGAGGGGGGUUAGGUCCAGGGUUAUGGGAGUCCUGUAUCCUGGCCACCAGCCGACCCAUACCCGCACAGACGGGUUCUGGAGGCGGGCUCACCACGCUGGGGCACAUGCUGCAUAUGGUCUUGCCACACAUCUUCCCACCUCCUCCACCUCCUCCACCUCAGCAGCAGCAGCAGCAGCAGCAGCAGCAGCAGCCGGUAUCGCAGCAAAUACCUCAGCCAUCUUCCUCUUCAUCUCCGUCACCGUCUCGAGGAAGAGCUGCGACGGCGGCGGCGGCGGCGGCGGCAGAGGACGAGCCGGUCGGAAGCUGCGGCGAUGCCAGUGGUGCAGCAGCAGUAGCAGUAGCAGUGGCAGUAGCAGUAGCCGGUACAACGGGGGCAUCAGGAGGAGGAGGAGGAGAGGGGGGGACAGUUGAAGGGCCGGCUACGGUGGAGUCUGGGGGCGUGGGGGCGGUCCCUCAGGCCGCUGUGGGGGAUGGGGAACAGCCAGAGGGGGGUUGUACGGCGGUGGCGGACGGUGGCGGCGGCAGCGGCGGCAGGGCCGGCUCGCCCUGGCGGCACGUGGCGGCGCCGGGCCGUACAGAGCCGGCGGAGGCGGACAUCAGGGGGGGAGGGAAUGGUACAGUUGGAGCUGUGGGUGAUGAGGAUGAGGCAAGGCGGAUGAAGGCCACUGCGACAGGGCGGUUGGAGGGCGCAGAUGCCACGGCUGUGGCUGCGGCUGCCGGGCCGUUGGGGGUUGGUACGGCUGCGGCGCCGGGUGGGGGUACGGCAAGUCGUGAGGAUGCGGGAGGAGGAGGGGUUCAGGACUGUGGAGGUACGGCAGAAAGGGCCGGCGUGACGGCGGGGAACGCGGGGACGGUACCGUGGCCUUCGUGUCGAGUGCUGGUAGGCGGGAUAACGCCACCGCUAGCGGCGCCGAUUGCCUGGCUGCAUGCUGCGAUGCACUCGCCCGAUCUGUUUUUGUACGUGGUUGUACGGCUGGAUUUGGAAGGUAGCGGUUGGGAGGGCGGGUCGCUUGCCACCGCAGUGAAGGUGUAACUUCAGGUUGGAAAGGGAUCAAUGAAAGGAGUCUCCUUUUUAAGUGCUGGAGAAGGGUUACCGGGUUUUUGGCGGAAGGCGAGCAAAGCGAGCAAGUGCAGGAGCGGUCAUCUUGUUACAGAAAACAGGAGGAGAAAUUGAUGGAAUGAAGGCGGGGGGAGAAUUACAACUGCGCGGCGCUGCAGAAUGCGGCUAUCGUCAGGAAAAGUCAGGGAAACAGUUGGGUUUCCCUCCGAAACCUCUAGAUUGACGAAAGGUAAUGAUGAGGACUUUCAGCAAUACAAUUUUCCUGUUAUCUAAACAUCAACGCCAGCUCAAGUUUGGCGUAUAGCAGUUCUCGUUGUACGGCGGCAGCAUAUGCUCGCGCAUUUGUGGGUUAUGGGAGCAUAUGUCCAGUUAGGUGGCAAGUUCAUAACUCGUUGGCAGCUUGUGACGUGGACGAAGGCGCUGCCACUUAGAGCAGCCCGUUAACGUGGAUUCUGCGAUCCCUGCUAUUUAGGAAACGAGUGAGCUAUUACCCGCCAGUAGCCAUGACAGACUCCGCAAAUAAAAGAACAUAUUACAAGCGGGUCCUCCCAUCCCCACCAGCGAUAUCGUUUUCUUCUGCCGAAGGUAUAGUUUCUCUGGUUGUUACCGUUUCUCCUGGAUGCCGCUCAUAUAGGCUCCAGUUAGUAGCUUUGAACUAUUAUAUAUCAUGGGUGUGGAAUUGCUUUAACCGGGUGUUACAGUGGUUGGUCUAAUCCCAAACCGUUCUUGGUUAUUUUGACGCAGGGCGCCAGAUAUUUUCCGAAGCCCUGCCGCAUGGCACCAUGGUUGGCUUCUUCAAGCUCAUCGAGCAAUUCACGUGCGUGCUGUUCAUCUAAGGAUUUAGUAGGGCUUUGCGCCUACAUCAUGGCACAUCAUCGCACACGUAGCUGAAUCGUAUUCAAUUUCUCUUCCAGACAUAGUCACGUAUGAAAACUCGAAAUGGUUCCCACUAUUCUUGCCGGCAAGCAAUUGGCCAAUUUGCAUACGGCAUGCCCAAACUCGCUGCCAUCGCAGCCAAAUUCCCACGCCUUACGCUUCCAACGCCCAAUCCCAUCCCCAAUUCCCCAAUUCCCCAAUCCCAUCCCCAAUUCCAACGCCCAAUCCCAUCUCUCCCCGUCUCUACCUCCUCUUUCCCUCCAGCACCCAGGAGGAGCCGCAAUACUGCGGUCUCGCGGCGCUGUCCAUGACGCUCAACGCCUUGGGGAUUGACCCUCGCCGCACAUGGAAGGGCGCCUGGCGCUGGUUCUCCGAAACCAUGUUGGACUGCUGCAAGUCCAUGGAGGAGGUCAAGAAGGAAGGAAUUACCCUCAGCCAGGUGAGCCUGGCAGCUGCAGGUUCGGGGAUCAAUUACAUCAACGCGAAUUUAGUACUUACCUGACACCCAUUACACCUUUGGAAGGUAUCGCAACGCAAGGCGUAACAUACACGUACACACGGACAUACAUAAUUACUUACUUACAUAUAUACAUAUAUGCAUACAUGCAUGCAUACACACAUCUCUGGCCCCGGACUUGUCUGGCCGAUCGUAGUGCAACUUGCAUACAGGGUCAGUACAGGGGGUUACUGCUCGGGCCCACAUCGGCCUCUAAACAACACCCCCUCUUCCAACUAGUACUUGUCGCGGUCUCUGUUCCCUCUACACACGCAGCCAUCUCCUCCACCAUCCUCCCCGAUUCGGGCGGCAGUUGACAGUUGGCAGUUGAUUGAUUUGCUUCCUGCGUCGUUAUAUCAUUAUUAUCUUAUGAUUUCCCUGAUCGUUGUACUCCCUUAUCCCCCCUCUUAACCCCCCCUUCCUAACCCCCCCUCUAGGCUGCCUGUUUGGCCCGCUGCAACGGUGCUGACGUGUCCCUUCACCGACAUGGCAGCUUUGACGGGGCCACCUUCAGGCGGCUGCUGAGGGAGGCGUGUGCCAGCGAGGUAGGGGGGAGGGGGGGAUACGGGAAGAGGUUUUUUUUUGGGGGGGAGGCAGAGUUUGAGCGUGAGUGUGUGGCACUGUGAAUGUGAGAUUGCGACCGAGUACGGCAGUUGCUGAUCGCUGCUCGGUGCCGCGGCUCCGUGCCGUGCCGCCAUUGUGCUUCACCCAAGCUGCGCCAAAGUAUACACAUGCACAUACAUACGCGCAUACACACGCGCGCAAACGCACAAACGGACAUGCAUACAGACCGCCGGGGGCGACGGAACAGACAUCGGGAUUCAUGACCCGGUACCGUUUUGAUGUCCAUGACGUGCUGCUGGGAAUGUUCGGGUUUUUGCUCCCCCCACACUAACCCCUUCGCCACUUCUCCCGCCUCCUCCUGAUCCCCCCUCGGCACUUAGUACGCCCUCCCGCUGUCCCCCUCCUCCUCCUCCUCCUCCUACCCCGGACCCCAGGACCGCCACAUGGUGGUGUCGUACAGCCGUAAGGCCUUCAAGCAGAGCGGUGACGGGCACUUCAGCCCUAUCGGCGGUUAUCAUCCUGACCGGGACGUGGUGCUGUUGUUGGACGUGGUGAGAGCACGAGGGGGAUUUGGGGGGGGAGGAAAGGGCCGGGGGGAGGAAAAGGGGAGGGAAGGGAGGAGGGAAGAAGGGGGGGAUUUCUUUGCAUUCCGCACCCUCACCCGUACAUACAUACGCGCAGACAUACACGCACAGGGGGUGAUAAUGUCGCCCCUGUCCCCUUCGACCUCCCCCGUGGCUAGCAUCAUCUUUAGGGUUGAGCCGUCUGCGCGGCUUAGGACACGUUGAACGAUUUCCCAACCCCACCUCACCUCCCACCCCUUCUCUCUCAAGUCUCUCUCCCCCUCUCCCCCUCCCUCUCUGGGGGUUUGGGAGGAGCACUUGCAUACCGACAGCUUAUCAUUAGCAGCUAAUCAGCUAGUUCUCCAGGCCAGCAGCAAACUUUAUUCCAGCUUUACGACAGCAGUGCUUUACUACUUCUCCGCCGCCUCUACACCUACUUUUCUACCCUACUUCUUUACGGCUUGGCAUUACUGCUUUUCCUGCUUUUUUAGUCCUGGCGGCUUAGGUAGGUAGUUUUUCCGACAUCAUCUUCACUUCGUCAUCCCGAGGUCGCGGUCUUCACGGACGCCAUUCGGUCAGUUCUACGUCUGGUACACUCUUGCCCUGGCAGCAGCUUCACUCGUUUGUGGUUCGUCUUUGCUCCCUCUCCCCCUCCCUCUUUCAACCCCUUCAGGCCCGGUUCAAGUACUGCCCGCACUGGGUGGCGGUGGAUGAGCUGCUGGGGGCCAUGGGACUGCUCGACCCGGUUACCGGUAUGUGGGGGGAUGGGGACGGGUGGGGGAAGGGGGAAGGGGCGGCUACGUACUGGUUCCGGCGCCGGUUGUGCAGCUAAGGUUUCCCUGCAGCUGGUUUCAUGUGUCUGGGUUGCCGGUGGUCGGGAGAGGGAGGAGGGAUGGGGGGAGGGAUGGGGGGAGGGACGGGGGGAGGGACGGGGGGAGGGAUGGGGGGAGGGAUGGGGGGAGGGAUGGGGGGAGGGAUGGGGGGAGGGAUGGGGGGAGGGAUGGGGGGAGGGACGGGGGGAGGGAUGGGGGGAGGGACGGGGGGAAGGACGGGGGGAGGAACGGGGGGAGGGACGGGGGGAGGGAUGGGGGGAGGGAUGGGGGGAGGGAUGUUGCUCUGUCUGUUAGCACACCCUAUGAUAACGCCCUCGUGGACUUUAGAAACCAGGCUGUACAGCGUAGGACGGGGAGCGGGGGAUUGGUGUGCCAUAGAAAGGAGGGCGCUGUGUGUGUGUGUAUGAGAAGCGGGGAACAGAGGCUGUGCUGGUGAGAGUAGACACCCCCAUCAGGUCGACUUGGUUCACCACCAGUUGGCAUUUUCCGUCACAACCCGAAAUGAUCCUCCCUUAAUCCCCUCCCUCUCCCCCCUCCCCCUCACCCCCGUCUGGUACACUCUUGCCCUGGCAGCAGCUUCACUCGUUUGUGGUUCGUCUUUCCCCCCGCCCCCUUCCCGCUCCCCCCCGCUCCCCCUCCCACUGUCAACAGGUCGCCCGAGGGGCUUCCUCCUCCUCAGCAGUCGGCAACCCAGGGAAUCCGCACUGCUUGAGAUAAAUCCGGAUCUGGAUAUCAUGAACGAGCCCGCAGUGGAUCCGGGUCCAAAGCCGCCCUUCCCGGUCGUGGCGGCGGCGGCGGAGGAGGGGGCGGUACGGCUGUACGAUACGGGGCGCCGGCUGGAACCUGCCCUAACGCUACAGCGACCAGACGGCACCAUCCUCGCAAGCCCCUUAGCCCCCGCACCCGCACCCACAGCAGCAGCUGAGGUGGAGCCCGUGUGGGCCCCGGCUUACCGCUUCAUAAUGGUGGAGGGACCUGCGUUGCUGAGGCGGCAGCUGAGCAGCAGGACGGGGGGAGGGCGGGGGAGGGCGGAGGGCGGUGCGGAGGGGGGCCGGGGCAGUAGUGGUGCAAUGGACCAAGGGGGCGGCAAGGAUGGCAAGGAUGGCGAGGAGGAGGAGGAGGAGGAAGAGGGAGAGGGAGAGGGAGAGCAGCACGAAGAAGGGAAGGUGGCAGCCGGAGGCGACGGCUGUACGGCAGAUAUUCCUACCCUUGAGUCUCUUGUUGGGAUGUUGGUGGAUGCGGCCCCAAUGGAGAGUGUGUGUGCGCUGCUGAGCAGGAAACCGACCCGUGGGUCAUUUGGAGAAGCGGGAAGGCUGGGGGAGGCACCUUGUUGUGGCUGCUGCCUCGGAGGGGGAAGUGGCCCUGGGUCCGGGGGCGGGGGCGGGGGCGGGGAUGUGACGACGGCGACGACGACGACAAGGACAGGGGGGACAGCGGCAGUAGUGGCAUCAUCGGGGGUGACGGAGUGGGGGCCGGCUACGGAGGGAAAGGAGCUGUUUGCGGACAGAGUCGCUGCUCCGGGUGCUGGAGGUGCUGGAGGUGCUCCUGGUGCGGCGGCGAUGAUGUCAUCGUCCUCGACUCUUCCCCCCCCCGGUGGCCCCCGGCCGCCCGUGCCUUGUGUGUCCCCCCCCCUCUCCUCCCUCUCCUCCCCCUCGCCCUUCAUAAGGCCCCUGGCGCCCUGCAACAGCUCCCAGCNNNNNNNNNNNNNNNNNNNNNNNNNNNNNNNNNNNNNNNNNNNNNNNNNNNNNNNNNNNNNNNNNNNNNNNNNNNNNNNNNNNNNNNNNNNNNNNNNNNNNNNNNNNNNNNGGGGGGGGCAUCAAGGGGCCCGGCUUACGGUGGAGGCGGUUGCAGCCGUUGAGGCGGCAACCACCACAACCGCCACUUCCACGACCACCACCUGCUGCAACCGUCACAACAGCCAUACACAUAACCACAUCCAGGAUUCAUCAGCAGUAGCAGCGGCUGUAGCAGAAGGUGUUGUUGCUGCAGCGGCAACGGUUGGGGACUCCGAGGGGCCGUACGGAACGGCGAGGUCGUCCAACCCCACCAGUACAGCCAUUGCCAGCAGUGGUGCCGGCAGUAGCGAUAACAUAGGCGGCAGCAGCACUACGAGCAGCGCCAUUGCCGUUACCUGGAGCACGACUACCACUGCUGUUGCUGCUGUUGCUGCUGCUACUGCCCCUCUCAGCAGUGCGAGUAUCAGCAGUACUAGCGAUGUGGGUUCACUGGAGUCAGGGGGGUGGUCGACCGGCAGUAGCACCACCACCAACAACAACAACAACGGCAGUAGCAGCAGCAGGAGCAGCCACAACAGCAGUCGCUUGGGGUAAGUCAGUGAGAAGUGGGCGAUGAGGGGGCGGGAGAGAGUUAAUGCCGGCGUCCGGGGGAUUGGGGACCCGGGAAAGGAAGUGGUAUGAAUAUGUUAUAUAUGUAUGUAUGCAUGUAUGUAUGUAUCUAUGCUGGCAUCCAAAGACACAAACAUCUGCCGUACGAAAUUUAAAAGGGUGACGGAGAGUACGGCACUCCAGGCAACCGGAAAGGGCGCGCAGGCCGCCACUGCCACUGCUACUGCCACCACCUCCUCAGUCUGGCCGCCCGGAAUAACGGUGUGACGUUGGAAGUUCUCCCGGCCCCGCACAUAUAUACAUACACACGCAACCUCCCAAUUGUAAUAACUGUAUGCAGGUCGUUGGGCGGUAUUGGCACCAGCAACAAUAACAGCGUCAGCACCGCCACCGGCGCCACCUCGGCGUCUGACAGCUUCAACAGCAGUUGCGGUGGGGCCAGUAGCAGAAUGAGUGCCCCCCCCUUGGGCCCCCCCGCCACGAUGACGGGGGCCGCCCCGGGUUGCUGCCACGGGGAGCCCCUGGACCACCAUUGCGUGCCGACACAGGUGUGUAUGUGUGUGUGUGUGUGUGUGUGUGUUUGGGCGCAUGGGUGUGUUCGGGCGGCUUUUUGGGUGGGGAGUACUUACGUGUAUGACGUGUACGGCUGUGCGUGUAUGGGUAUCGGGGGGAAGAGACUGGGAAAGGGGUGGUGGGGCACGACACAACGACACGACACGUCGCUCUCGAGGCUAUCCCGGAGGCGCAGAGGUGGGGGGAAAGGGGGAGAUACAACCCAUCUGCCGGGAACCUGUGUACAGUCCCCCUCACCUCCCCCCGCUGCCUCUCCCCCCUCGCCCCUCGCCCCUCCCCCCUCCCUCCUCGCCCCUCGCCCCUCCCCCCUCCCAUUCAGGUCCAGGCCCUGGUGUUUGACGAACUCCGCUUCACGCACAUGUUCCGUCUGGUGCGCUACAGCCUCGACAAGAGGGUUCACAGACCCGGGUGUGUGCGGGUGACCCCGCCCGACCUCACUGCCUUCAUGAAGCCGGCGUAUGCUACAGCUACUGCGGGGGGCGGAGGGGGAGGGGGAGGGGAAGGGGGGACAUGUGGCGGUUCGGGGAGGGGAGGUACGGAAACAGCCGUAGCUCAGACCAGGCCCAGCGACGAUUCUACCAUUGCGCCGUCGGGCACCGACGCUGCGGCAGUAGCAGUACCAGCAGCAGUAGCAGUAGAUGGUGCAGUACCAGCAGUAGCGCUGGCAGCUGUAACCACUAACCCCCCCACUGCCCCAACCUGCGACACCUCCUCCAGCGGUGACGGGGCCCCGGCCGCCGCUAGCAGCAACCCUCGUCCCACAACUCUGGGGAAUGACGGCAGUAGCAGUGGCAGCGGCAGCAGCUGCGACUAUUGUCAUGCCGACCUGACUGGUAGCGGUGGUGGUGGUGCUGCCGGUGGUGGUGAUGUGGGCCGUACUGAUGAGAUGGCGGCGGAGAAACUGACCAUGGCUCUGCUGCUCAUGAUGACGGGGGGGCAGGAGGGGGCCCAGGAGGAGGAGGGGGGGGAGGGGAGGGGAAAAGGCGAUACCCCAACCUCCAUUACCACCAACGCUGCAGUAACAGUAACAGCACCGGCUGUGCGGGUGUGCGGUCGCCCCCAAUGCCUCAAGUGCCGACGGAAGCGACGGACCGCUAUAGCUGCUGCUGCUGGUGCUGCUGCUGGUGCUGCUGGUGGUGCGGUGGAUGAGUUGGUGUUUCUUCGUGAGCGAUGGCAGCAGCUGAUGCGGAUGGUGCCGCUGGGGCUGUUUUCCUCGGCACCUGUACUGCAGGAUGAGGUGUCGUAUUUGAGGCUGCAGCUGUCGAAAAUCCGUUUGGGUGACGGCGGUGCUAGGUAGGUAUGGUGAUGGUGAGGUGUGGGGCUGUAGCGCAGUAGCCGCUCCUCGGUGGGGCAGUAGCAGUGUGCCGUACUCAAUGUGAGUCCACGUAUACUGCUAGCAGUACAAACAAACAAAUUUACUGCAUGUCGUACGUGAUUAGCCGGUGUGUCAAGCAGACGGACAGGCAGACAGGCAGGUAGGCAGACGGAGAGACAUACAUACAUACACGUAUGUGUAUGUAUGCAAUCAGGAGCUCCUGAUGAUGAGAGGGAUGUGAUGCUGAAAACCGGCGAUGAUGGGGUGGGAUGAUUCAGCCAGGAGUUGAGGUAUUGCUGCCUUUUUUAUUCCGUUAUCGACUGCCCUGACGAACUAGCCGUAAUUGGCCCUCAUUGACGGCGGUGGUUUCGCAGAAUAUUUAUUGUUCUAUAUGUCCGUUGUUAACUUGUGAGUGGCUGGGGGAUGUGUGUACGGCGCGUGUGUAUUGGGGGGCCCGGUAUGGGCGGGAAGGUUGGGUCGCCUCUGCAUUAGGUCGCCUCUGCAAACGGCGCCAAGUGCAUGUAUGUAUGUAUGUAUGUAUGUUUGUAUGUAUGUAUGUAUGUAUGCAUGUAUGUAUGUAUGCAUGUAUUCCAUUCGCCCACGUACCGCCUCCUUUCCCGCGUGUGCGUGGUCUUAUCGCAAGCGUAUCGGUGGGUACGGCACUGAACAUUUCCGAAGUGCCAGGUUCUGUGAUAUGUGCAGGUAUGUAUGCAUGUGCUCGUGCGCCCUGUAAUGUAUUUAUAAACGGCUUGCCCGCAGUUGGGACGUUGAGUAAUGAAUGAAUAUGGUGGUCAAGUAGAGCUAAAAUGCCUGUUUUAAAAUUUUGGUCGCUGUGGCUGAGGACGCUGGUGAGGAUGGUGGCGAUGGUGAUGAUGGUGAUGACCUGAGGUAGGAGGGAGAGGGGCAUGUAGCGCCGUCAUCAGGCCCAGCUGUGCGUGACGAGCUGAAGGAUAAAUGCGGGUAGCGAUAGCGGUGCGGUGCUAGAUAAAGGGUGAUUAUGAUGACGAUGUCGUACGAUUGUACGACUACAUCCGACGCGUCUUCGGAAGAUGUUUUGUAUUAUGAGCGGCGGGGUCCUAAAUAGUGUUUUUUUUGCCGUGAUCUCUGUCCCAUGCGAGCGGUGGGUCAGGUGCGACCCGGGGGUCGGUCGGUGAUGCAAUACGUUCCACCUGUGUCGUACCAGUUGGUGAACUUUACGUUGCAAGUCGGUGGGGCCGUUAUGUAUAUGGCCACUUGAGAGUCGGAGUGGGUAGUGCUUUGUGGAAGGCGUAGCAACUAGCAGAUGUACAUAUGAAAUAGAGAGAAGUGCACACCGAGAUGUGGGCGGGUAGGUUCACUUUGUGUAUACGCACAUACGUUGUAAUUGCUGGAUCCGAACGAUCGUCAAUUACUGGUUGGUUGACGGGACGUCAACAGUAGUCAAUCCGCAAGAAGCCUGCAAAAGUUCUCAACGAGAGAGGUGUGCUUGCGGGAGGAAGAAGGAUGCCAGCUUGUCCACAAGGAAGGGGUUUGAGCAGCGCUGGAAACGUCGCUGUGAGGCGGCUGGAACGAUGUGGUUUGCUAUGGGAAGGGCUGCCGGUCCUGUCCUAAGUAUGCGGGUACUGUCGACGCGCAAAAACGUCAUGAUAAAGAGAAACAGUUAAAUAUCGCCAGCCUGGCUGAGUGAAGGAUUGGAAGGGAUUGGUGGAGCCAUGGACCACACCCUUUUGGAUUGAUUGUAACAUGCUUAGCACAAUACUGCAUUUGAGCGGACAAAUUGUAGGUUUAUGAUCUAGCUGAUGGUACCUUUCCGCAGCAGCAUACUGGUAGUUCGUACGAGUGGUAACCACCAAAUUAAGCUUGCGCCGGCAGAAUGAGCCGACUACCGACUGGAAAAUCGGUAUGAUGUCGUUACUCUUACUGUAUGUGCAAUAAUGGCAUCUAUGUAUAAAUCAUUAGCUGCAUAGCUCUUUCAAGUUACUCUUGGCAUGGUCUUUAUGGUGGUUGGUUCCUCUUCCUCAAACGUCCUUGGCAACGCAAGCUCUGCUAAGUUAAUAUCAGCACAAAGGAGACGCGGACCUUUGUCACUGCGUACUCGAUCUCUCCUAACGCACCAGCACGCGAUAAGGUCUACUGCCUCGCCUGGGAACUCACACUGCCCAAGUUACGCGAUUGCCUCACUCUUCCAGCGAUUACCUCAUCAUCGUCAAAAUCAACACCAUCGGCAUCCUCAUCACGGCAAAUACAGGCCCGCCCUCGCAGCAGCCAGCACCAUGACCAGCAGCGGCCCCGCUCCCCUCCUCCUUCCACGGCGGCCCCUUGGCUCUACAGGCCUGGAAAUUUCCGUACUUGGUUUUGGAGCUUCCCCUUUGGGUGGCGUGUUCGGGGUAAGGCACCCGCUUGGACUAAUUGUCGUAAUUGGUUGGUUAGAUGGUUGUUCCAUAGCGGCCUUAUAGUAUCAUUAGUCCGCAGCACAUCCACAUUAAAAAACCGCCAACUGUGGAUAGCUAAUCAUGGGCACAGCUGCGAGCUUUAGGGUGGAGCCUUUCGGUGUGAGGCCGUUUGAGCGGUUCGAGGUUGGGGGUCGCGGCCGCACCGCACCCAUAAAGCCCACGCUCAGUGCCUCUGUGUGUACGGCAAUCUUGCCUUCCUUCUUCCCCCUCCCUCCCCUUAGGGCCCCCCGGGGGGAAAUCCGCGCUUGGGUCCUCCCUCUUCGUCCCCUCCUCCCUACAUCCCCUUAACCCCGCACAACCAUACACAUACACACACACACCCUUCCACACCCUCCCACGUCCUUCAGGAUAUCGACGAAUCCGCUGCGAUCGAUACCGUACACCACGCCGUCCGACGCGGGAUUAACUUCUUCGACACCUCGCCGUACUACGGACUGACCAAGUCUGAGACGGUGAGGAUGGGGCUGCUCUGAAGGGGGUGUCGUACGCAGGGGUGUCGUACAUAGGAAACACCGAGUAGUUGGGUGUCUACCUGCGCUGUAGGGGGAGCUGGGGGCCCAUGUGCUGGCGUUAGGCGGACCCGCGCUGGUUGCGUAUGUAUGUCCAAAUGGGUCGGAGGGACGCGAGGUGAAGUUCUCGGGUUAUGAGGGACCGCAACAUGGGGUGGGACGGAACAUGGGGUGGGACGGAACAUGGGGUGGGACGGAACAUGGGGUGGGACGGAACAUGCAGCUCCUUCGCCUUCCUGACCGUCCUCAGGGCAUAGCAGCGCCCUGCGACUGCUACUGCUACUAUUGCCACUGCUACUGCUCACCCCAGGGGUAGGCAAGGGCUGCGUCAUCGGGCCCGCACUCGGGCACUCUCCUCACUUUACACACCGCACUCUGGCUCCCUGUACAGUUGCCCGCCGCACAGGCCGGGCCGGGUGGGGCCCGGUGGGGCCAGCUCUUGAGCGCUUCCCGUAGGAGCCCCGAACCGCACCCAUCCCACAUUCCGGAGGGGGAGAAGCGCUACCCGCCGUUAUUAAGCACUAGCACCAUCAUGACCCUCACCACCCUCAUCACCACCCUCACCCUCACCAUGUCGCUAGUUGAUAUUAUCACGUCCUACACCGUCCAUAUGAUGGGGGACCACCUCCCAUUUCAACGCCCCUCACACACCCGAGGGGUCGGCAGGCGGAUUUGAACCCGGACACUCCGGGAGCAGAAGUUAGCUCUUAUGUUGUUACAGGGUGGUUAACUUCGCCAGCGGCCCCCUUUCCCGGGGCAGUCCCUGCUCUCCCCUGCUAGAGGGGCACCCUAAUCCGUCACCCCAUCCGACUUCAGAAUGUAUUCGUUGGGUUCGGCAACUCACCACCAGCAUCAAACCAAAUCUAGCGGAUCAACGGCGCAUCAACUUAGUUCCUGGUCAGCUCGCAAGUUGAUUUUAUCACGUCCUACAUCGUCCAUAUAAUGGGGGGCCACCUCCCAUUUCAACACUCCUGAAACACCCGAGGAGCCGGCAAGCGGAUUUGAACCCGGGUCGGCCGGGAGCAGAAGUCAGGCCUUAACCUCUGCCAGAUGCCUGCCUGUAUGUAUGUGUGUGUGGUGUGGUGAUGGGGGAGGUGAAGGUGUACUGAGCGGGGAGCAGAAGUUAGCUCUUAACUUCUGCCAGCCACCUGCCUGUAUGUAUGUAUGUGUGAAACAGGGGGGUGUAUCUUCGCCCGUGGCAGCUACCCUGCGAAACCCUGCCUUCCCCGGUAUUUCGGGGCACCCUCAUCCAGUCACCCUAGUUAACUUCUCAGUGGAUCGCUCAGGUUCCGCACCCACCACCAGCAUCCAACGGAAUCUGCCGGGUCGACAGCGGCCCAACUCCAUUCCUGGUCGGCUCGCAGGUUAACUUUAUCCCAGGUCACCACAGUCCAUCAACUAGGGGCGCAAUGCCUUCCACCCUAUCGGGUAUCGAUCCCGGGAUCUCCCGGGGGCAAUGGUCGCGCCUUACCAGUGGUGCCAAACCCUUAUAUGUAUGUAUGUAUGUAUGCUGUUCCCUGUCCAUUUUUCCCCUUCAAGGAAAAGGUUAAUUCAGCCCAAGUCGGGGGUCCCUCGACUCUCCGUCGCCUCAGGUACUGGGUCGGGCGCUCCGAGACCUACCCCGUUCCGAUGUCGUACUUUCCACCAAGGUUGGCCGGUACGGCAGCGGCAGCGACCCAGCAGACUUUGACUUCAGUGCACAGCGCGUAACCACCAGUGUGGCGGAGUCGUUGGAGCGGCUGCAAGUGUCGUACCUAGAUGUCGUACAUUGCCAUGACAUUGAGUUUGGGGACCUUGACCAGGUGGGUGACGGGUGUGCUGAUGCGUGUGUGUUUGUGUACGGAACGUGUCAAACCCUAGAAGAAAACCCCUUCUUCUUCCCUCUGUUCUCCGGGGAAGAUGGAAGUUCGACAAUGCAGCGGGUGCGCGCUGGCCCAUGGAUGGAGCUGUACGGGCUGUACGGCGGGGAGGGGCCGUUCCUUGUGUUUCAUAGGCCGGGGAGCAAGGGCGAAGGGAGUCGAGGAGAGGGGGGAACUGUUACAAGGCAGGUAGGGGAAGGGGGGACGAGGGGGGAGGGGGGAGGGGGGAGGGGAACUGGGUGAUUGGGGGGUAUGGAGGGUAGCGCCAGGUAGGGUUUCAGGGGUCUGAGGACAAUAUCGGGAAGGGCAAGAGGAGGGUUACAUGUUGGGGGGGGGGAAAAGAGGGGGAGCCGCCAUAUAAGCCCCACUACAACGCCACUACAACCCCACUACAACCCCACUACAACAACACUACAACCCCACUACAACGCCACUACAAGCCCACUACAAUGCCACUACAACCCUACUACAACGCCACUACAAGCCCACUACGCCACUCACACUUCCCCCUCCCUCCACCAUCUCCUCUCACGAAACACACACACACACAGAUCGUCAACGAGACGCUCCCCGCCUUGGCCCAGCUUCGGUCCCGGGGUAUUGUACGACAUGUGGGUAUCAGUGGUCUCCCCCUGGAGUCAUUCCAUUACGUACUGGACAGGGCGCCGCCAGGUAGGUAGGGGGCUGGAUCUGGAUUCCGAUUCGGAUUCCGAUUUGGGCCGCUGAGGGGAAAAGUGUAAACUGCACGGCGUACAUGUGUGCCAGUAUGCGUGUAUGUAUAUGUACAUGUAUGCAUGUACGUAUGUACGUAUGUUUUGGUUGUGUGUGUAAUGUUGUGUCGCACCUGCACGUGCACGGGCGUGAGGGGGUACGCUCGGGGGGUACGCAGCGGCACAGAGGACGAACAUACACACGUACACACAUAUCACCAAAGAUAACUACUUGGGAGGAGGCGGGGGGUUGUGAAAGGCCCCUGCUUUCCAGUACACAUAUCAUCAUACCCCCACCCCGACUCCCCUAUCUUACCCUUGUCGUUCAUGUACUGCGGCCGUCUCCUCCCCCGAAGUAUUUCUUCUCCCCCUCCAAGCCUCCCUCUCUCCGUUCCUCAUCCCCUUGGUAACCAAACAGGCUCCGUGGAUGUCGUACUGUCGUACUGCCAUUACUGCCUGAACGACACCACGCUCCUGGGCAGCCUGCCGUAUUUCCGCUCCAAGGGUGUUGGUGUCAUCAACGCCUCCCCCCUAUCCAUGGGUUUGCUGACGCGGCAAGGCCCCCCCUCCUGGCACCCCGCACCCCCCCAAUUGAGAAAGAGGGUGGAGGCGGCCGCCGUACAUGCCGCGCAACGUGGCUGGGACAUCGCAGAAUUGGGGCUGGGUUUCGCAGUCAGGUGAUGAGAGGGGGAGUGAGUGGGCCCGGGGAGUUAAGAGGAAAUUCAAAAACACGUUUGGGUUUUGGGUUUCUCUGGUACUCGCCUCCUUCUCCCCUCUCCCCUCUCCCCCACCCCGCUCCCCGCUCCCCUCUCCCCGCUCCCCGCUCCUCUUGCACAAUGUAGGUAAGUCUGCAACCCAGUUGUACCACUGCUGCUUUACGUUGCUUCCAAAGUUGAGACGCCGCCGUACGACACACUCAACGCGCAUCACUGGUUGAGUUAGUGACCAAGUAGCCUGAUCUGACCAGGUUAACUCGUUGUACGAGAUGUACGACAAUUAGGACAUCCUUUCAGCAGGAAAAUACAACUCAUCUGCAUUACCCUGGAAGUCAAGGGCCUCAACGACAAUAUCACGAGACCCGACAACACAAAAACAUCUCGGAUAACGUUUUACGUCCGGAACCACGGGUCGGUGACUUCAUCGCUUAGGACUCACUAGGCAGUUUUAAACUUUGGACGGUCGCGUUUACUUCCUCUUGUUUCCUUGCAUGUGUUCCCGUGCCCCGCCCCUCCCNNNNNNNNNNNNNNNNNNNNNNNNNNNNNNNNNNNNNNNNNNNNNNNNNNNNNNNNNNNNNNNNNNNNNNNNNNNNNNNNNNNNNNNNNNNNNNNNNNNNNNNNNNNNNNNNNNNNNNNNNNNNNNNNNNNNNNNNNNNNNNNNNNNNNNNNNNNNNNNNNNNNNNNNNNNNNNNNNNNNNNNNNNNNNNNNNNNNNNNNNNNNNNNNNNNNNNNNNNNNNNNNNNNNNNNNNNNNNNNNNNNNNNNNNNNNNNNNNNNNNNNNNNNNNNNNNNNNNNNNNNNNNNNNNNNNNNNNNNNNNNNNNNNNNNNNNNNNNNNNNNNNNNNNNNNNNNNNNNNNNNNNNNNNNNNNNNNNNNNNNNNNNNNNNNNNNNNNNNNNNNNNNNNNNNNNNNNNNNNNNNNNNNNNNNNNNNNNNNNNNNNNNNNNNNNNNNNNNNNNNNNNNNNNNNNNNNNNNNNNNNNNNNNNNNNNNNNNNNNNNNNNNNNNNNNNNNNNNNNNNNNNNNNNNNNNNNNNNNNNNNNNNNNNNNNNNNNNNNNNNNNNNNNNNNNNNNNNNNNNNNNNNNNNNNNNNNNNNNNNNNNNNNNNNNNNNNNNNNNNNNNNNNNNNNNNNNNNNNNNNNNNNNNNNNNNNNNNNNNNNNNNNNNNNNNNNNNNNNNNNNNNNNNNNNNNNNNNNNNNNNNNNNNNNNNNNNNNNNNNNNNNNNNNNNNNNNNNNNNNNNNNNNNNNNNNNNNNNNNNNNNNNNNNNNNNNNNNNNNNNNNNNNNNNNNNNNNNNNNNNNNNNNNNNNNNNNNNNNNNNNNNNNNNNNNNNNNNNNNNNNNNNNNNNNNNNNNNNNNNNNNNNNNNNNNNNNNNNNNNNNNNNNNNNNNNNNNNNNNNNNNNNNNNNNNNNNNNNNNNNNNNNNNNNNNNNNNNNNNNNNNNNNNNNNNNNNNNNNNNNNNNNNNNNNNNNNNNNNNNNNNNNNNNNNNNNNNNNNNNNNNNNNNNNNNNNNNNNNNNNNNNNNNNNNNNNNNNNNNNNNNNNNNNNNNNNNNNNNNNNNNNNNNNNNNNNNNNNNNNNNNNNNNNNNNNNNNNNNNNNNNNNNNNNNNNNNNNNNNNNNNNNNNNNNNNNNNNNNNNNNNNNNNNNNNNNNNNNNNNNNNNNNNNNNNNNNNNNNNNNNNNNNNNNNNNNNNNNNNNNNNNNNNNNNNNNNNNNNNNNNNNNNNNNNNNNNNNNNNNNNNNNNNNNNNNNNNNNNNNNNNNNNNNNNNNNNNNNNNNNNNNNNNNNNNNNNNNNNNNNNNNNNNNNNNNNNNNNNNNNNNNNNNNNNNNNNNNNNNNNNNNNNNNNNNNNNNNNNNNNNNNNNNNNNNNNNNNNNNNNNNNNNNACCCACCAUACUAAUGCCCAUGACCAGAGCCGACUGGAGAAAGAGCUAAACAUGGCAUCACAGGCGAUGCACACCAGGGGAUGGAAAGUGGCUGCACACUCGUGGUCCAACUCUUCCCACACAGCAGGAGUUCUCAUCCUAGUCCGUCAGGAUCUGACUGCUAUCGUGGAAAACCCGCCGCCCAUCCCCGUGGUCCGAGGGAGAUUUGCCAGCUGUAUACUUUGCUGGGGAGGACACCGCAUCCACAUCUGCAACAUUUAUGGCCCCACGGGUACCUCAGCACACGUGAACCCCCUCCGACAACAGCUGUUCACAACCACGCUGCCAGCCACAACCAAGCAUGCAGCCGAGAACAGUGACACCAUGCUGGUCUGGGCGGGUGACUUCAACUUUGUGGAAGACCCAGGGCUGGACUCCACAGCAGGUCCAGGAGGGCGACGGGGAGAUGGCCCAACAGUGGACCUUCUUCGGGCAGCAUGGUGGACAGCCACCGCCAGCUGCACCCCCACAGUUGUGACUACACCCACUUCUACAGAGCUCCCUGCGUCGGGGCCUCCCGCCUAGACCGCAUCUAUGUAGACCAUGGCACCAUGCCGUACAUUGCUAAGACGGAGAUUGCCGUGCAAACACCGUCGGAUCACAAGCCAAUGGUCAUGCACCUGCUGCCGUGCCGACCAGAGAGCAAGGGCCCAGGAAAGUGCGGCUGACCUUCACAUCACACCAGGACUUAGCCGCAAGCAUGGAGGCAUGGAUCACCAGCCAGUGUGCCACAGCACCAUCUGCGGAGGACAACCCUUUGGGCCUGAUUGCGUGGUGGCCAGCUUUUAAACGCCGGCUCAGCACCCUGGCCCUUCAGCUCAACAAGGCGGCACAACACCGCAAGCUCAGACCAGGGGCCCGGGCUCGGGAAGUGUUACCGCAGGUCCAGUUGGCAAGGCAAGCGGUGGAUGCAGCCCCCACAGCACAACAGCCACUCCAACAACUGGUCGAAGCCCAGGCAAUGCUCGCACGAGCACAUCGGGAAGACUGCCGGAAGGAUGCCAUGGAGGCCCGCACCCACUGGCUGCGGGCAGGGGAGAGGCCGAGCCCAUCCCUUACAGCCUUCCUCCAGGCCCAGGCUAUAGACCAACAACCAGCCCCUGUCGCCCUGCAAGCCUUGUCCGGCCGACUUGUUACCAACCCCGCUCAGCUGCCCCAGGUGGUAGCCGACUUCUGGAAGGAUGUGAGCAAGGCCCCGGACUUCAUCUGCCCCCAGGCCCGCCAAGCCGUACUGAACUCCCUCACCGCAGCCAACAUUAAGCUCCCAGCAGAGGCAGAUGAACAGCUUGGAGCCAAAAAGAUCACAGCCACCGAACUGUGGAAGGCACUCAAGAAGAGCGCACCUGGCAAGGCCCCAGGGUGGGAUGGGAUUCCAGCCGACAUCUACAGGAAAUUCUGGUCAGCCUUAGGUAAUACCAUGGCAGGCCUGUUCACUGCCAUUGGCACGACCGGGCAGGUGCCCGCAGGCUUCCUUGAAGGGAUCAUCACAGUGCUCUAAAAAAAAGGCGACCCCAAGCUCCCCGGCAACUACCGCCCCAUCACACUGCUAUGCUCGGACUACCGGCUCCUUGCUAAGGUACUGGCGAACCGCCUGGGCCCCGCCCUGGGACGGGUCAUCACCCCCGAGCAAUCCGCCUUCCUCCCCAAGCGCCUGAUUGGGGCCAGCGUACUCUUCCUGCGCCACCUGUCACACCUCCUCCGCAAGCAGAACCGCCAAGGGCUUUUGGCAUUCCUGGACUUUGCCAAAGCAUACGAUACAGUGGAUCGCGGCUUUCUCCUAGCGGCCAUGGAGGCGAUGGGGGCAGGGCCACAGCUGUGUGCGUGGGUACGUCUUCUACUGAGCGAAACCCGAGCCCGGGCGAUGGUCAACGGGUACAAGUCCAGGCUGGUGGACAUGGAGGCUGGUGUCCGACAGGGCUGCCCCCUGGCGCCUCUGCUGUACCUCUUCGUCGCCCAAGCUCUCCAAUGCUGGGUGUGGGUGGGUAUGAGCGAGUCGCGGUUGGGGUCUCCACCGCGGUUUCCACCACAGCGGUGUGUGUGUGUGUGUUAUCACCCGGUGGGGGGUUAGUCUAGCGGGGGGGGGGGAGCUUUUGAAUCCGCUGUUGUAACGCUCUUCGUUUCAUUCGCUGCCGUGUCGCCCGCAGGAGUCGUUAGGGGGAUCUCCGUGUCCCCGUGCUCAAUGCCUUCAGGAGACUUUUGGCGUCAGGUCUUUAGGGCAGAUAAGUGUUGGUGGGUGUAUAGGCGGUUGUUGUUGUUGCUGUUGUUGUUGUUGUUGGUGGUGGUGGUGGUGGUGGGUGGCUGUACACCUGUACUGGAUAAGGGGGAGGGGGUCUGUCCUGCCUUGAUUGGCUGAGUGCUGCUGAGUGCGCGACCUUUCCCCCGACCUGACGGACGGCUAGCUGGCUGGCUGGCUGGCUGGCUGGCUGGCUGGCUGGCUGCCUUCGCUCAUGGCUUUACUUCCACCGGUCGGGUCGGGAUAGCAAUGGUUCGUGAGUUGGCUGGCUGGCUGGCUGCCUUAUUGGUGUACCUCCAGAAGGUCAUACGGGUGUCUGUACGUAUGUAUGUAAGUGAUUAUGCACGUACUUAUGUGUGUGUACUUAUUUAUGUUCAAGGAUGGAUUAUUGGCCGUUUCACCUUCCUUAUGCUUUCUGGCCGCGGCGGAUUGGGGACCUUGUCCUACCACACCACCUCACCUACCCCAGAACGUGCGGAUGUGCAGGCUGUUGGUUUUUAUACCAUCCAGCGGUGCACGCAAGAGCAUCGCGACAAUGUAUGUCUAUGUGAGAACAUAAGGCCUGGAAGAGUUUACUUGUGAAAGAGGUGGCGGGCGCCCACACGCCCACACACAACCUUCAUGGAAGCAGGGAAGCAAGGGGGAAAGGAAAGGAGUCCGCCUCUAUCGGCUCCUUCGAGAAAUCCUCCCGUGGCGGGCAGCGCUCCUAUCUAGGCUGGGCAGGGCAGCAUGUAGUAGCCUGGGUUGGGGGUUUGAACUAACGACUCACGGAGUCACACGAAACGCUCUUAUUGCUCUCUCGGGCAAUAGCAGCCCCUAACAAACCUGUGUAACAAUGCCCCCAUCAGCAGUUAUCUUAUAUUAAAUGCACUAGGUGGUACAUAAAUAAAUAAUAGAAAACUUGUAACUUCCUUCCUGGAGAACUGGAGUCGAACGCGCACCCACCCAGCCGGCCCGCAACCUCCCCUGCCUCGGUGGUCUCGGAUGCCCCGAGAUCCUCCGCAGCUGCAGCUGCCUGGUGCGCCUAGGCAACAUCUCGCCUAGGCUAGUACGCCCGGGCCUAACGGCCUAAUGGCCAUGCACAUAUAAAAUGCCAGUCCCUACACAGUUUUUGUAUUUUAGUAGUAAACUACCUCUCGCUUGCAGGAGGAGAAGGGUACUCCGUACGUAGACCUUCGUUCAUUAUCUUCACCUGACGUAAUAUCGUUGUCCUGCAUACUCAGAGCAUAGCGUACGUAGUAGCUCUUCUUCCGCGGCGGCGCGGCUGCCCGGCUGGCGGGUUAGUGUGCGCCGCUGGAUCGCUGACAUCCCCAUCCGUCCUUUUACUGCAGGCCCGCCUCCUCCUCCACCUCCUCCACCUCCUCCACCUCCUCCACCUCCUCCACCUCCUCCACCUCCUCCACCUCCUGCAGGCUCUGACAGCAACCUAGGGGGAGCGAAUGCUCACAUACAGCACCCUCUUACGGACGGGUAGCAGUGAGUCGUUCUGUUGGGAGGCCGGGAGCAGCCUUUCAGCUAGGUCUCCGUCUUAAUUAUUAGCUCAUAGUAGCAGUAUUACCAGCAUUACCAGUAUCAGUAUCAGUAUCAGUAUCAGUUUAAUUGCAGUUUAAUUGCAGUAUUAGCAGUAUCAGUAGCAGUAGUAGUCACGCCGGGUGUGUUGAGAGCUGGUCGCGCAACUCGAGGACAUCGGUUGUAUGGUAGGUGCGUCAGCGGUCGCGAGGGAUCGUGAUGGAUGGAUGUGGAUACCACCUCUGAUAUUUCCCACCUCGCUCACCUCACUACUGAAUGGGCUCCUCCCUGUAUGCGCAUGCAUGCAGCUGCUGUGCCUGUCGCCCCAGCCCGCCAUAUGCCUGCUGCUGCUGCUGCGCCGCCGCCGCCGCGACGCCAUGGUGCCAUUCGAUGCGGCAAGACAUAAUCUGAGUUGAGGCUUAAGGGUACACUACAACACUGUAAGGAGGUCGCGUAAGGAGGCGGAGAUCCACAGAGAUUGGACGCGGAAUGCGCGACGGCGUGUCGCACCACUUACUGUUGCCGCUGGAUGUGGAUGCGCAACUCACGUAUUGUGCAUGUCCAUUCCUGUCCACCAUCCACCUUAGGGUAUUAAGAAUACGAGAUUCCGCUUCCCCCGUAGGGUGGUCCCACUCCCCAUUCACUCUGUUAUUUCCGCCAGCUCCAUAAGAGAGUGUAGUAGAAAGUAGACAUGGAGAUAUAUCAACUCACCACACCUCACCACCACCAUCAACCUUACUCGCAUUACAUCAACAGAGGAUGUCAAAUCAGGCCCUCGCUGUCCCUCAGUUGACAGCGAAAGCGUUAUCGUUGUUUACGGGUUUGUGAGGAACACGAUAUGAUUGACUGAUGGCGAAUUCUUCUCCGAUUCUAUUCCCCGGGUACUAUUGUGGCGGGGGCGGGGGCGGGGGCGGGGGCGGGUACUUACCUGCCAAUAAUGUCCUACACACUCACGCACACGCAAAUGCACAUGCACAUGCACAAACGCACAUACACACAUGUAUACACACACACACUCUCACGCACGCGCACCCCGGGGUUGGGGGUACCAAAGUUAACACAUAACCCCGUCUUUGAUGCCAGCAGGUGUUACGGCGUACGGCAUAUAUACGGCUGGAAGGGUUAGACCGGUGGCUUAUUGAAGCACCGGGGAUUUGUUUAGCACACAUACACACGUACAUACACAUACAUACACACACACUUGGGCACACACACAUCAGUGGCGGCGGUCAGUCAUCUCUCUGAAGUGAAUGUCUGAAGUACGGCCAAGUGGGUCCAUCCAGUUCUGCAAUUUGCCUGAGGGUGCCGUACAAGGGGUAUCAUCAAUGGAGCCGUUGGCUGAGCUGACGCCCGAACAUCAUGACAGCGCAUUAGUGGCGGCGGCGGCGGUGGGGGUGGGGGUGGGGGUGGCAACAGUGGCUGUGGUGCCGCCGCGCCAGCCUCAACGAUCAAUGCGGGCACUUGAUGGGCUUGCGCUUUCCGCCAGCCAUGGCUACCGCGCAUUGGAUGAUGACUGCGACGGCGAACGGGCCGCCAUUCAGGGCUACUCCAGUCUACGACAUGUCGUACAGUUCAACACCGACGCUGACACCGCACCUUUCAACGCUGCUUUCACCGCCAAGGCUCCCAAUGCCUCCGCUGCCCCCGCCGCCCCCCCCGCCGCCGCCGCCGCCGGGGAGCCGCCUGCCUCCGUAACGGCCGAUGUUCCCUCUUCUAGGGAAGCGCCACCACCACCACCGCCACCGCCACUACCACCACCACCACCUGCCAGCCAAGUCGCAGGAGAGGAUAUCGGCAACCUCACGGACCGGAUCCGGCGGCGCUCCCGCCAACUUCAUUGCAGUGCCGUACAUAUCACGCCGUAUAAGUGUCAUACCGACGUCACUGCCACCGCCACCAUCACCAUCCACGGCGACCAGUCGCGGCAGGCGCCCGUCAUCCCUUCUCCGGGAACUUCCCUGGACUUCGGCAACCAAGAACCGCUGCCGCCACCACCGCCGCCGCCGCCACCACCGCCGCCGCCGCCGCCAUCGGGCCCCGGGGGCAGUGGCGGGCUCCCUGGAGGGCGAACCUGUCCAACCACCCAGGUUAACCAACAUUCAGUACUGGACCUCGGUUACAACCACCAGAGCAACCACAACCAAUAUAACCGCUACGACCAAUCACAGCUGCAUCUACACCAGCCGCCAAACGAUGUGGUUUCGUACGGCGCCAACGGCCUUACAGACGGCGACUGCACACCCGGCACUGACUGCGCCACUACGCCCGCUACACGCGGGCAUGCGGCUGUGGAAAGGUUGGAAUCUGCGGGCUCUGCCGUGACAUUUGGGGCCGGCAUUGACGAAGCUGGCAAAGCAGCUGCGAGAAGGAGACCCAUUAGUGAUGGUGGUGGUGGUGGUGGUGGAGGUGGUUAUGGCGGUGGAGGUAAUGAUGGUUGUGGCGGUCGAAGAGGCAGGAGCGUGCAAGCCUCUAGCCCCAGCACUGGUGUCGUACUCGACUCUCACCUACGGCAGCCGUACACUGUCCAGUACCAUCAUCUCCAUCAGAGUCACCUCCUCCCCCCCGGGAACGACCGCGGGACUGCUCCGUGGGGCCCCCCCGGGUACGGGCCCCCCGCGGCUGCCCAGCCCGGACAGCCGGCCAACGGCGCGGGUGCCACCGCAGCCGGCGGAACGUCCACACAACUGCCGCCACAGGAGCUGAUGAACCGCCAGCAUGUGACAGCGCCGCAACUACCUCAACCGCCACUGUCAAGAGAAACGUACGGCACGGCGUACCAUCCCCGCUCCUUUGGGAAUCCUUUCCGUGCUCGAGGCUCGUCUGGUCCUGUAGCGGUCGCGGUGGUUGCAGAUGACGAGUUGACAGACCACGGGCCACAGGGCCACACAACGACUGGAAGCGGGUCCUUGCUUGGUGAACGGGAGAAUCUAUACGGCAACAUAAACAUGGUGCCUUUACAGGCUGCUGGCCAAACAAAGUACAGUGAUGCAGUACAGUCAGUCGGUACGGCCGUGCAGCAUUAUCCCAUUGAGGAGCUGCCGUCGUCACCGCAACAACAGCACUACUAUCGCCACCACCAGCAUCAACCCCUACAACAGCAACGACACCAUCACCACGAUCACCACAAUCAACCUUGGCUGCAGCGCAACCAUCUUCAUCCCCCCACACAACAACCUCGCUCCAACCUACAGCGUCAAGACUAUCACCGUCGCCCUCUUCACCAGCAGCAGCAAUUCCAGCAGCAGCAGCAGCAGCAGCAGCAUCAGGGUCCCUCUCCGGGUGCUAUGGCGGGGGGGAGUUCGCACCUCACUACUGCUACUGCUACUGCGGCACAAAGUCAUGGGCAGUACCCUGCAGCCCAAUCCAGCGAGAGACGCCGAAUGUACGAACAACAAAGACAACAACAGCAACAGCAGCAACAGCAGCAACAGCAACAGCAACAGCUACAACAGCAGCAACAGCAACAGCAACAACAGCAGCAACAGCAGCAACAGCAGCAACAGCAGCAACAGCAGCAACAGCAACAACAAAGACAGCAAAGACAACAGCGGCAGCAUAACCCGCCGCACUACCACCCGCACCAAUACCACCACCACCUGCAAAAUACCGCCUUCCAGACCUCCGCUGACAUCCCAAGCAGCGGUGCUGACACCGCCGGUCGCUUUGGCAUGUACGACAGCGUGCAUGGACAGGGACUUGGCUUUCCUCAGCCCGCCGUGGAGAGCCAACAGCAGCCCAGCACCCCUGCCGCCGCCGCCUCCCGGUAUGCCGACCUGGCGGAUCCAAUUGAAGGGCACAGUGCUGGAGGGCUGCGGGCGGAGCGCCGGGCGCUGUCGUCGCUCGACUGGCGGGGACCCUUAUCGGCGGCUCUCCAAGACAGCGGCGGAGGCUUUCCGGGCGGCGACCAGGGCGGUGUAAUGUACGGCAACAGCAUGGAUGUGUACGGCUUGACGCCAGCACAGCCCAACGAGGAUACCGAUGAUGUCCUGUUGACGUACCUGCACCAUGGUGGAUCUACCGGCGCCGCAGCUGCGGCCGCCUUUGGUGAAGCCCGCCUGUUGUACCCGCCGACUGCCCCCGACAACCCUUCAGCCACCGCUGCAGACUCAGCACCCAUGCGGAGCGCCUCCGCACCCGCCACCGUGAGCUCCUCCCAGAAUCUUACCUUUGCCUUCGGCAUGGGCGACGGUAAUCGCCGUACUGCAGCGUGGGUAGGGGAGGAGGUGCAAGGCCAAGCAGCUGCUGCCCUAGCUGCCGGGGGCAAUGUUCAGCCGACCCACGACUUCGGCGGAGCUGGACCUGUGAUUGAGGCUGCAGGGAGGAUCAGCACAAAGGGCCAAGGCAAACCGCGUCGUGGUGCAGCGGUGGCGGAGGUGGUUGCAACACCGUUGCCAGCAGCGCCACAUGCGCCGCCGCUGCCCGCAAUACUACUCGGGCCGCAAGGGGCAGCGGGGGCGGGGGCGGCAGGGACGAGCUCACGCGCACCGAAGCGCAGCGCCGCUAUGGCGGCCCUAGCAAGGUUUCACAGCUCGCGGCAGGGUCGCUCGUCCAGCGGCGACAGCCGCUCGGUGGCGGCGGCGGCGGAGGACAGCCACGGUGGCGGUGAUGCUGACGGCCAACAGGAAGGGGGCGGGGAGGAGGGGAACGGCAAGCGGCGGUCAUCCCGGUUUCGGGGGGUAACGAAGCACCGCCGCAGCGGCAGGUGAGGAGGCAAUGGCUCCCAGGGCGACUCCCUGGCUUCUUGCAUCGUUAUCUCCGUCAAACUCCAACAUCAAUAGAAAGUGCAGCAGCACCGGGCGCAUCUGUGUAUGCAAGUACUGGCAGAGAUCAGGUGUUCAUCUGGUACUGCAGUACUUGCUCACUAUCGUAUCCGCACCACCCAGCACCUAUUGCACAUGUGCCGUACGUACGUGACUUUGCCAGGUGGGAGGCGCACAUCUGGGUGAAGGAGAUCGGCCGUCAGGUUUACCUGGGCGGCUACGAGGAGGAGGUGCACGCGGCGGAGGCGUACGACGUGGCGGUGCUGAAGUGCAAGGGAACCAAAGUGCGGCCCCGCCACCACCCCAGCAAAGUCGCUGAUGUACCUGAUGUUGCUUCCAGAGAACAGUAUUUUCUAGUAGCCCGUAGUGGAGGAUUCUUGUUGAUGCGUCUGAUAUGAGAAACCCUUAAAGCCAGAUACCGCAAACACGGAUUGUCAGCUUCAGUCUGCACAAAAUGACAUUACGACAUAGUAGGUUAACAGUCCCCCCUGUCCAACCCCGUCAUCUCUCCCCAUUCGCCAAUUAAACCGACCUCCUCUCCGGAUGCCCUUUUCCCUUGACCCGUCCUGCCCGUACGCCCCGGCAGGGAGUGCGCACGAACUUCCCGAUCAGCCAGUACCAGGGCCUGCUUCCGUCCCUGAAGGACAUCGAACUGGAGGACCUCAUCAUGGCCGUUCGGCGCCAAAGUCAGGUAGGUUGAAAGAGCUCAUUAUGCUGUUGUGGACAUCAAUCAUUACGUGCGUAGCUAGUAAUUGACCAAUAGUGUGUUUCCUGGUUAAACCACCGAGAAACAAGGGAGCCAAGCCAGCUGGCUCCUUGUACUUCAUCAUCUUGUGCCGUACUGACCGGUGUCGUACAAUGAUGCACUCUAUUGGCCACAUUGCCAUGUGGAUGCAGGGCUUCAGCCGCGGCAGCUCCACGUACAGGGGCGUCACGGCGCAUCUGUCGGGGCGCUGGGAGGCGCGUAUCGGCAUCCCUGGAAGCAAGCACAUCUACCUGGGGCUGUUCGAGAGCGAACGUGACGCCGCGGCCUCGUACGACAGGUCGCUGGUGCGGUUGCGUGGCUCUUCCGCUGCGACGAACUUCCCCCUCUCCGAGUACCGCCGAGAGCUUGCGGAGUACCACAGCUACCAGCAGGUGCGCAGUAAGGUUUCGUCAACAGGCCAACUGUGACAGCUCUUUGCGUUGCUGAAGUUCGUUCAUCCAACUUUGCGUGCUGCUGUUGGCGCACAUGUGCUCCACGCAGGCACAGGCUUCAGCAGGUAGUAGUGUGUCCUUGUUAUUUCUUGCUCAUCUCCAGGUCAGGUUCAGGAGUACAUCGCCAUCCAUGGGGCGCCUCUUCACACGCCCCACUGCGCGCGCCACACACUGCCGCGCCAUGGCGGAUCAUCCUCAUGUCCGCAUCCGCAAUAUCGUACUGCCGGCACACCCAUCCCUGCCGUACAUACACAUACGCAUGCAGGCCGUCUUGCUCCAGGACCAGCGGAUGGCCUCCCUCAUGAAGCCCGGCCCCGACUACGAGAAGUGGGUCAAGGCCGGGUUCAGUGCCUUCCCCCACAUCCAGAUGGAGCAGGCGGCUGCAGCCGGGGAGGAAGCCGCCGCGCGAGACCUGGAGCUCAAGCGCUCUUGAGUGCUCAAUACUGCGGCCUGAGGGGGCAGCAGCUAUUACAACACGCAAAAUCACAGCUAUCACAGCCACCAUGCAUGGCCAUGGCGGCGAUUGAAGAAAUGCCUGCGCCGCAGAGGUGUCGAGGUGGCCGUUACUGGUGGUGUAAAGGGGGCUCACGGCAGCUGGUGCAGGGUGCUGCAUGUGGUUUGGAUGCGUACGGGUGCGUACCCCGUACCCAUACAGCUGGGAGUGUGCGCAGGUAGCUUGGAUGGCAUGGAGAAGGUGGAUGACAUGGUGAUCAUGAGAGUGCAUUUGGGGAUGUUCUAUUUGUGUUUUUGGCUGCCAGCCCGGUCUUCCAACGUCCUGGCUAGUGCAUGUUGGUUGCGUGUCGGCGAUUUCAGGUAAAACCGUUGUUUUGUUUACCCCUUAAAUGGUCUAGGUCGUGAGUUUCUUUUUUUACUCUAGAACCGUCGCCUUGGAAAUAACGACUGCCUCCUUACGGCCCGUAAAGCCGCUGUGUUUGCCAUCAUUUCCCAGUGGCGAGUGAAGAGGGUGAUCCGUGUUGGCUAUUUGACGGUUGGAACAAGGCCAGUCGCUACUUGGAACAAGUGCAAAUUCGUACUAGUCAGUCAUAUGUUGCGAUGUUUAGGCAGUUUAGGAAGUUCAGGAGAGAGAAGUGUUGCAGCUGUGUUGGCUGUUGUCAAAUCAUCGUUCCGCCAACAGCUGAUUAGCAGUAGCCGGUUGUUAGCGGCAGCUUGCUUAGUUGCUGGCGAUUGAUAGUUGCUGUUGUGAUGAUGGGGCCGGGCGUUGGAGGCUAGCUGCAGCUGCUCGUACUAAAUGCCGCGGCUGUGGUGGCAGGCGUCUCGUUAUUCGGCUCUCUCCGGGGCGUUAUAAAAUUAGGCUAUAACUUUUAGGUUGGUAGGCAGGAGCUGCCCCCAUGGGAUUGAAGGAACAAAUCAUUGGUUGGGUUGGCUGCGCGGAGGCUGCUGGCUUUUGAACGCGGUUAUAUGUUUUCGAGGGUUUCAUUCUUCCAUUAGCUCGUCGUAAUAUAAUGCAGAUUCGUUUAUGUUGCUGGACUUUGGAGGCAAACAGAGCCCGAAGGGGCAAGUACCAUGCACGUCCCCAUGGGGCAGCGGAUUUGCCGCUGUUGUGGAACCAAUAGCCAGGUCGAGGAUGAAAAAUAUAUGUUAAUGGAAUGCCCAGCUUAUAAAUACUAUUUUACGCGGAAGAAGGAUUAAAUUAUUAACAGAGCAUGUUGGAGGCCAUGAAAUGGAAGCGAGCCCGUCCUGCCAGUGGCCUGUCUGGCGAGGAUGUUGGAACGUAUGUGGGCUCACCGCAGCCCAGUUAUCCCCUUUGGGCGACAGGUCUUUUUUCUUCUCCUGUUAGUGCGGUUUUUCUUAUUUGUGGCUUUUAGGCGUUGAUGCUUUGCCUUCGGGCCUUCAGCUCAUAUGGGUAGUCUUACAUGUAUAGGGUCACGCAUCCCCAACCAUGUAACGCACACACAUACCAGACCUACCAAUGCUUGCCGCUGCAUUGCACCAACCUACAUUUCACCUGCCGACGCAGCGGAAGUAAUCUCAUGCAAACAUCCGAAGUGACCACCACCACCACCGCCAUGGGCGCCAAGGCCGUACACGUCACCAGAGUCAAUGUUCCCACAAGGAUUGACAGCACCACCAGCCAACGACACUACCGCCGCCAACGACACUACUGCUACUGCCACCGCGGCUGCAGUCACGGAUGUCGCCUCUCGUCCACCCAGCGUAUUCUUGAGGUCUCUAGUUGCAAGCUUGCAGCACCGCGGCGGCAGCAGUGCAGUAGCUGGCCGCUGAAAAAGCCUCUCAAGAAGGUGGUCGAGCGCUUCGCGCGUAUUUGUAGUCGAUAUGUGUGUAUUGCCCAUCCGUCAUUCGAUUAAGUCCGCGUCCUCUUCUGUGGAUCCUAAAGAUCCCGAGGUGUUUUAUCACAGCGCAUAGUGUCGUACAUGCAUGUGCCGUAUGCAUGACUCACCCAAGAUUUGAGGCGUACAUCCAGAGGAUGGCGGUGGGGAUCUACCGUUGCAUUUACAACGAGGUAGAGCAUGCGGAGUGUAAUGGUGUACGACAUCCUUGCAAUGAAGUUCAAGGGAGCCAAUGUACGGCGAUGAUGUAUGUUGUUACACGGUGGUAUAGCUCCACCAGCGGCCCCCUUCCCCAAGGCAGCUCCCUGCUCAGGGGAGAGCCUGCUAGAGGGGCACCCUAAUCCGUUCACCCCAUCCGACUUCAGAAUGUAUUCGUUGGGUUCAGCAACUCAUCAUGAACAUCCAGUUAAAUCCAGCGGAUCAACGGCGCCUCAACUUCGUUUCUGAUUAGCUCGCAAGUUGAUAUUAUCACUUCCUAUACCGUCCACGAGAUGGGGAGCCACCUCCCAUUUCAACUCUCCUCAAACACCCGAGGAGCCGGCAGGCAGAUUUGAAUCCGAACGCUUCGGGAACAGAAGUCAGGCCUUAACCUCUGCCAGCCGCCUGCCUAUUUCGACAGAUGUACAAAUAUGUGCCACGUCACCUCAACUGAAUCAUCACUGAUGCUCUAAAUUUCCAGGACAGCACACGCUGACUUGACCACACACCAUAUUAUGUCCAUAUUAUGGAACUCCCUUUUCCUUACACCUCUUCUGGCCGGGGUGUGUGCACCAACCUCUCCCGAUCAGUAGGACCUGAAGUGGGGGCCCAUCGCGUUAAUGCAUAAUGAACUUCAUGCAUACCUCGUAUAUAAUAAGCCAGGUGUCUGUAUAUACAUUUGUGUACGCUGUUUUCAAAUGUAUGGUCCUAUUUAUGUAGGCCAGGCAGUACUGGUAACGCACACACCGAUGCCCCCAGAGAUUCCAGGAUCGAGAUUUAGUAGAGGCGGUAAUUUAUUCAAUGGUGCUAGAUUAUAGUGCCCCUAGUUGAUGGUUGGUGGUGAACUGGGACUUAUUAGACUAGUGAGGUGACCAGGAAUAGAGUUGAGCUGCCUUUCCAAUAGAUCCAUUGGAUGCCGGUGGUGGGUGCUGAACUUGAGUAAUCUAACGAGAAGUCGACUAGGGUGACUAGAUGAGGGUGCCCCAAAAUACCGGGGAAGGCAGGGCUUCGCCGGGUAGCGGCGACGGGUGAAGAUAUGACCCCCCUGUCCCACACAUCAUAUGGUUAUGGAAUGAAGGUAUACAGAUAUACAGAUAUGCCCUUAUAUCCUUUCCUUGUCUCUGGAUGUAGACACACCCACCUACGUAGACGCGCUCACACACGCACUGUGCUGUGUGAUUGGCUAUAUACUCCGGUGAGUGCGCACACCGAGCGAGGAUGGAAUCAACAUUGUCGAACACCACCGCUGCCAGUAGCUUCGUUGGUAUAUCUUCGCCGGGAGACAUUGGCUAUUGCAUUACAAACUUUAUGUUAUUAUUAAAGGGUUUAUACAGAGCCUUUCGAUUCACCUUCACCACCUAAAUAAAAUGAUUAUUUGGGACCCAGAAUGAAAGAAAAGUUCACGUCAUCGUAUAGAUGAGUUAAUUAUAAGGACGUGUUCACAUGUGGGCGAAUCAGGGUUGAUUCAUGCGAAUUGGACUCUGAAUUGGACCUGAUUGGACCCGAAUCGGAAUUGGGGUCCGGGGGGGCCUCUUCGGGUAUGAUUCGACGUGAUUCACAGUUUUCUUUCUCAAAACAAAGUUGUUUAACAAACCGUUUCUCAUAAUUACCAUUACAAUACUAUAGGAACAUUUUCCAAUUGUUAAUUCACGCAAAGCGCACCGAGCAUUUUUCACGAACUCCUGCAGCUAUGUAUGUACAAGCCUGGUGAUAAUUUUCGCCAUAGAAACGAUACUUAUACUGUUCUGUUCCUAGAAAAUGCUGGCUUGCCUUGGGUGAUGGGGCGUAGCCGCGGAGCUUCAGCUGGGCGCGGUGGCACCUCGCGCCGUGCAGCGAAUCGUAUGUGAACACAAUUCAGAAAGCCGCCCCGAAUCGGACUCCCAAUCAGACUCUCAAUUGGACUACAUGUGAACACACCCUAAGUUUAGGUGACCACACGAUCCACACAGCUACUUCAGCACACUCAAGAUAUGAAGGAAAUGGCUGGUAAAGCUCCCUUAAGACCUCAAAGAGGCCCCAUUUGGGUGUUGCGAAAUAAUUGCUAUCAAGGGCCAGCAGGCUCGGGCCGGCGGCGGGUCUUGAGGUGCUGGAACACGAUAAUAGACGCGACGGGUACGCCGCCGCAACUUCACCCUACCAUUCGCAAACGCUGCAAACAGGGAUAUUACGAUAACCAGCAGCAGACAACAAGCUGAUUACAUACUUACUCCGGCUAACCGGUCCUCAUAUAUUUUAGGCAAGCCCUUUUUUUCACAACAAAAACAUUUGUUGGCCAAGGCCUACACAUGUACAUAGACAGCAACCGGCGGUAGUUCGACACACGACCAAAGCAAGGCCAACAAAAGCAGAUUCAAGUUACCAUUUGCAGCCUUCUUAAGGAAACACGAGAUAGAACCAAAAAGAUAUAACGCAGCCAAACUAAUUAGUUUAAGCUUAGAAGCUUUUGGCUUUCCCGCAUAUGAAUGUGCCUUGAUGGAAUUCCAUCAAGGCACAUGCUUCCGGAAGGCAGUGGGAUCGCUCGUGCAUGAUUGUGUGUGUGGUUGUUACAUGAUUGAUGUAUGGUUGCAAUUCUAGCUCGUCUGUGGGAAGUCUUAUCGUCUAUAGAUCGUGCCAUUUCCUUUAUUAAUGGCACGAUUGAAAGUCGAUAAAAAAAAUAUACAGACGCAAGCGAGAAUCGCUGCUGGCUACAUCCAUCAGACUCACGCAGUAACAGGACGGAGAUGCAAUCGCUUGGGAAAAAGGGGAUGGCGACCGAAUGACUAGGUAAGCAAUACAACCCACUGUAACAACCACACCACCUAAUACAACCAAACACACAUGUGCAUUUCAUGGGUCCACAAUCCUUCGCAGAAGAAGGACGCAGAAGAUGACGCCGAAGAACGGGAACCACGCAUGCGAUACCGUGAAAGGUACUCGACAGAUGCGCCUAUCUUCACACAGAUAGGCCAACAACACUUCCAAAAACAAGCCAAUAUCGGUCAAUAGCAUUCAGAGAAUUUGAGAACAGGGCAAGCUGUUGAGAUGAGGAGUUGAAGUCUCGAUUGAUGGGCAGAGAUUCGCAUAAUGGACUGAUGACGACCAUUGUACCCUCUAUCUCUAUGGAAGUUCGGGUAAGAGGAUAGGUGGGAUUCCAGAAGACAAACCAUCAGCCUUGGAUUUGCAAGCAAGGGCCACAUUGCACCAGUCACAACAGCAAGUCGAUCUAGUGGGAGCUACGUACCUGGGCCUUCCCCCCAGUCCAUUAUUUAACGAGCUUUUGGGGCUGAAGCUCAGCAGCCUCCGGGCUUUUAAGGAUGGACUUCCCAACGACGUUGCUACUUUAAACUUCUUGCCACGAACCUCACUGCUGGGCUCCAAUAGACCACCUUUGCUAUACAUGCAUUCAUGGACGGCCGUCCAAUGACGCCCGAAUGAAGCAUCGCAACGUGAUACGCGUGGAUCAACACAUCUAUCGCAUUUUGCUCGCUCCGUUUCAGUCACUAAUAAACGGGUAGGAGAGCAGACGGGGAGACAAACAAACAAACCAACUGGCCGACUUCAGUAACAAUUAACUUCGAAAUGGGCCUUGCUUAGAUCACCAUAUGUAUGUACUGGCUGAUUAUUCAUCACGACAGCUACAGCACUGGUGCAAGAAAACGUGGUGGAGGUUCUACUUGUCCCUGGGCAUAAGAAAACUAGUGACGCACCGGAAAACAAUGAUGCUAUUCAAGUGACCAUAACAACAGCCGAAGACCGGAGUCUAAAACGGAUCGCAAGAAACUGUGGAAGUUGUCAGGAACUUAGGGAAUCACAUUAAGUAUUUGUGUACCGACGGCCUUGCGCCUUGCUGGUAGGCGGCUCGGUAGGCUAUCCAUGUGUGUUUCGGUGUUAGACCGUGAGGGGCGAUGUGAGGCGGCCCCGCGCCGCCUCACGCAGGCCCCUCAGCAGGGCGGAGAGCAGGUGGGAGCUCACCUCAACCACCUCCAUCACCUGAAGAUGAUCGGGUGAGGUGGUUGGGGAGUUGAGGUGGUCAUGUAUGGGUAUUUAGGUGGUUAGGUGGUCAACAGGGAAUGAAUACAUCUCCCACCACCAGGUGAUAGUGCUAUCAGGUGGUUGGUAAGGCGGAUAGUGAUGUUGCUGGUGGUGCUGGUUGGUAAGCUUUGGGACAUGUGCAGCAGCCGGGGCUGCAUGGCCGGCCAGGAGCUCCUCAAGUCAGGUGAGCGAGUGUAUGUGGUGGGCACAUGCGGCACAGGUAAGGCAGUCACAUUAUGACCCAAGUCUCGUUAUUGGAAAGGGAGCAGACUUGGACACUCCUCCUCAUGGGUACCAUGAUGCCUUCCCCGCUCUUUCUCCGCCCUCCUCCACGGCUACCAGCUAGCACUCCACGACUGAGGCUCUCCUCCCUAGACAGAAACCCCCUACCCCACUUGCUUCUCCCCAUUCGUACCUGGCCAGUCGUUGGAUCGUCGUCCCCCUCCGGGAUUCCCGCAAUCACCAUAACGGGGUUAGGCAGGUCCCCGGACAACACCACAACUGCGCAUUGCUCCGCGUCCAGCCCGAGGUCUGAAAGGAGGGAAGCCAGCGGGAGGAAGGGGACCAGAGGAAAGAGGGGUUUAGACAAAGGGCGGGAAAAGCAGCAGCAGCAGCAGGGGGAUGAAGACGAAGGAAUAGUAGGGAUGGCGGUGGAGUGGGGCCACACUGUCUGUCCCCCAUACCUCCCGAUUCCCCUCCCCCCCACCUCCGCUUUCCCCCCCCAACCCAUCACCUCCCCUCCAACCCCCUGCCAACCUACUCGGGUUUCGCCACGGCUCCAGCCCCCACUGUACGGACAACCGAAACACCUCGUCGGUUUGCAGUACAUCACGGAUGGAGGUCCAGGGGCCCCCUCCCCAGUACUUGGCCUGGCCGGGAUGCGGCAUCACAAGAGCCGCCUCAACAAGCAAGGACAAUGAGCUUGUAGCAUGGGACUCCUGGUACGCCUUGACUUCGGGGUCCGAAUGCGGCGGUGGCGAAGUGAGCACAAGGGUGCCGCCCUCGGUGGGAAUCUGAACGGGUGGGUGGAGGAAGGCCGGUAAACACAGAGUGAAGGUUCCAAAACGGGAUAACCGUUAAAUGGAAGCCGGAGUGGGGGGAAGGGCACUGGGAGGAAGGAUCGAAGGGAAAGGGGAGUGAGAAGUAAGGUUUGGGUGAGUCUUGCAGCUGGCCAUGUUGCAGUACCUUCGUUCACAACCCAAAACACCUUGGGUUCUCUAAACGCCCACACAGUCAAAACAGACGUCUGCCGUCUGAACAAACACAUCCGUUUCCAAACAUUCAAUUAGUCAUUUCUUCCACCUCCGCUGCACACACCCAUGCGCCCAUGCACACACCUGCACCUUCGAGCUGGUAGCCCCCCACAUUGCCGUAUUGUUCCCCAAGUUACGUCGGGGCUGAAGCUGGUCAAGACCGCGGGCCUUGCAUGUGGGACUGUUGUACACCCGGAUCGACCACCUGGGGGGAUUGGGGGGUUGACGAAAUUCAAUACGACGGAUAAAGGUAGUAAAGGGGAUGGAGAGAAGGUUUCCAUGAUGGGUUUUAGCCUGGCCUCACAAAGCGAAGUGCCGAGGGCUUGGUUCUAUGGUCCCCGCCUGAAGAGGCCAUUCCAGGAGCCCGUUGAGGCCGUGCAGGUGCUGGGGACGGGUCGGCCCUCCCCCAGCCCUCCUCCCCCCUUUUCGCCCUUAACUGCCUCCUUUUUCACACUUCCCUCGCUCCCCGCCCCACCCUUUCAGGAGGCAAUUAAGACGGGAAUCCAUGGCAAUGACGGCAUAAAUGAUGAUUUCGAAACCCUCCCUCCCUUCACCUUCCCUUGCCUCCGCUACCCCGGCUAUUGGGGUAUAACUUGACGGCAUCCUUCACUUCCAUACUCCAACGUUCACCCCAAACCCACAACCUCUCUCCACGCCCUGAAAACACCCACUCACUUCCACGUGGCCAUCUGUGCCUCCAUGAUGCCGUACGCCCACGCCACGGACGCCUGCACCAUGUGUCUUCCGGGCACCCCCUUAGUCACCUCCUUCCACGCCGGAUAGUCCACCAGCGGGAUCAGGGCCAGCACGCGGUCUUCGGGAAGGAAGGCGCGGGCGCUCUGAGUCUGUGGGGAGGGAGGGUGUGGGGAGAUCAGGAAGGAAAGAGCGAGGGGCGGGGAAGAACUGCAAGGAUACUAAUGAAUAUAAACUGUGACGUGCUGUUAUAUCACGACUACAACUGCUACAGAAAAGCACCGAUCGACAGGUGCCCAUCCCGAGGUAUGAUAUGCCCGGAAUACAUCACAUUUAAAGGGCGGGAAGGGUUUUCGAGGAGAGUCCGCAGAGCCAGAAUGGAACCGAUUACAAGGCAGAAGGAAAGGGCGACUAAGGGACAGAGCGCAUCAAGGCGGUGAAGUCUCUUCCCGUCCCCUUACCCUCCCAUGGCCUCAUCCUCUCCCUCAUCCCCUCAUUCUCGCUCUUUUCUUUCCUACCGCCGUCCCCUUCCCCUCCCAUGGUCUCAUCCUCUGCCCUCCUGUCGCCCGCAUGCGUUACCUGGUGAUUGUUGAGCAGCACAAACGCCUUCUUGGCGGGGCUGUCCGCCUUCUUGAUGUCGCUGAUGAGGCCGCUGCGGUCCAUGGUGAUCCACAUCAGAUCCUUACUAAUCAUGGCCAGGUAACCAAUGCCGUCAGAGGGGUGAUCGCGAAGAACCCUGAAGGGAUUGUGACAUACAAACGGAUGGACGGGUAGGGAGUCACACUGACUUACAUAUACGGGCAGGCAAAAGCCUCAAUUGAACCUCGUUUCAUAUCGCAUACAUGCAUAUAUACAUACGCAUAUUAUAGGCAGGCGGCUGGCAGAGGUUAAGGCCUGACUUCUGCUCCCGGCCGACCCGGGUUCAAAUCCGCCUGCCGGCUCCUCGGGUAUUUGAGGAGUGUUGACAUGGGAGGUGGCCUCAUAUGGACGAUGUGGGACGUGAUAAUAUCAACUUGCGAGGUAACCAGGAACUAAGUUGAGGCGCCAUUGAUCCGCUAGAUUUGGAUGGAUGCUGGUGUUGAGGUGCCGAACCCAACGAAUACAUUCUGAAGUCGGAUGGGGUGACGGAUUAGGGUGCCCCUCUAGCAGGGGAGAGCAGGGACUGCCCCGGGAAAGGGGGCCGCUGGCGAAGUUAACCACCCUGUAACUACAUACGCACUUGAUAAUGCCGGUGUAGUCUCCCUCGUAAAAGCCCUCGAGUGCCUUGUCACCGAACUUGAGGUACAGCGGUCCCAGCUUCGGGUGGCUGUUCCAGGGGUUGAAUUCGGUCCAGUCCACCACAUGGAUGCUCUGAUACGAGUUGACUUGGCCUUUAGGACCAGAGGCGGGAAAUACAUGCAAAUUUAGGACAAAGAUCAAAUUUGUAAAAUGCUGCAGAGAGAGCACAGUGGAGAGGUGGAUUGCGAGAUGGAGAGCGAGGAGAACAGUGAAAUGCAGAUCAAAGGGACACGAUCAUUGAUGACCUCACCAUAGGGAGGGAGAUGGAGGGGGGGGGGAGGAAAUGUGAGGGAGUGUUGCUGCAGGGGGAGAGUGGGGGAAAGAGAUUAUCCAUCCCCCACACGCACGGAUCCCACCUGCACCGCCAUCAGUGCCUCUCCUUAACGGAUGCCCACCCCACACACACACAAACCCGCACCCGUACGUACCUUCCCCCCUCAGCGGCCACACAGACAGGCUGUUGGCUGCCACCGCCUCCUGAAUGGUCCACACACGCCGCAUGUACGAGUUGUUGACCAACAGAGCCUUAACCGCUGACCGGCUCAGUAAACUAACACCCCCUGAAGUGGAGCACGUCAUUAGGCAAGGCCAGUCAAAGUCAAAGAUUGGCUGUACAUGCGCCUGGUGGUGAGAGAUGGUGCUCAGAUGGAGCCCACACAUGGCGGACUCCAUACCAUAUAUAUGUAACAUAUCGUCGUUUAAAUUCAAAUAACGUGAGGCACACAUCAUUGUGGCUGGCAGGAGUUAAGACUUGGUUUCUGCUCCCGGAGAAUCUGGGUUCAAAUCCGCCUGUCGAUCUCUCGAUGUGUGAGGGGUAUUGAAGUGUGAGGUGGCCCCCCAUCUUGUGAACGGUGCAGGACGUGAUUACAGCAUAUUGUAAGCUGGCCAGAAGUUGAGGCGCCGUUGAUCCGCUAGAUUUGGUUGGAUGUUGGUGGUGAGUUGCUGAACGCAACGAAUACAUUCUGAAAUUGGAUGGGGUGAAUGGAUUAGGGUGCCCCUCUAGCAGGGGAGAGCAGGGCAUUGCCUCGGGAAAGGGGGCCGCUGGUGAAGCUAUACCACCCUGUAACAACAUCACAGGUUUGAUCCAAGUCGAAUGCCCCCCAGGUCACCUGCCUCUUCCACUAGUAAGGUGGCAGCAAUUGCACGUGCAAAGCCAAAUCUCUCCAUACAAACAUAUGCAAACGUACACAAAGGGACUCACUGUACGAGUCCAUCUCGGAAUUGUACUGCUGUACGAUGCUGCGCGCCUCCUGGAGUAAAGAAGGUGUCCAAGGGUGAGGAGCCGCGACGUAGGGACAUAUAUACAUGCAUACAACACGUGCUUAAGCAGCGUCUGGUAGCUCAGGGGCUUCAUGCAGUGAGCGUACUCCAAGGGUUUUGAGAGGGGCAAAGUGUAGGAGCCUAGCUCACUUAUAACAUACGGUAAGGAAGAUGCUGACAAGAAUUUCCGCCAAACCCAAAAUACUUGUUGGCAUGGUGACCCUCCAGCCGAACCAACUAGCAAGAGAAGAGCAAAGGAUGGUGAGGUAGCGAAGCUACAGCAUUAGCCGCGGACUUAACCCUGCAAAGCCAGGAAGAGUACAACCGCCAAGAACUAUUGCGCAGCCCAGGUUCCAGGUUCGCAGCAAACGGGCAGCUUCAACCCACUGGCAGCAACACGCACCUUGGCGUUCAUGAUCUUGCCUGUCGCGUAGUCCACAACCGGGGCAAUAAUCACAUACACCUGACAUAGCAAGGAAAGGGAAAGGGCCCUCAAGAAUUAAACGAAAUAAAAAGGGGGAUAUCAAACUAGCAAGGGUAGGGCAUGUAGGUGUUGUAUCACGUCUUAUCGCAGUAAAAGAACCGAUGGGCGGAUAUCAAUCCCGUGAUACCCAGGAUACUACAGUAGGUAAGUAAGCAGUUAAACCGUAAGUGGGUGAGUAAGGACCGUAAAUGGGCGAGCAAAGGCUUUCUGUGAUUGAGAGAGGUCCGCAUUAGCACCCUUGCUGUCCUUAGCUAGCUUACUUGUCCGGCUGUGUAGAUUGCGGGGCUUUCCUUGAUGUAAUUCAUCUUCUCCUCCAGGUUCGCCAGGUCCUUGAGGGUGGAGGAGGGGGGGGGUAAGGUGCAUUGAGGGGGAAGUAAAGGCGGGAUGUGAGAUACAUGAUGAAGUGCAAAGACAUCGACUGCCAAUGUUAGCCAAGCAAUUCAGAUCCCAGAGGUCCCCUGCAACCUUGCACAGGGGGUCAAUUGAUUGGGACAAGGAAUCUCCCUUUUCUGAAGGGAUGCAUCAUGCAGGGUGAGAGACCUGCCCCUACAAUGCACCAACAUUCCCAGCUACCCAGACAGCCAGAGACAACCUAAACCAUACCUGCGGUACACACAUCUGAUCCACCCAGGCAUACUUGGCUUUUUUGUUGGUGUGCAGCCACAACAGCCAGGCGGCGACCUGGGGGGGGGAGCAGCAGGUAGCAGUAAUGUCAGAAGAUGUAUUUGUCAAAAAUAGCACAAAUAACAGCAGCAUCGGCAGCAGUGGAGGUGGCAGGUGGCGGUAAUAGUAGCGGUAAUACAAACGGUCGCAAACAGGUAGGCAAAGCAGAAGAUAUGGAAAGGACGGCAGCACGAUUUCUUCAGCGAUUACUCUGCGUCCAAGGAGGACCACUUUGCGAUGGCCAACAAUCACGCACCUCAAUUUGUAUGGCAUGGCCGUCCGCUAAGGACCAGUUGACAGGCACUGGCCCAUUAUCAGGCAGGUCGUGAACCGAAUAGCCCUCUCUGCCGCAAUCGGAUAUCCACGUCUUGU
RNAcentral lists this long non-coding RNA (91238 nucleotides) under Volvox carteri. Its description in RNAcentral is "long non-coding RNA (VCAR_LNC001972)". The record is from RNAcentral. Lineage: Eukaryota; Viridiplantae; Chlorophyta; Chlorophyceae; Chlamydomonadales; Volvocaceae.